CAGGAACAACUUCCUGCGCCCUGCUACACACUGGUUGAAGUGAUGGUUCAGUAACCUCAUCAUGUUCCACCACCCUUCCACUCAAUUCUUUCGAGAGAAACCUUUCCUCGAGAAAGGACCCAUUUCUAGAAACAAACACUUUGCUUCCGGAUCUGAGAUAGGAGAUGUACCCAACUAUUUUGGAUAUCCUAUGAAGAUGCAUUUAUCCACUUUGGGUUCGAGCUUAUCAGAGUGAAACUUUUUCACAUAAGCGUCGUAGCCCCAAACUUUCAAGAAACGACAGCUUAGGUUUCUCCAAACCAUAGUUCAUACGGUGUCAUCUCAACGGAAUUACGUGAUGCCCUAUUUAAAGUGAAUGCGGUUGUCUCUAAUGCCUAACCCAAAAUGAUAGUGGUAUUUCGACAAGAGACAUCAUAGUAUGCGCUAUAUCCAAUAGGGCGCGGCUAUGACGUUCGAACACACCAUCACACUACGGUGUUCUAGGUGGCAUGAAUUGCAAAACAAUUUCCACAUUGUCUUGACUGUGUACCAAAACUCGCAACUCAGAUAUUCAUCUCUAUGAUCAUAUCGUAGAUAUUUUAUCCUCUUGUCACGAUGAUCUUCACUCUGAAAUAGCUUUGAACUUUUCAAUAUUUCAGACUUAUGAUUCAUCAAGUAAAUACUCCUGUAUCUACUCAAAUCGUCAGUGAAUUAAGAACAUAACGCUAUCCACUGCGUGCCUCAGCACUCAUUGGACUGCACACAUCAAAAAUUUAUUACUUCCAACAAGUUACUUUCUUGUUCCAUCUCACUGGAAAACAAGGCCUUCAGUCAUCUUGCCUAUGUGGUAGGAUUUGCAUGUGUCAAGUGAUUCAAAAUCAAGUGAGUCCAAAUGAUCCAUCUGCAUGGAGUUUCUUCAUGCGUUUAUACAAAUAGGUAUGGUUUGCAUGUCUCAAACGUUUCAAAAAAUGAGUGAGUACAAAGAUCCAUCAGCAUGUAGCUUCUUCAUGCAUUUUAUACCAACAUGACUAAAGUGGCAGUGCCACAAGUAAGUGGUACUAUCAUUACUACUUUGUAUCUUUUGGCAUCAAUAUUGUGAACAUGUGUAGCACUACGAUCGAGAUUCAAUAAACCAUUGAAGGUAAUUAUUCAAGCAAACAAAAUAAACAUUAUUCUCUUUAAAUGAAUAAUCUUCUUGCAAUAAACACGAUCCAAUCAUGUUCAUGCUCAAGGCAAACACCAAAUAACAAUUAUUUAGGUUUAACACCAAUCCCGAUGGUAGAGGGAGCGUGCGAUGUUUGAUCACAUCAACCUUAGAAUUACUUCCAACACACAUCGUCACCUCACCCUUGCUAGUAUCCUUUUAAUCCGUAGCUAUAACUUCGAGUUACUAACACUUAGCAACUGAACCAAUAUCUAAUACCUUGGUGCUACUAGGAAUACUAGUAAGGUACACAUGAAUAUCAGGUAUAUCCAAUAUACUUUUGUCGACUUUGCCAGCCUUCUCAUCUACCAAGUAUCUAGGUUAGUUCCGCCUUAGUGACCGUUUCCCUCAUAACAGAAGCACUUAGUCUCGGGUUUGGGUUCAACCCUCGGUUUCUUCACUAAAGGAGCAACUGUUUUGCCGUUUCAUAAAGUAUCCCUUCUUACCCUUGCCCUUUCUUGAAACUAGUGGUUUUAUAACCUCAACAAUUGAUGCUCCUACUUGAUUUCUACUUUCGCAGUGUCAAACAUUGCGAAUAGCUCAAGGAUCAUCAUAUGUAUCCUUGAUAUGUUAUAGUUCAUCAUGAAGCUCUAGUAGCUUGGUGGCAGUCACUUUUGAGAACCAUCACUAUCUCAUCUGGAAGAUCAACUCCCACUCGAUUCAAGCGAUUGUAGUACUCAGACAAUCUGAGCACAUGCUAAAAAAUUGAGCUUUCCUUCCUUACUUUGUAGACAAAGAAUCUUGUCAGAGGUCUCAUACCUCUUAACAAGGGCACGAGCAUGAAAUCCCAAUUUCAUCUCUUGAAACAUCUCAUAUGUUCCGUGACGUUUCAAAACGUCUUCAACGCCCCAAUUCUAAGUCGUUAAGCAUUACACACUGAACUAUCACGUAGUCAUCAAAAACAUGUAUGUCAGAUGUUCGCAACAUCCACAGACGACGCUCGAGGUUCGGCACCCUGAGCGGUGUAUUAAGGACAUAAGCCUUUUGCGCAGCAAUGAGGACAAUCCUUAGUUUACGGACUCAGUCCGCAAAAUUGCUACUAUCAUCUUUCAACUAAAUUUUCUCUAGGAACAUAUAAAAAUAGUAGAGCUACAACGCAAGCUACAACAUAAUUUGCAAAGACCUUUUUGACUAUGUUCAUGAUAAUUGAGUUUAGCUAAUCAUAUUACUAAUAACUCCCACUCAAAAUAGACGUCCCUCUAGUCAUUUGAGUGGUGCAUGAUCCAAAUCCACUAACUCAAGUCCGAUCAUCACGUGAGUUGAGUAUAGUUUCAGUGGUGAACAUCUCCAUGUUGAUCAUAUCAACUAUAUGAUUCAUGCUCGACCUUUCGGUCUCUUGUGUUCUAAGGCCAUGUCUGUACAUGCUAGGCUCGUCAAGUUUAACCCGAGUGUUCCGCGUGUGCAACUGUUUUGCACCCGUUGUAUGUGAAUGUUGAGUCUAUCACGCCCGAUCAUCACGUGGUGUCUCGAAACGACGAACUGUCGCAACGGUGCACAGUCGGGGAGAACACAAUUUUAUCUUGAAAUUCUAGUGAGGGAUCACCUUAUAAUGCUACCGUCAUUCUAAGCAAAAUAAGGUGCAUAAAAAGGAAUAACAUCACAUGCAAUUCAUAAGUGACAUGAUAUGGCCAUGAUCUUGUGCUUCUUGAUCUCCAUCACCAAAGCACCGACAUAAUCUUCAUCAUCACCGACGCCACACCAUGAUCUCCAUCAUCGUGCCACCAUCGAUGUUUUCGUGCUAUCUAUGCUAUUACUACUAAAGCUACAACCUAGCAAUAUAGUAAACACAUCUGCAAACACAAACGUUAGUUUAAAGACAACCCUAUGGCUCCUGCCGGUUGCCGUAGUAUUGACGUGCAAGUCGAUAUUUAACUAUUACAACAUGAGCAUCUCAUACAUCCAAUAUAUCACAUCAUGUCUUUGGCCAUAUCACAUCACAUGGAUACCCUGAAAAAACAAGUUAGACGUCCUCUAAUUUGUUGUUGCAUGUUUUACGUGGCUGCUAUGGGUAUCUAGUAUGAUUGCAUCUUAAUUACGCAAAGCCACAAUGGUGAUAUGCAAAUUGCUAUUUAACAUUUCUCCAAGGACCGCCUUAGUCAAAUCUGAUUCAACUAAAGUUGAAGAAACAGACACCUGCCAGUCAUCUUUAUGCAACAAGUUGCAUGUUAGUCGAUGAAUCCGGUCUCUCGUAAGCGUAAGAGUAAGGUUGGUCCGGGCCGCUUCAAUCCAACAAUACCGCCGAAUCGGGAAAGGACUAAGGAGGGAAGCAAGUCGAACAUCAACGCUCACAAAAACUUUUGUGGUCUACUCGACAUUUCAUUAAUCUAUGCAUGAACCUAGCUCAUGAUGCCAGUGUUGGGAACAUAACAUGGGAAACAAAAAAUUUCCUACGCACACGAAGACCUAUCAUGGUGAUGAUCAUCUACGAGAGGGAGAUCGGAUCCACAUAACCUUGUAGAUCACUAAGCGGAAGCGUUAAUAAACAUGGUUGAUGUAGUGGUACGUCUUCACGUUCCAUCCCACGAACCGUCCCACGAUCCGUCCCACGAACAGUCUCGUGAUCCGUCUCGAUCAAGUACCGAACGGUCGACACCUCCACGUUCCGCACAUGUACAGCUCGAUGACGAUCUCCGCCUUCUUGAUCCAGCAAGAGAGACGUGGAUGUAGAUGAGUUCCCCGGCAGCGCGACGACGCUCCGGUGGUGGUGGUGAUCUAUUCCUGCAGGGCUCCGCCCGAGCUCCGUAGAAAACCGAUCUAGAGAAAGAACUACAAAGUAGAGGUUUAGGGUUGCACGUGGCAAAGUUGUGUCUCAAACAGCCCUAAACCUCUAGUAUAUAUAGGAGGAGGGAGGGGCAGUCCUUGCGCCACAAGGGAGGAGCCCUUGGGUCUACCAAAGUGGAGGAGGGAGGAGUCCUCCUCCAAUCCCACUUGGAUUAGGACUCCUUCCUUAAUUUUCUACCUGUUUUGGAUUUUCCAAUUUUCCUCAUGGGCUUUCCUUGGAUGACUUUGUCAGCCCAUUAUACCUUAUUGCUCAUCCAAUAAACCCACGUGGACCCCUUGGGGCGUGGUGGGCCCAUCCAGUGCGGGUGAGCCCUGCUAGCAGUCCCCGGCAACGGCACUAGAGAAAUGUUGUUGACGUGUUCCUGACUUGAUGCCUCCACGGCAACGGAGCCAGAACUGCUCCCAGUUGCUCAACAAUUAGCAAUUGUCUUGCAAUGGCCCACCAGUGCGUGGGUUCGCGACAGUUUUCGAGGGUAGAGUAUUCAACCCAAAUUUUUUGGUUCGCCCGACGGGAAGUGGAAGAAUAUUCUCAAGUAUUAGCAGCUGAAUGUGUCAGAUUCAACCACACCUGAAAGAUUAGUAUAUGCAAUCAAAGUAUCAACAACAAAGUAGUAUGAUAACAACGGUGCUAGAAACGAUCUGUUGACAAGGCAGACUAUUCCUAACUGUCGUAUCAAUGGCGCCAGAAGUUGAUCGUGGACGGGAAAUAUUCUUUCCCGUCAUCGGCGCGAGAAAAAGUAUUGUAGCAGGUAGCAACAGUGUAACGAGUAACAUCAGUGGCAAGGAACAACAGUAGUGACAACAGUGGGACAAACUCGUAGGCAAUGGGUCGGUGAUUUGUUUGGAUGAUAUUCAUCAUGCAAUAGUUAUAACACGGGGAGAUAUGUGGCUAGCUCCCGUUCGUCAAUGUGAUGUAGGCAUGCAUUCCGUGUGUCGUCAUACGUGCUUAGGGAAAAGAACUUGCAUGACAUCUAUUGUCCAUCCCUCCCAUGGCAGCGGGGUCCAAAAGGAAACUACGAGAUAUUAAGGUUCUCCUUUUAAUAAAGAACUGGACCAACACAUUAGCACUUGGUGAACACAUGAACUCCUCAAACUAUUGUCAUCACCGGGAGUGGUUUCGGUUAUUGUCACUCGGGGGUUGCCGGAUCAUAACACAUAGUAGGUAACUACAACUUGCAAGAUUGUAUCUAAAACACACAUAUAUUGGUGACAACAUAAUAAUUUUAGAUCUGAAAUCAUGGCAGUCGGGCCCUAGUGACAAGCAUUAAGCAUGGCAAAGUAGUAGCAACAUCAAUCUCAGAACAUAGUGGAUACUAGGGAUCAAUCCCCGUCAAAACUAACUCGAUUACAUGAUAGAUCUCAUCCUACUCAUCACCGCCCAGCGAGCCUACGAAUAGAUUACUCACGAACGAUGAAGAGCUUCAUGGAAUUGGAGAGGGAAGAAGGUUGAUGAUGACGAUGGCGACGAUUUCCCCUCUUCGGAGCCCAAAACGGACUCCAGAUCUGCCCUCCAGAUGAAGAACAGGAUGUGGCGGCGCCUCAGUAUUGCAAACGCGACGAAAUCUUCUCUCUUGAUUUUUUCUAGGACGAAAGUGAAUUUAUAGAGCUGAGUUUGGGGGCGGCAGAGCCACNNNNNNNNNNNNNNNNNNNNNNNNNNNNNNNNNNNNNNNNNNNNNNNNNNNNNNNNNNNNNNNNNNNNNNNNNNNNNNNNNNNNNNNNNNNNNNNNNNNNUCCGCAGAAACGCGAUCUAGAGGAAAAACCGUGGAGGUAUGUGGUCGGGCUGCCGUGGAAAAGUCGUCUCAAAUCAGCCCUAAAACCUCCGUAUAUAUAGGUGGGAGAGAGGGGAGGAGUCAGCCUCAAAACCUAAAGGUUUGGCCGAAAUUGGAGGUGGAGGAGUCCUACUCAAAUCCUACUUGGAGUAGGAUUCCACCUUCCCACUUGGAAAUUCUUUCCACCUUGUGUUUUUUUCCUUCUCAAACCUUAUGGGCCUUAGUGGGAACUUAUUCCAGCUCAGUAGGGGCUGGUUUAUCUCUUCCCAUAGCCCAUGAGACCCCUUGGGGCGUGACACCCCUCCCGAUGGUCCCCGGCACCCCUCCCGGCACUCCCGGUACACUACCGAUGAGCCCGAAACUUUUCCGGUAAUGCACGAAAACCUUCCGGUAACCAAAUGAGGUCAUCCUAUAUAUCAAUCUUCGUUUCCGGACCACUCCGGAAACCCUCAUGAUGUCCGUGAUCUCAUCCAGGACUCCGAACAACAUUCGGUAACCAACCAUAUAACUCAAAUACGCAUAAAACAACGUCGAACCUUAAGUGUGCAGACCCUGCGGGUUCGAGAACUAUGUAGACAUGACCCGAGAGACUCCUCGGUCAAUAUCCAAUAGCGGGACCUGGAUGCCCAUAUUGGAUCCUACAUAUUCUACAAAGAUCUUAUCGUUUGAACCUCAGUGCCAAGGAUUCAUAUAAUCCCGUACGUCAUUCCCUUUGUCCUUCGGUAUGUUACUUGCCCGAGAUUCGAUCGUUAGUAUCCGCAUACCUAUUUCAAUCUCGUUUACCGGCAAGUCUCUUUACUCGUUCCGUAAUACAAGAUCCCGCAACUUACAUUUAGUUACAUUGCUUGCAAGGCUUGUGUGUGAUGUUUUAUUCCCGAGUGGGCCCCGAGAUACCUCUCCGUCACACGGAGUGACAAAUCCUAGUCUCGAUCUAUACUAACUCAACGAAUACCUUCGGAGAUACCUGUAGAUCAUCUUUAUAGUCACCCAGUUACGUUGCGACGUUUGAUACACACAAAGCAUUCCUCCGGUGUCCGUGAGUUAUAUGAUCUCAUGGUCAUAGGAACAAAUAUUUGACACGCGGAAAACAGUAGCAACAAAAUGACACGAUCAACAUGCUACGUCUAUUAGUUUGGGUCUAGUCCAUCACAUGAUUCUCCUAAUGAUGUGAUCCCGUUAUCAAGUGACAACACUUGCCUAUGGCCAGGAAACCUUGACCAUCUUUGAUCAACGAGCUAGUCAACUAGAGGCUUACUAGGGACAGUGUUUUGUCUAUGUAUCCACACAAGUAUUGUGUUUCCAAUCAAUACAAUUAUAGCAUGGAUAAUAAACGAUUAUCAUGAACUAAGAAAUAUAAUAAUAACUAAUUUAUUAUUGCCUCUAGGGCAUAUUUCCAACAGUCUCCCACUUGCACUAGAGUCAAUAAUCUAGUUCACAUCACCAUGUGAUUCCAACGAAUCCAACACCCAUAUAGUUAUGGGGUCUGAUCACGUCUUGCUCGUGAGAGAGGUUUUAGUCAACGGUUCUGAAACUUUUAGAUUCGUGCGUUCUUUACAAAUCUUUAUGUCAUCUUAUAGAUGCUGCUACUACGUGCUAUUCGGAAAUGCUCCAAAUAUCUACUCUACUAUACGAAUCCGUUUCACUACUCAUAGUUAUCCGGAUUAGUGUCAAAGCUUGCAUUGACGUAACCCUUUACGACAAACUCUUUAACCACCUCCAUAAUCGAGAAAAAUUCCUUAGUCCAUUAGUUACUAAGGAUAAAUUUCGACCGCUGCUANNNNNNNNNNNNNNNNNNNNNNNNNNNNNNNNNNNNNNNNNNNNNNNNNNNNNNNNNNNNNNNNNNNNNNNNNNNNNNNNNNNNNNNNNNNNNNNNNNNNAAGUGAAGCACAUAGAGCAAAAUUAUCUAGCUCAAAAGAUAUAAGUGUAGCACUAUGAGCAUUCUAGCAAAAUCAUGAUGAGUGCAUGUGUCUCUGUCUCAAAAAGGUGUGCAGCAAGGAUGAUUGUGACACAACAAAAAGAAAAGACUUACGACACAAGACGCUCCAAGCAAAACACAUAUCAUGUGGUGGAUAUAAAUGUAGCUCCAAGUAAUGUUACCGAUGGAUUGAAGAUGAAAGAGGGGAUGCCUUCCCGGGGCAUCUCCAAGCUUAGGCUUUUUGGUGUCCUUAAAUUUGGUUUGGGAUGCCUUGGGCAUCCCCAAGCUUGACCUCUUUCCACUCUUUAUCUCUUUGUCCAUGAGAACAUCACCCAAAACUUGAAAACUUCACAACACAAAACUUAAACAGAAACUCGUGAUAACAUUAGCAUAAGAAAACAAACUACCACCUCUUUUGGUACUGUAGCAAUCUUGAAUUCUAUCUAUAUUGGUGUUGGGCUACUGUAUUCUCACUUUACCAUGACCAGUACCCCGUGAUACUAACCAUAGUUUCAUUGAAACGAGCAACCAACUCAACAAAAAACAGAAUCUAUCAAAAACAGACCAGUCUUUAGCACUCUGUAUACUUCGUAUACUUAUGGUACUUCAAAAAUUCAGAAAAAUUACGACUGUCUGGGAAAAAGGCAUAUCAACCAGAAGCAAAAAGAAUCAACUCAAAAUCUCUUCCUGAAUAAAAAUAAAAAAUCAUCUUGUGAGCGAAAAGUUUCUGUCUUUUUCCAGCAGGAUCAAACAACCAUUACCAAGACUAGUCAUAAAGGUUUUGCUUGGCUCAAACACAAAAAGAAACACAAAAAACACAAUCACAACAGAAUUAUGAUGGUGUGGACGCAACAAAACAGAAAGAAAAAGAUAAAAUUCAUUGGGUUGCCUCCCAACAAGCGCUAUUGUUUAACGACCUUAGCUAGACAUAAAAGCGAUAGAAUCACGUAUCGUCGUCUUUGGUGCUCAAACCAUAAGUGGCCCUCAUCAUGGAUUCAAAAGGCAAUCUUAUUUUCUUUCUAGGAAAGUGCUCCAUGCCCUUCUUUAAAGGAAAUUAAAAUCUAAUAUUCCCUUCCUUCAUAUCGAUGAUAGCACUGAUAGUCCUUAGGAAAGGUCUACCAAGAAUAAUAGGGCAUGUAGGAUUGCAAUCAAUGUCAAGCACAAUGAAAUCCACGGGUACAUAGUUCCUAUUUGCAAUAAUAAGAACAUCAUUGAUCCUUCCCAUGGGUUUCUUGACAGUAGAAUCCGCAAGAUGCAAAUUAAGAGAACGCUCUUCAAUCUCAUUAAAACCUAGAACAUCACAUAAAGACUUUGGAAUCGCGGAAACACUAGCACCCAAAUCACACAAAGCAUUGCAUUCAUAGUUUUUGAUUUUGAUUUUGAUAGUAGGUUCCCACUCAUCAUGAUGCUUUCUCGGGAUAGAGACUUCCAAUUCAAGUUUCUCUUCAAGAGAUUUUAUCAUAGCUUCGACGAUAUGAUCGGUAAAGGCCCUGUUUUGGCUAUAAGUGUGUGGAGAGUUUAACAUGGAUUGCAUCAAGGAAAUGCAUUCAAUCAGGGAGCAACUAUAAUAAUUGAAUUCCUUGAAAUCCAAGGUAGUAAUUUCAUUACUACUCAAAGUUCUAAUAUCUUCUGCUCCAGUUUCAAUGCUUUUAGCAUCAAGAUAGAUGGACUCCGAAUCAUUGGGGCACUUUUCAACCAACGUGGAUUCAUAUCCAGCCCCAUAAUCAUUAGGUUUGUCACAAGAAAACAAAUAUUAAAUGGGAGUCACAUCAAGCACUUUAAGAUCUUCGUGAUUCUUAUCACGAGAACACGGCUAUUUAAGCCAUUCAUGUCUAGCACGAAUUUGGGCGGUUCUUUCUUUGCUCUCAAUCAUGGAAACCCACAUAUCUUUCAAAGUUUCAUCCAUAUUGAUCUUGGGAGGAGCACAUCUAACUUUCAAAGCAACAAUAUCACUAGAUAUUCUAUCAACGCUCUUAGCCAAAUCGUCAAUUUUAAGUAGUUUUUCCUCUAUGGACGCAUUGAAAAUCUUUUGCGAGUUGAUAAACUCUUUGAUAUUACUCUCUAGAUCAGAGGGUAAUCUAUUGUAAUUUCCAUGAGUAUUGUUGUAGGAGUUGCCAAAGUUAUUAGAGGAGUUACUAGGAAAGGGCCUAGGAACAUAGUUUCCUCUAAAAGAAUUGUUGUUGCCAAAAUUGUUCCUAUCAACAAAAUUAACGUCCAAGCUAGCGUUGCUACUCUCAAUCAAAGAAGACAAGGGCAUAUCAUUAGGAUCUGAAGGAGCACUUCUACUAGCAACCAAAUUCAUUAACUCAUCCAUCUUAGCACUCAACGAGUUAAUUUCUUCUAUAGCGUGUACCUCCUUACUAGUAGGUGACCUUUCAGUGUGCCACUGAGAGUAGUUCAUCAUGAUAUUGCCUAGGAGCUUUGUGGCUUCCCCUAACGUGAUUUCCAUGAACGUUCCACCUGAGGCGGAGUCCAAGGAAUUUCUAGAAGCGAAAUUCAAGCCAGCGUAAAAGAUUUGAAUAAUCAUCCAAAGACUCAAGCCAUGAGGGGGACAAUUUCUAAUCAUCAAUUUCAUUCUCUCCCAAGAUUGUGCAACGUGUUCAUGAUCAAGUUGCUUGAAAUUCAUGAUACCAUUACGGAGAGAGAUAAUCUUAGUCGAUGGAAAAUACUUGGAUAUAAAAGCAUCUUUGCACUUAUCCCAAGAAUCGAUACUAUUUUUGGGCUAAGACAAAAACCAAGUUUUUGCGUGAUCUCGCAACGAGAAAGGGAAAAGCUUCAAUUUAAUCACAUCAUGAUCCACAUCUUUAUUAUUUUGCAUAUCGCAAACCUCAAUGAAAGUAUUGAUAUGGGAUGUGGCAUCUUCACUAGGAAGGCCGGAGAAUUGCUCUGUCAUAACAAGAUUCAGCAAAGCGCAUUGAUUUCGUAUGACUCCGCACUAGUGGCGGGAGAAAUCGGAUUACUAAUAAAAUCAUUAUUAUUAGUAUUCGAGAAGUCACAAAGUUUGGUGUUUUCAUUCAUGGUGACUUCAGCAAGCAAGCAAGCACACAACCGAACAAAGAGCAAGCGAGAAAAAGGGCGAACGAAAAGGCAAACGGAAAAGGCAGAUUGUGAAGUGGGGAGAGGAAAACGAGAGGCAACUCGCAAACAAAGUAAAUGCAAGAGAUGAGUUUGCGACACCUACUUGGAUGAGUUCUUGACUUGAUCCUCCCCGCAAAUGGCGCCAGAAAUCCUUCUGCUACGGCAAGAAAAGUCCUUCCCUGGCAAUGGUGCCAGAGAUCCUUCUGUCGUCUCUUGAGCUUGCGUUGGUUUUUCCCUUGAAGAGGAAAGGGUGAUACAACACAGGAGCAGUAAGUAUUUCCCUCAUUUUGAGAACCAAGGUAUCAAUCCAGUAGGAGAAUCUCGUCAAGUCGAGAGUACUUGCGCAAACACAAAAGAGCUUGCACCCAACGCUUUAAAGGGGUUGUCAAUCCCUUGAAGAUUGAUUGCAAAGUGAGAUCUGAAGGCGGAAAGUGCAACGAAGAAAAAGUGUAAGGCUGAAAAUAUGGUGUGGAGUAGACCCGGGGGCCAUAGUGUUCACUAGAGGCUUCUCUCAAAAUAGCAAAUAUUACGGUGGGUGAACAAAUUACUGUCGCGCAAUUGAUAGAACCGCGCAAAGUCAUGACGAUAUCUAAGGCAAUGAUCAUACAUAUAGGCAUCACGUCCGAGACAAGUAGACCGAUACUUUCUGCAUCUACUACUAUUACUCCACACAUCGACCACUAUCCAGCAUGCAUCUAGUGUAUUGAGUUCAUGAUGAGCAUAGUAACGCCUUAAGCAAGAUGACAUGAUGUAGAGGGAUAAUCUCAAACCAAUGAUGAAAACCCCAUCUUUUUACCCUUGAUGGCAACAACACGAUGCGUGCCUCGCUACCCCUUCUGUCACUGGGUGAGGUCACCGCACGGUAUGAACCCAAAACCAAGCACUUCUCCCAUUGCAAGAAUCAUAGAUCUAGUUGGCCAGACAAAACCCACAACUCAAAGAGAAUUACAAGGAUAUCAAAUCAUGCAUAAGAGAGAUCAGAAGAAACUCAAAUGAGAUUCAUAGAUAAUAUGAUCAUAAAUCCACAAUUCAUCGGAUCUCGACAAACACACUGCAAAAGAAGAUCUCCAUGAAGAUCACAUCAGACAGAUCUCCAUGAAGAUCAUGGAGAACUUUGUACUGAAGAUCCAAGAGAGAGAAGAAGCCAUCUAGCUACANNNNNNNNNNNNNNNNNNNNNNNNNNNNNNNNNNNNNNNNNNNNNNNNNNNNNNNNNNNNNNNNNNNNNNNNNNNNNNNNNNNNNNNNNNNNNNNNNNNNCGUUCUUUCAUUUUGUGUACUCUUGACAGUAAUAUUUCACUGUGCUACAAUAAUUUUGAAGGUGGGGUGCUACUCCUGAUUAUGAUAGAGUACUAAGCAGUACACCACAUUUCUUCUGACUGCUACGUUCCCUACAUGUUAUAUAACAAUCAAAUUGCGCAUUAUAAUUGUAUUUUCAUCUUCUAAAAUGGAACUCUUUGAGAAGGACAAGUGUGAUACUAGGACAUGUACGAAGGUACGACGGGUUGUUUGUAUCACCAUUUAUGUUCAUCAACAAACUUUAAUANNNNNNNNNNNNNNNNNNNNNNNNNNNNNNNNNNNNNNNNNNNNNNNNGACCUAGGAAGUAUAGGUAUGCAGUCUAUAAAAUGGUCUGUGAGGAGUCUAUUCCACCCCACUGUCUGGACCACAAAUUGGUGGAAAUGUAUGCGAACUCAACUUGGCAAUCCAAAAUUUUGGAGCCCAUCCAAAUGCUAGCCAAAAGUUAUGGGUGGGCCAGUAUUUUUGUAAUGCACACAUUGGCUUAUAAUUAACGUACCCUAUAACUCCACAUUUUUAGUGUGAGAUGCAUAGGACAUCUGAAGAAUAGCAAAUAAACACAUCGUCCAUAAGUUGUCUAUAGGGUCUUACAAAUUGUAUGUAAACAACGGUAUCCUUAUUCUCCCCCAUGCCCUUUCCUAUCUUUUCACCUCAUGCAUGUUAAAAGUCUUUUACACAUAACUAUGAUCAUUNNNNNNNNNNNNNNNNNNNNNNNNNNNNNNNNNNNNNNNNNNNNNNNNNNNNNNNNNNNNNNNNNNNNNNNNNNNNNNNNNNNNNNNNNNNNNNNNNNNNGACUCGGUCGCGGGAGGAACCUUUAUGUUAACUACACUUGGUGCUGAUUAUUAUCAAUGGCACACCAAGAGAGCUCCAAUAGGCAGGAAGAUAAACUCUGUUGAGGAGAUCUCCUCCCUUAAUGAUAAGGUUGACAUGAUCAUGACUUUACUUACUAAGCAAGCUCCUAUUGAUCCUCGUGAUGUUCCUUUAAAUUCUUUGGUUGCUCAAGAAAGAGAGCAAGUUGAUGUUAAUUUUAUCUCUAGGAACAACUUUAAUAAUNNNNNNNNNNNNNNNNNNNNNNNNNNNNNNNNNNNNNNNNNNNNNNNNNNNNNNNNNNNNNNNNNNNNNUAGGAGUAAUUUUGGUAGCAAUACUAGACCGUUCCCAUCCAACAACUACGGGAACAACAACACUUAUCCUAGCACCAAAAACUCCACUUUUGAAUUAGAGAGCAUGCUUAAAGACUUUAUCACUUCUCAAAAAGCCUUCAACAAGAGUGUAGAAGAUAAAUUAGAAAAUUAGAUAGUCUCUCUUUGAAGGUGGACAACAUAGCUCAUGAUGUAGAGAUGCUUAAAAUUAGAACUUCCCCCCUUGAGGAAAGGAACACCACACCCAUGAAUGCUAUCCAAGUCCAAAUUAAUGANNNNNNNNNNNNNNNNNNNNNNNNNNNNNNNNNNNNNNNNNNNNNNNNNNNNNNNNNNNNNNNNNNNNNNNNNNNNNNNNNNNNNNNNNNNNNNNNNNNNAAGUGAAGCACAUAGAGCAAAAUUAUCUAGCUCAAAAGAUAUAAGUGAAGCACUAUGAGCAUUCUAACAAAAUCACGAUGAGUCAUGUCUCUCUCUCUCAAAAAGGUGUGCAGUAAGGAUGAUUGUGACACAACAAAAAGAAAAGACUCCUAAGAUACAAGACGCUUGAUACGUCUCCGUCAUAUCUAUAAUUUUUGAUUGUUUCAUGCCAAUAUUCUACAACUUUCAUAUACUUUUGGCAACUUUUUAUAGUAUUUUUGGGACUAACAUAUUGAUCCAGUGCCCAGUGCCAGUUCCUGUUUGUUGCGUGUUCUUUGUUUCGCAGAAUAUCCAUACCAAACGAAGUCCAAACGCAAUAAAAAUUUACGUGAUUUUUUUUUGGAAUAUUUAUGAUUUUUGGGAAGAAGAAUCAACGCGAGACGGUGCACGGAGUGCCCACAAGCCCAAAAGCCGCGACCAGGGGGUGGGCCCGCGGCUGGCAGGCUUGUGGCCACUCCUUAAGUCGGUUGGUGCCCUUCUUUCCCCGCAAGAAAUAUAAUAUCCAGAAGAAAAUCGUGUUAAAAUUUCAGCCCAAUUGGAGUAACGGAUCUCCGGGAAUUUAAGAAACGGUGAAACGCAGAAUCUGGGAGCGCAGAAACAGAAGGACACAAAGAGAGAGAUCCAAUCUCGGAGGGGCUCUCACCCCUUCGCCGCCACGGAGACCAUGGACCAGAGGGUAAACCCUUCUCCCUUCUAGGGAGGAGGUCAAGGAAGAAGAAGAAGAAGGGGGACUCUCUCCCCCUCUCUCCCGGCGGUGCCAGAACACCGCCCGGGACAUCAUCGUGUGACGGCGAUCUACACCAACACCUCCGUCAUCUUCACCAACAUCUUCAUCAUCUUCCCCCAUCUAUAUUCAGCGGUUCACUCUCCCGCAACCCGCUGUACCCUCUACUUGAACAUGGUGCUUUAUGCUACAUAUUAUUAUCCAAUGAUGUGUUGCUAUCCUAUGAUGUCUGAGUAGAUUAUCGUUGUCCUAUCAGUGAUUGAUGAAUUGCGAUGAUUGGUUUAAUUUGCUUGUGGUUAUGUUGCUGUCCUUUGGUGCCCAUCAUAUGAUCGCGCGCGUGGAUCACACAAUAGGGUUAUUUGUAUGUUGAUAGGACUAUGUAUUAGCAGGCUAGAGUGACAGAAGCUUCAAACCUAGCAUAGAAAUUGAUGCAUAUGGGAUUGAAGGGGGACCAAUAUAUAUUAUUGCUAUGGUUGGGUUUUACCUUAAUGAACGUUAGUAGUUGCGGACGCUUGCUAAUAGUUCCAAUCGUAAGUGCAUAGAAUUCCAAGUAAGGGAUGACAUGCUAGCAGAGGCCUCUCCCACAUGAUACUUGCUAUCGAUCUAGUAACGUAGUCAAUUGCUUAGGGACAAUUCCGCAACUCCUACCACCACUUUUCCACACUCGUUAGACACUCGUAGUUGUUUCUUUAUCUAACCAGCCCCUAGUUUUAUUUAUGUGUUCUUUACUUUCUUGCAAGCCUUUCCUAUCACUCCUACAAAGUACUUCUAGUUUCAUACUUGUUCUAGGUAAAGCGAGCGUAAAGUGUGCGUAGAGUUGUAUCGGUGGUCGAUAGAACUUGAGGGAAUAUUUGUCCUACCUUUAGCUCCUCGUUGGGUUCUACACUCUUACUUAUUGAGAAAGGCUACAAUUUAUCCCCUAUACUUGUGGUUUAUCAACGCUCCAAGCAAAACACAUAUCAUGUGGUGAAUAAAAAUAUAGCUCCAAGUAAUGUUACCGAUGGAUUGAAGACGAAAGAGGGGAUGCCUUCCCGGGGCAUCCCCAAGCUUAGGCUUUUUGGUGUCCUUGAAUUUGGCUUGGGAUGCCUUGGGCAUCCCCAAGCUUGAUAUCUUUCCACUCCUUAUCUCUUUGUCCAUGAGAACAUCUCCCAAAACUUGAAAACUUCACAACACAAAACUUAAACAGAAAUUCAUGAUAUCAUUAGCACAAGAAGACAAACUACCACCUCUUUAGGAACUGUAGCAAUCUUGAAUUCUAUCUAUAUUGGUGUUGGGCUACUGUAUUCUCACUUUACCAUGACCAGUACCCCGUGAUACUAACCAUAGUUUCAUUGAAACGAGCAACCAACUCAACAAAAAACAGAAUCUAUCAAAAACAGACCAGUCUUUAGCACUCUGUAUACUUCGUAUACUUAUGGUACUUCAAAAAUUAAAAACCGAAUCUGCCAAAAAAAACCAGUCUGUAGCAAUUUGUAUACUUCAUAUACUUUUGGUACCUCAAAAAUUCUGAAACAUUACGACUGCCUGGGCAAAAUUCAUAUCAACCAGCAGCAAAAAGAAUCAAAUCAAAAUCUCUUUCUAAAUAAAAAUGAAAAAUCAUCUCGUGAGCGAAACGUUUCUGUCUUUUUCCAGCAUGAUCAAACAACCAUUACCAAGACUAGUCAUAAAGGUUUUGCUUGGCUCAAACACAAAAAGAAACACAAAAGACACAAUCAUAAAAGAAUUAUGAUGGUGUGGAUGCAACAAAACAGAAAGAAAAAGAUAAAUUCAUUGGGCUGCCUCCCAACAAGCGCUAUUGUUUAACUCCCUUAGCUAGGCAUUGAUAAUUCAAUGAUCCUCACACAAAAGACAAGAAUUGAAGCACAACGAGAGAAUCACAAAGCAUGUGAAAAUCACAUCUAAGUCUAACAUACUUCCUAUGCAUAGGCAUUUUAUAGGAAAACAGAUUGUCAAGACAACCAAUAGUUACCAUAUGAAAGGAAGAAGAAAGAGACAAUAGCAAUCUCAACAUAACGAGAGGUAAUUUGGUAACAUGAAAGUUUCUACCAAAAUAUUUUCCUCUCUCAUAGUAAUNNNNNNNNNNNNNNNNNNNNNNNNNNNNNNNNNNNNNNNNNNNNNNNNNNNNNNNNNNNNNNNNNNNNNNNNNNNNNNNNNNNNNNNNNNNNNNNNNNNNNNNNNNNNNNNNNNNNNNNNNNNNNNNNNNNNNNNNNNNNNNNNNNNNNNNNNNNNNNNNNNNNNNNNNNNNNNNNNNNNNNNNNNNNNNNNNNNNNNNNNNNNNNNNNNNNNNNNNNNNNNNNNNNNNNNNNNNNNNNNNNNNNNNNNNNNNNNNNNNNNNNNNNNNNNNNNNNNNNNNNNNNNNNNNNNNNNNNNNNNNNNNNNNNNNNNNNNNNNNNNNNNNNNNNNNNNNNNNNNNNNNNNNNNNNNNNNNNNNNNNNNNNNNNNNNNNNNNNNNNNNNNNNNNNNNNNNNNNNNNNNNNNNNNNNNNNNNNNNNNNNNNNNNNNNNNNNNNNNNNNNNNNNNNNNNNNNNNNNNNNNNNNNNNNNNNNNNNNNNNNNNNNNNNNNNNNNNNNNNNNNNNNNNNNNNNNNNNNNNNNNNNNNNNNNNNNNNNNNNNNNNNNNNNNNNNNNNNNNNNNNNNNNNNNNNNNNNNNNNNNNNNNNNNNNNNNNNNNNNNNNNNNNNNNNNNNNNNNNNNNNNNNNNNNNNNNNNNNNNNNNNNNNNNNNNNNNNNNNNNNNNNNNNNNNNNNNNNNNNNNNNNNNNNNNNNNNNNNNNNNNNNNNNNNNNNNNNNNNNNNNNNNNNNNNNNNNNNNNNNNNNNNNNNNNNNNNNNNNNNNNNNNNNNNNNNNNNNNNNNNNNNNNNNNNNNNNNNNNNNNNNNNNNNNNNNNNNNNNNNNNNNNNNNNNNNNNNNNNNNNNNNNNNNNNNNNNNNNNNNNNNNNNNNNNNNNNNNNNNNNNNNNNNNNNNNNNNNNNNNNNNNNNNNNNNNNNNNNNNNNNNNNNNNNNNNNNNNNNNNNNNNNNNNNNNNNNNNNNNNNNNNNNNNNNNNNNNNNNNNNNNNNNNNNNNNNNNNNNNNNNNNNNNNNNNNNNNNNNNNNNNNNNNNNNNNNNNNNNNNNNNNNNNNNNNNNNNNNNNNNNNNNNNNNNNNNNNNNNNNNNNNNNNNNNNNNNNNNNNNNNNNNNNNNNNNNNNNNNNNNNNNNNNNNNNNNNNNNNNNNNNNNNNNNNNNNNNNNNNNNNNNNNNNNNNNNNNNNNNNNNNNNNNNNNNNNNNNNNNNNNNNNNNNNNNNNNNNNNNNNNNNNNNNNNNNNNNNNNNNNNNNNNNNNNNNNNNNNNNNNNNNNNNNNNNNNNNNNNNNNNNNNNNNNNNNNNNNNNNNNNNNNNNNNNNNNNNNNNNNNNNNNNNNNNNNNNNNNNNNNNNNNNNNNNNNNNNNNNNNNNNNNNNNNNNNNNNNNNNNNNNNNNNNNNNNNNNNNNNNNNNNNNNNNNNNNNNNNNNNNNNNNNNNNNNNNNNNNNNNNNNNNNNNNNNNNNNNNNNNNNNNNNNNNNNNNNNNNNNNNNNNNNNNNNNNNNNNNNNNNNNNNNNNNNNNNNNNNNNNNNNNNNNNNNNNNNNNNNNNNNNNNNNNNNNNNNNNNNNNNNNNNNNNNNNNNNNNNNNNNNNNNNNNNNNNNNNNNNNNNNNNNNNNNNNNNNNNNNNNNNNNNNNNNNNNNNNNNNNNNNNNNNNNNNNNNNNNNNNNNNNNNNNNNNNNNNNNNNNNNNNNNNNNNNNNNNNNNNNNNNNNNNNNNNNNNNNNNNNNNNNNNNNNNNNNNNNNNNNNNNNNNNNNNNNNNNNNNNNNNNNNNNNNNNNNNNNNNNNNNNNNNNNNNNNNNNNNNNNNNNNNNNNNNNNNNNNNNNNNNNNNNNNNNNNNNNNNNNNNNNNNNNNNNNNNNNNNNNNNNNNNNNNNNNNNNNNNNNNNNNNNNNNNNNNNNNNNNNNNNNNNNNNNNNNNNNNNNNNNNNNNNNNNNNNNNNNNNNNNNNNNNNNNNNNNNNNNNNNNNNNNNNNNNNNNNNNNNNNNNNNNNNNNNNNNNNNNNNNNNNNNNNNNNNNNNNNNNNNNNNNNNNNNNNNNNNNNNNNNNNNNNNNNNNNNNNNNNNNNNNNNNNNNNNNNNNNNNNNNNNNNNNNNNNNNNNNNNNNNNNNNNNNNNNNNNNNNNNNNNNNNNNNNNNNNNNNNNNNNNNNNNNNNNNNNNNNNNNNNNNUUAUCUCAAACCAAUGAUGAAAACCCCAUCUUUUUACCCUUGAUGGCAACAACACGAUGCGUUCCUCGCUACCCCUUCUGUCACUGGGUGAGGUCACCGCACGGUAUGAACCCAAAACCAAGCACUUCUCCCAUUGCAAGAAUCAUAGAUCUAGUUGGCCAGACAAAACCCACAACUCAAAGAGAAUUACAAGGAUAUCAAAUCAUGCAUAAGAGAGAUCAGAAGAAACUCAAAUGAGAUUCAUAGAUAAUAUGAUCAUAAAUCCACAAUUCAUCGGAUCUCGACAAACACACUGCAAAAGAAGAUCUCCAUGAAGAUCACAUCAGACAGAUCUCCAUGAAGAUCAUGGAGAACUUUGUACUGAAGAUCCAAGAGAGAGAAGAAGCCAUCUAGCUACUAGCUAUGGACCCGAAGGUCUAUGGUGAACUACUCACGCAUCAUCGGAGAGGUCAUGGUGUUGAUGAAGAAGCCCUCCGUGUCCGAAUCCCCUCUCCGGCAGGGCACCAUAGAGGUCAUGGUGUUGAUGAAGAAGCCCUUCGUGUCCAAAUCCCCCCUCCGGCGGGGCACGAGAACGUGCCCGAGAUGGGAUCUUGCGGAGACAGAAGCUUGUGACGGCGGAAAAGUACUUUCGAUGAUCUCCUGUUUUUUUCUGGGAUUUUAGGGAACAUAUAGGCGCAAAACCUAGGGCAGAGGUGGCCCAGGGAGCCCUCAAGCCAGGGAGGUGCGGGCCCCCCUGGUCGCGCCAUGAGGGCUUGUGGGGUCCCUGCAGGCCCCCUGCCCUAAUUCUCCGGCUUCCGAUCUUUUUCUUUUUCGAAAAAAAUCUUUUUGGCAGUUUCAUUCUAUUUGGACUCUGGUCAAAAUCCUCCUCUGAAAGGGGUCAAAAACAUGGAAAAAACAGGAACUGGCACUUGGUACUGAGUUAAUAAGUUAGUCCCAAAAAAUAUUUAAAAGGCUUGCAAAACAUCCAAAGUUUGACAAGAUAAUAGCAUAAACCAUCAAAAAUUAUAGAUACGUUGGAGACGUUACAAGCAUCCCCAAGCUUAACUCCUGCUCGUCCUCGAGUAGGGAAGUGAUAAAGAAUGAAUUUUUGAUGUUGCAUGCUACCUAGCAUAGUUGUCCUUUUUAACUUCUCUCAUGUGACAUGAAUGUUCAGAUCCGUUAGAUUCAANNNNNNNNNNNNNNNNNNNNNNNNNNNNNNNNNNNNNNNNNNNNNNNNNNNNNNNNNNNNNNNNNNNNNNNNNNNNNNNNNNNNNNNNNNNNNNNNNNNNGAAGAGAUUAUUGUCGGGUACGAAACCACCACAAAGUUAUUCUUUCUGAUCGAUCUAUCAUAGAGUUUGUACUAGAAUAACACCUUAAGAUACAUAUCAACCAAGACCCUAAUGUCACCUAGAUACUCCAUUGUCACCUCAAGUAUCCGUGGGCAUGAUUAUACGAUAUGCAUCACAUAAUCUCAGAAUCAUCUAUUCAACCAACACAUAGAACUUCAAAGAGUGCCCCGCUAUUAGAUCUCAGAAUCAUCUAUUCAACCAACACAUAGAACUUCAAAGAGUGCCCCAAAGUUUCUACCAGAGAGUCAAAACGUGUGGCAACCCCUGUGCAUAGGUUCCCAAUGUCACGAACCCGCAAGUUGAUCACCAAAACAUACAUCAAGUACUCACAUGAAUCCACGUGUGCCCACCCAUAUGCAUAGGUUCCCAAUUGUCACAAACCUGCAAGUUGAUCACAUCAGAUAGACAGGUGCAAGACAUACAUCAAGUGUUCUCAAAGAUUCAAUCCGAUAAGAUAACUCCAAAGGGGAAACUCAAUUCAUUACAAGAGGGAGAGGGGGAAGAAUAUCAUAAGAUCCAACUAUAGUAGCAAAGCCCAUGGUACAUCAAGAUCAAGACAUCUCAAGAACACGAGAGAGAGAGAUCAAACACAUAGCUACUGGUACAUACCCUCAGCCCCGAGGGAGAACUACUCCCUCCUCGUCAUGGAGAUCGCCGGGAUGAUGAAGAUGGCCACCGGAGAUGGAUUCCCCCUCNNNNNNNNNNNNNNNNNNNNNNNNNNNNNNNNNNNNNNNNNNNNNNNNNNNNNNNNNNNNNNNNNNNNNNNNNNNNNNNNNNNNNNNNNNNNNNNNNNNNAGCUUGCUUCUUAUGGGCAAGGAAAUAUUUCUCACAGAAGUAAUAGACCAUAUCCUGGGGACUACUCACACAUCCAGGAGCAAGAGAAGUGAACCAGGCUUUAGCGUCAUCCUUUAGAGAGAAAGGAAACAACUUAAGGAUAUAGUAAUGGCGGAUCUUCUCCUCACUAGUGAAAAGGAUGGCUAUAUCAUGUAGUUUGGUAAGAUGGGCUACAACCGUCUCAGACUCAUAACCGUGGAAAGGAUUAGAUUCGACUAGAGAGAUUAUCUCAGGGUCGACAGAUAAUUCAUAAUCCUUAUCGGUGAUAAAGAUAGGUGAAGUGGCAAACUUCGGGUCGUAUUUCAUCCUAGCUUUUAGAGAUUUUUCCUUCCACUUGAGAAGUAAUUUAUCAGCGUCAUAGGCAUCCUUACACGCAAGAAAAUCCUCAGCUAUCUCUCCCUCCAUAACAUAACCCUCAGGUAUAUCAGGCAAUUCAUAUCUAGGAGAGCUAGAUCUAGCAGGAGCAAAAGCAGGUUCUAUCUCAAUAGUAUCGGCAGUUUCAGAAGCAUCACGAGCAUUCGCAGUAACUCUAGCAAUAUGAGCAUCAAGGAAUACCCCUAUUGGCAUAUCAGGCAAAGUAGUAUCUCUAGCAGUAUCAAGCAUAGCAUCAUCAGGCAAAAUAGCAUCUCUAGCAUCAUCAGGCAAAGCAGUAUCAAGCAUAGCAUCAUCAGGCAUAGCAUCUCUAGCAGUAUCAGGCAUAGCAUCUCUAGCAGUAUCAGGCAUAGCAUCAUAAGCAUCAUCAAGCACAUGCGACAUAUCAAGAUUUCUAGGAGGAGGUGGUGUCACAAACUUACUCAUAACUGAAGGUGAAUCAAGUGCAGAGCUAAAUGGCAGUUCCUUACCUCCCCUCGUAGUUGAGGGCAAGACUUUGGUUUUUGGAUCUUUCAGAUUCUUCAUAGUGAUCAGCACAUACAAAUCCCAAGCGACUCAGAGAAUAUAGCAAUCCCUUCCCUGGCAACGGCGCCAAAAAAAUGCUGCUAGCAGUCCCCGGCAACGACACUAGAGAAAUGUUGUUGACGUGUUCCUGACUUGAUGCCUCCACGGCAACGGAGCCAGAACUGCCCCCAGUUGCUCAACAAUUAGCAAUUGUCUUACAAUGGCCCACCAGCGCAUGGGUUCGCGGCAGUUUUCGAGGGUAGAGUAUUCAACCCAAAUUUGUUGGUUUGCCCGACAGGAAGUGGAAGAAUAUUCUCAAGUAUUAGCAGCUGAAUGUGUCCAAUUCAACCACACCUGAAAGAUUAGUAUCUGCAAGCAAAGUAUCAGCAGCAAAGUAGUAUGAUAACAACGAUGCCAGAAACGAUCUGUUGACAAGGCAGACUAUUCCUAACUGUCAUAUCAAUGGCGCCAGAAGUUGACCGUGGACGGGAAAUAUUGUUUCCCGUCAACGGCGUGAGAAAAAGUAUUGUAGCAGGUAGCAGCAGUGUAAUGAGUAACAUCAGUGGCAAGGAACAGCACUAGUGAAAUCAUCAGUGGGACAAACUCGUAGGCAAUGGGUCCGUGAUUUGUUUGGAUGAUAUUCAUCAUGCAACAGUUAUAACACGAAGAGAUAUGUGGCUAGCUCCCGUUCGUCAAUGUGAUGUAGGCAUGCAUUCCGUGUGUCGUCAUACGUGCUUAGGAAAAAGAACUUGCAUGAUAUCUAUUGUCCAUCCCUCCCAUGGCAGCGGGGUCCAAAAGGAAACUACAGGAUAUUAAGGUUCUCCUUUUAAUAAAGAACCGGACCAACGCAUUAGCACUUGGUGAACACAUGAACUCCUCAAACUAUGGUCAUCACCGGGAGUCGUUCCGGUUAUUGUCACUCCGGGGUUGCCGGAUCAUAACACAUAGUAGGUAACUACAACUUGCAAGAUCGGAUCUAAAACACACAUAUAUUGGUGACAACAUAAUAAUUUUAGAUCUGAAAUCAUGGCAGUCGGGCCCUAGUGACAAGCAUUAAGCAUGGCAAAGUAGUAGCAACAUCAAUCUCAGAACAUAGUGGAUACUAGGGAUCAAUCCCCGUCAAAACUAACUCGAUUACAUGAUAGAUCUCAUCCUACUCAUCACCGCCCAGCGAGCCUACGAAUAGAUUACUCACGAACGAUGAAGAGCUUCAUGGAAUUGGAGAGGGAAGAAGGUUGAUGAUGACGAUGGCGACGAUUUCCCCUCUCUGGAGCCCAAGACGGACUCGAGAUCUGCCCUCCAGAUGAAGAACAGGUGGUGGCAGCGCAUCCGUAUCGAAAACGCGACAAAAACUUCUCUUUUUUAUUUUUUCUAGGACGAAAGGGAUCUUAUAGAGCUGGAAUUGGGGGCGGCAGAGCCGUGUGGGCCCCACAAGCCUGCCCACCGCCACCAGGGGUGUGGUGGCGGAGCAAGGGCUUGUCGCCCACUGGCCCACCCCCUGAGGUGGAACUUGGCGCAGAUAUUUUUGAUAUUUCCCAAAACUGCUCCCCGUAAAUUUUCAGGACGUUUGGAGAACUUUGAUUUCUGCACAAAAAUAACACCAAGGCAAUUCUGCUGAAAACAGCGUCAGUCCAGGUUAGUUCCAUUCAAAUCAUGCAAAUUAGAGUCCAAAACAAGGGCAAAAGAGUUUGGAAAAGUAGAUACGAUGGAGACGUAUGAACUCCCCCAAGCUUAAAACCUUGCUUGUCCUCAAGCAACUCAGUUGACAAAAUGAGAGAGAAAGAAAAACUUUGACGAACUCUGUUUGAUCUUGUUGUUGCAACUAUGUCUAACUCAUAACCAGAAUUUCAGCAAGAUCACAAGUUAACCACAUAAGCAAAUGACACAAAGGUCUCACGGUAAACUAAUAUCAAUGGCAUAAUCAGCUAGCGAGCAAAUACAAGCAUGAAGCAAAAUGAAUAGGUGGUAUCUCGCUAGCUCUUUCUGAGACCGCAAAACAUAAAUGCACAACACUUUCAAAGAUCAAGGGCUGACUAAACAUUGUAAUUCAUAGCAACGAAGAUCCAGUCAUAGUCAUACUCAAUAUCAAUCAAAAGCAAAACAUAAAAAUGACAGAGGUGCUCUCUAAUUGGUGCUUAUAUAAGAGGAAGAUGACUCAACAGGAAAAUAAAUAGACAAGCCCUUCGCAGAGGGAAGCAUUGAUUUGCAGAGGUGCCAGAGCUCAAGCUUUGAAAAUAGAGAUAAUAAUUUUGGGUGGCAUGCUUUCAUUGUCAACGCAAUGACCAAGAUUUCUCAAUAUCUUCCAUGCUACUCAUGCUAUAGGCGGUUCCCAAACAGAAAAGUAAAGUUUUAACUCCCCCACCACCAAUCAAUCACACUCCACGGCUAGCCAAAUCCUCGGGUACCGUCCAUACUAACAUCAAUCUGGGGGGAGUCUUGUUUUACAGUUAUGUUUUCGAUUUAAGCGUGGAACUGGGCAUUCCAAUUACCGGCCCCUUUCUCGUGAAUGAAUGUGAAUAACCACAUGUCGAGGAUAACANNNNNNNNNNNNNNNNNNNNNNNNNNNNNNNNNNNNNNNNNNNNNNNNNNNNNNNNNNNNNNNNNNNNNNNNNNNNNNNNNNNNNNNNNNNNNNNNNNNNCCUAGGCCUUGUUUCCACGCAUUGCAAUACCGUUCGUGCUCACUUUUGUUACUAGUUACCUUGCUGUUUUUGUAAUUUUAGAUUACAAAAACCUAUAUCUACCAUCCAUAUUGCACUUGUUUCACCAUAUCUUCGCCGAACUAGUGCACCUAUACAAUUUACCAUUGUAUUGGGUGUGUUGGGGACACAAGAGACUCUUUGUUAUUUGGUUGCAGGGUUACUUGAGAGAGACCAUCUUCAUCCUACGCCUCGUGUGGAUUGAUAAACCUUAGGUCACCCACUUGAGGGAAAAUUGCUACUGUCCUACAACCCUCUGCACUUGGAGGCCCAACAACGUCUACAAGGAGAAGGUUGCGUAGUAGACAUCAAGCUCUUUUCUGGCGCCGUUGCCGGGGAGGCUAGGUAAGCGGCACUAACAUCCCGUCAAUGAAGCUCUUUUCUGGCGCCGUUGCCGGGGAGGAUAGCGCUUGAAGGUAUAUCUUUAGAUCUUGCAAUCAAAUCUUUUUGUUUCUUCUUCUUUCGCUAGAAAACUACAAAAAAUGGAAUUGAGGAUGCCUCAUAUGCUCCAUCUUUUCAAUGUCUUUCGUGAGCAUGAUGGGAAGGAAAAUUGUGCUCAAGUGCUGAAAGAAGAAUUACAUAGAAUGCUUGGCAUAGAAUAUGUGAAUGAUGAGCAUGAUUGCAAUGUUCUUAGCAUGAAUUCUUUGAAUACCCAUGAUGCUAAUGCUAUGCAAAGCCACAAGCUUGGGGAUGCUAUAUUUGAUGAAGAUGAUCUUUUUAGUUCUUCCACUUUGAAUGAUCAAAAUUAUUUUGAUGAAAGCAUGCCCCCUAUCUAUGAUGAUUAUUGUAUAGUUGUCCUUNNNNNNNNNNNNNNNNNGCCCCCUAUCUAUGAUGAUUAUUGUGAUGAUACUUAUGCUAUAAAGAAGAGGGAUGAUAAAACUUGUCAUACUCUCGAGAACCCCUUUGCUAAACCUUGCUUUUUCAUUGUGGACACAAUUUGUAGUGCUCAAGUCUUUUACGAUACUCCCACUACUAUUCUUGAGAAUAGAUUUCCUUAUGUGGAGAGUAGUAAAAUUUAUAUGCUUGUAGAUCAUGAAAAGAAUGCUUUAGGUGCUGGUUAUAGUGUUUAAUUCAUUCAUGAUGCUACUGAAAAUUACUAUGAGAGAGGAUCAUAUGCUUCUACUUAUUGCAAUAGUAUUAAGCUUCCUCUCCAUAUGUUGAAAUUCUUGAAGCUAUGCUUGUUUUGCCUUCCUAUGCUAGUUGAUUCUUGCUCCAAUANNNNNNNUUGAAGCUAUGCUUGUUUUGCCUUCCUAUGCUAGUUGAUUCUUACUCCAAUAAAUUGUUUGAUCACAAAAUACCUAUGCAUAGGAAGUGGGUUAGACUUAAAUGUGCUAGCCAUUUGCUCCAUGAUGCUCUCGUUGUGUUUCAAUCCUUACCUUGUAUGUGAGCAUAAUUGAAAUCAAUGCCUAGCUAAGGGCGUUAAACGAUAGCGCUUGUUGGGAGGCAACCAAUNNNNNNNNNNNNNNNNNNNNNNNNNNNNNNNNNNNNNNNNNNNNNNNNNNNNNNNNNNNNNNNNNNNNNNNNNNNNNNNNNNNNNNNNNNNNNNNNNNNNCAAUUACUUGGCCAAUACCGGGGUUGUGCAUGAUUUAAAUUCAUUGUGCAAUGAUGAUAGAUCAUAGCCAGACUAUAUGCUUUUGUCGGGAUAACUUUCUUUUGAGCUUGUUAUUUUGAAAGUUCAUGAUUACCUUGCUAGUUUGCUUGAAUUAUUAUUGUUUCCACGUCAAUAGCAAACUAUUGUUUUGAAUCUAACGGAUCAGAACAUUCAUGUCACGCGAGAGAAGUUACAAAGGACAACUAUGCUAGGUAGCAUGCAACAUCAAAAAUUCAUUCUUUAUCACUUCCCUACUCGAGGACGAGCAGGAGUUAAGCUUGGGGAUGCUUGAUACGUCUCCAACGUAUCUAUAAUUUUUGAUGGUUNNNNNNNNNNNNNNNNNNNNNNNNNNNNNNNNNNNNNNNNNNNNNNNNNNNNNNNNNNNNNNNNNNNNNNNNNNNNNNNNNNNNNNNNNNNNNNNNNNNAAUAUGCUAUUAUAUCUUUUUUGGGACUAACCUAUUAACUCAGUGCCAAGUGCCAGUUUCUGUUUUUUCCGUGUUUUUGGCCCAUUUUCAGACGGAGUCCAAAUGGAAUGAAACUUUACGAUGAUUUUUUUUGGACCAAAAGAGACCCCAUAAGCUUUGGGAGAAGGCCAGAUGGGCCACGAUGGAGUCACAAAUCCUCACGCCGCCACCCCCCCCCCCCCCGGGGGGGGCGGGGCGGUUUGUGACUCCCCCACGAGGGAGUCACAAGCCCUGAGGCCGCCACCACCCCCCUAGGCGGUGCCUACCAGGCUUGUGACCUCCUCGUGGGCCCAACUGACGCAGUUCCACCGCCAUAAAUUCCUACAAAUUCAGAAACCUCCAGAAAGAAACCUAGAUCGGGGGUUCCGCCGCCGCAAGCCUCUAUAGCCACCAAAAACCAAUCUGGAGCCUGUUCUGGCACCCUGCCGGAGGGGGAAUCCAUCUCCGGUGGCCAUCUUCAUCAUCCCGGCGAUCUCCAUGACGAGGAGGGAGUAGUUCUCCCUCGGGGCUGAGGGUAUGUACCAGUAGCUAUGUGUUUGAUCUCUCUCUCUCGUGUUCUUGAGAUGUCUUGAUCUCGAUGUACCAUGGGCUUUGCUACUAUAGUUGGAUCUUAUGAUGUUCUUCCCCCUAUCCCUCUUGUAAUGAAUUGAGUUUCUCCUUUGGAGUUAUCUUAUCGGAUUGAGUCUUUGAGAACACUUGAUGUAUGUCUUGCACGUGUCUAUCUGCUGUGAUCAACUUGCGGGUUUGUGACAAUUGGGAACCUAUGCAUAUGGGUUGGCACACAUGGAUUCAUGUCAGUACUUGAUGUUUGUUUUGGUGAUCAACUUGCGGGUUCGUGACAUUGGGAACCUAUACACAGGGGUUGGCACACGUUUUGACGCUCUGGUAGAAACUUUGGGGCACUCUUUGAAGUUCUAUGUGUUGGUUGAAUAGAUGAUUCUGAGAUUAUGUGAUGCAUAUCGUAUAAUCAUGCCCACGGAUACUUGAGGUGACAAUGGAGUAUCUAGGUGACAUUAGGGUCUUGGUUGAUAUGUAUCUUAAGGUGUUAUUCUAGUACGAACUCUAUGAUGGAUCGAACGGAAAGAAUAGCUUCGUGUUAUUUUACUACGGACUCUUGAAAUAUGAUAGAUCAAUCCGAAAGAAUAACUUUGUGGUGGUUUCGUACCUGAAAAUAAUCUCUUCGUUUGUUCCCCGCUAUUAGUGACUUUGGAGUGACUCUUUGUUGCAUGUUGAGGGCUAGGUAUAUGAUCCAAUUAUGUUAUCAUUGUUGAGAGAACUUCACUAGUGAAAGUAUGAACCCAAGGCCUUGUUUCCACGCAUUGCAAUACCGUUCGUGCUCACUUUUUUUACUAGUUAAUUUGUUGUUUUUGUAAUUUCGGAUUACAAAAACCUAUAUCUACCAUCCAUAUUGCACUUGUUUCACCAUAUCUUCGCCGAACUAGUGCACCUAUACAAUUUACCAUUGUAUUGGGUGUGUUGGGGACACAAGAGACUCUUUGUUAUUUGGUUGCAGGGUUGCUUGAGAGAGACCAGCUUUAUCCUACGCCUCCCGCGGAUUGAUAAACGUUAGGUCACCCACUUGAGGGGAAAUUGCUACUGUCCUACAACCCUCUGCACUUGGAGGCCCAACAAUGUCUACAAGGAGAAGGUUGCGUAGUAGACAUCAAGCUCUUUUCUGGCGCCGUUGCCGGGGAGGCUAGGUAAGCGGCACUAACAUCCCGUCAAUGAACUUAUGCUUUCACUUUGUUAGCCGGUGUUUACACUUUGCCACUGUAUUAUCCAUGCUAGUUUAUUUUCGUUUUCUUGUUUUCUUGUUUUGUGUCCUUUUGAGAAAAUCCAAAAAGAUUUUCCUUUCUUCUUUUGCUUGUUGGGAGUUUUCCCGUGUAAAUAGUUUUCUUUUUCUUUGGGUCAAGGUAGAAGAUAUUGGUUACAAUGUUUAGUGGUUCUUGCNNNNNNNNNNNNNNNNNNNNNNNNNNNNNNNNNNNNNNNNNNNNNNNNNNNNNNNNNNNNNNNNNNNNNNNNNNNNNNNNNNNNNNNNNNNNNNNNNNNNCCUAUGCAUAGGCAUUUUAUAGGAAAACAGAUUGUCAAGACAACCAAUAGUUACCAUAUGAAAGGAAGAAGAAAGAGACAAUAGCAAUCUCAACAUAACGAGAGGUAAUUUGGUAACAUGAAAGUUUCUACCAAAAUAUUUUCCUCUCUCAUAGCAAUUACAUGUGGGCAAUAUAGCUAUCACAAAGGAUAUUAUUUUCAUGAUCCACAUGCAUGCAAAGUUGAUGCUCUUCAAAAAUAGUGGGAUUGUCAUCAACUAAAGUCAUGACUUCUCCAAACCCACUUUCAAUAAUAUUACAAAUAUCAUAUUCAUCAUGAGGCUUAAACAAAUUUUCAAGAUCAUAAGAAAAUUCAUCGCCCCACUCAUGAUCAUUGCAACAAGUAGUGGACAUAGCAAAACUAGCAUCCCCAAGCUUAGGGUUUUGCAUAUUUUUAGCAUGAUUGUCACUAAUAGAAUUUAUAGUGAUACCAUUGCAAUCAUGCUUUUCAUCCAAGGAGCCCUCGUGAAUCACUUCAUAAAUUUCUUCCUCACAAUUUUCAGAUUCACGCAUCUCAAGCAAAACUCCAUAAAGAUAGUCAAGUGCACUCAACUCACUAGCAAUUGGAUCAACAUAAUUGGAUCUCUUAAAGAGAUUAGCAAGUGGAUGAGGAUCCAUAUCACUAGAUUUUCAGCAAGCGAAGAUGCAAGCAUAUUGAAGGCACAUGGCACACAAGCGAGCACAAAGCAAGCGAGAGAAAAGGGCGAACAAAAAAGGCGAACGAAAAAGGCAAAUUGGUGAAGUGGGGGAGAGGAAAACGAGAGGCAACUCGCAAACAAAGUAAAUGCAAGAGAUGAGUUUGCGACACUUACUUGGAUGAGUUCUUGACUUGAUCCUCCCCGGCAACGGUGCCACAAAUUCUUCUGCUACGGCAACAGACAACAGCGCCAGAAAUUGACACAUUGACGGAGACUGGGCUUGCGUUGGUUUUUCCCUUGAAGAGGAAAGGGUGAUGCAGCACAUGAGCAGUAAGUAUUUCCCUCAGUUUGAGAACCAAGGUAUCAAUCCAGUAGGAGAAUCUCGUCAAGUCAAGAGUACCUGCGCAAACAUGAGCUUGCACUCAACACUUUAAAGGGGUUGUCAAUCCCUUGAAGAUUGAUUGCAAUGUGAGAGCUGAAGGCGGAAAGUGCAGCGAAGUAAAAAGUGUAAGGCCAAAAAUAUGGUGUGGAGUAGACCCGGGGGCCAUGGUGUUCACUAGAGGCUUCUCUCAAAAUAGCAAAUAUCACGGUGGGUGNNNNNNNNNNNNNNNNNNNNNNNNNNNNNNNNNNNNNNNNNNNNNNNNNNNNNNNNNNNNNNNNNNNNNNNNNNNNNNNNNNNNNNNNNNNNNNNNNNNNUAUAAUAAUAACUAAUUUAUUAUUGCCUCUAGGGCAUAUUUCCAACAAGAUGACAUGAUGUAGAGGGAUAAACUCAAACCAAUGAUGUAAACCCCAUCUUUUUACCCUUGAUGGAAAUUGUUGGGGAACGUCGCAUGGGAAACAAAAAUUUUCCUACGCGCACGAAGACCUAUCAUGGUGAUGUCCAUCUACGAGAGGGGAUGAGUGAUCUACGUACCCUUGUAGAUCGUAUAGCAGAAGCGUUACAGAACGCGGUUGAUGUAGUGGAACGUCCUCACGUCCCUCGAUCCGCCCCGCGAACAAUCCCGCGAUCAGUCCCAUGUUCUAAUACCGAACGGACGGCACCUCCGCGUUCAGCACACGUACAGCUCGACGAUGAUCUCGGCCUUCUUGAUCCAGCAAGAGAGACAGAGAGGUAGAAGAGUUCUCCGGCAGCGUGACGGCGCUCCGGAGGUUGGUGAUGAUCUUGUCUCAGCAGGGCUCCGCCCGAGCUCCGCAGAAACGCGAUCUAGAGGAAAAACUAUGGAGGUAUGUGGUCGGGCAGCCGUGAGAAAGUCGUCUCAAAUCAGCCCUAAUUGCUCCAUAUAUAUAGGAGGAGGGAGGGGGACCUUGCCUUGGGGUCCAAGGGACCCUCAAGGGGUCGGCCGAGCCAAGGGGGGGAGGACUCCCCCCCCAAACCGAGUUGGACUUGGUUUGGUGGGAGGAGUCCCCCUCCCUUCCCACUUCCUGCCUCUUUUUUUUUCUUUUCCUUUGAUUUCUUUUUCUUGGCGCAUAGGCCCCCUUGGGGCUGUCCCACCAGCCCACUAAGGGCUGGUGUGUCUCCCCAAAGCCUGUGGGCUUCCCCGGGGUGGGUUGCCCCCCCCCCCCCCCCGGGGAGACCCCNNNNNNNNNNNNNNNNNGGGUUGCCCCCCCCCCCCCACGGUGAACUCCCGGAACCCAUUCGUCAUUCCCGGUACAUUCCCGGUAACUUAGAAAACCUUCCGGUAAUCAAAUGAGGUCAUCCUAUAUAUCAAUCUUCAUUUCCGGACGGAAACCCUCGUGAUGUCCGUGAUCUCAUCCGGGACUCCGAACAACAUUCGGUAACCAACCANNNNNNNNNNNNNNNNNNNNNNNNNNNNNNNNNNNNNNNNNNNNNNNNNNNNNNNNNNNNNNNNNNNNNNNNNNNNNNNNNNNNNNNNNNNNNNNNNNNNUCCCCUCUCGUAGAUGGACAUCACCAUGAUAGGUCUUCGUGCGCGUAUGAAAUUUUUUGUUUCUCAUGCGACGUUACCCAACAAAACGCUCAAACCAGGCGCGGGGGGCUUACUUAAGGCCAUAGAGAGAGCGAUGAAGACGGCAUACCAUGCCAUCAGGAAUAGAAUACACAGGUGGUGGCUGCAUGUACACCUCCUCACACAGCUCACCAUUAAGAAAAGCAUUCUUAACAUCAAGCUGAGAGAUUGACCAGUGGCGUGUAGAGGCCACGUCAAGAAGUGUACGAGCAGUGGUCAUAUGAGCCACAGGAGCAACAGUCUCUUCAUAAUCACAACCAUGCUCCUGCUGNNNNNNNNNNNNNNNNNNNNNNNNNNNNNNNNNNNNNNUGCUGAAAACCACGAGCCACAAGACGAGCUUUGUGACGCUCAAGAGAACCAUCGGAGCGAAUCUUAACCUUGUAGACCCACUAACAAGUGAUGGGACGGACUCCGGGAGGAAGGGAAACAAGAUCCCACGUACCAGUGCGUUCAAGAGUAUUAAUCUCCUCUGCCGUCACAAACUGCCAUUCAGGAUGAACAACAGCCUGAUGAUAAGUAAUCGGCUCAAGAACAGCAGUACCAGCGGUGGAAAAUCCAAAGCGAUCAAUAGGCGGAUGAGGACGAGAACGCAAGCCAUAAGUAGGCUGAGACGAGGAUGACGACACAUCCAUAGAGGCAUCCAUAGAACGUGAACGACGAGUGUAACACUGAGAAAAAGAUGGAACAAUGGAAGGAGGAAUCACCAAGGUAGAAUCGGGGAGUGGCGACGAAGAAGUCACCGGAGAUGAAGGUGUAGAAUCCGGUGACAUGCUAGGCGAGGAGACCGUGGAAGAUGGUGGCGACAAAUCGACUGGAGGUGGAGCAGCAGAGGGAGCGGAACGAAUAGGCAAAGGCUCGACGGGUGUGAUAGGUGUGUCAGGAAAAGUGAGGAAAGAGAUAUCCUCCACUGAAAAGGUCGAGGAAGAUGGGCAUGGGUAGAAGGGACGAGACUCAUCGAAAGUCACAUCCCGAGAGAUACGCAUCCGACGACCGAUAGGAUCCCAACAACGAUAGCCCUUAUGCUCAUCACUAUAGCCUAAGAAGACACACUCAACAGACUGAGCGGUCAGUUUGGUGCGUUCGCGGGGGGCAAGAAGAACAUAGCAAACACAACCAAACAAGUGAAGCAUCGAAUAAUCGGGAGAACGAUCGAAAAGACGCUCGAAAGGAACACCACCCUGCAAAGCAGCGGAAGGCUGGAGAUUGAUGAGAUAGGUGGAGGUGGAGACGACCUCAGCCCAAAAAUGAGGCGGGAGAGAGGCAACAAUCAUCAAUGCACGAGCCGUCUCAAGAAGAUGACGAUGUUUGCGCUCAGCCACGCCAUUCUGAGCGUGAGCACCAGGACAAGAGAAUUGAGAGAGUCUCUUGCUUAGCAAGAACACCACGCAACAUCUUAGAGAUAUACUCGCCAGCGGAGUCAGCACGAAACAUGCGAAUGGGAGAAGAGAACUGAGUAUGAACCAUGGCAGCAAAACACUAACAAAUAGGUUGGGAAGCGACCAGCUAGAGAGAGAGAAGACGGUCAUGAACAUGCUUUAUGAAUAAUUAUCAUUGUAUACUAGCAUGAGUAUGAUAUAAACACCCUAAAUAUAAAUAUCAUGGAGGCUAUGUUGGUUUUGAAUCAACUACAUGCGUGAACAUGUGCCAAGUCAAGCCACUCGAACAUUCAGAGGAGGAUACAUAUCAUCAUACUAUAUCACAACCAUUUUCAUGCAUGUUGACAUACAUGAUAAGUCAUUAUCCACUCCUAGCUACUUAAGCAUGGCAUGGACAACUAUAAUCUCUAAUUGUCAUUGCAAACAUGUUUGGUCAUAAUACGCUAAAUCAUGGAUACUGGUCUAAACAUAUUUACAAAAACAAAAACAAGUUGAGUUCGUACCCACUUCCCUCUGCCACGGUCACUUCAUCAUGUGGCAUCAUUAUUGCCUUUCACUUUCACGACCAAACGAUAUGAAAAUAAUAAUAGUGCUAGAGCGUCGGGGACUAAGCUGGUAUCUGCAACAUUUUAUUCAAAAGGAAAAGACAAGGUAGUGUGGGCUCUUUAUUAGAGCAAUAAUAAUGCAUAUAAGAUCCUCUCAACACUUUCAUCAAGAUCUUCCCCUUGGGUGCAACUCAAUAAAGGAAAAAGAAAUUCAGAGAAACAAACUAAAAUAUUUUUGGAGUUUUUACUUUUUUUAGAAGAAGGCAAAUCUAAGAAGAGAGAACUAAAACAAGAAAAACUAUUUACACGGAAAAGCUCCCAACAAGUAAAAGAAGAAAAAAGAAAUCUUUUUUGGUUUUCUGCAAGUCUUUCAAACAGACAAGAAGAAGGCAAGAAAACUAAAUCCAACAUGGAUUAUAUAGUGCAAGAGUGUGAACACCGACAACUAGAAUAUGUGAGCAUGAAUGUAAAGUCGGUGGAAACAAGUACUCCCAAAAGCUUCGUCUUUUAGCCUAGCUUGGUAAUCACCACCCGUAGUGGUCUGGAUAAUAGUCAGUAGGUAACUCAUGGAAGCCCUUGGUGCAGCCUCCGCGGCCUGACGGGCAGCCUUCACUACCGUGUUGUACUCAUGCGCCUCCCUCUCAUAGACGUAAUAUCUUCCUUUUCCCUAGUAAUCAAAUAGGAAUGGUGCAUGCAAAAUAACAGGCACAAUAGAUUUCAUAUUUAAUAUUAGUUUGUAGUUAUAAUCAGUAGUUGUGGCCUUUAUGAACUUGUGGCGCUUCAUGGCCUCAAAAUCUAAGUACUGAGUAGGAAGAAUAGGCUCACUAGACCGCGAUGACACACUACACUUCUUAGCUAAACGGGAGGCAUAAAUUCCGCCAUAAAAAUGGCCACUGUAACGGUUGCGUUGCAAUCUAUGUUCUACGAUUGCUCGAAGAUUAUAACAUUUAAUUCCAGUUAACGCAGUAUGAAGGAAACUCAAGUCUGGGGCGCAUAAGGUACUACAAUCCUGCUUGCCCACUAUCCACUUUCCAUUAAAGAGUGCAAGGUAAUGAAUUAAAGGAAAGUGUAUGUUAUUUAUUCUACCUUGAGUCACUCCCCUAUCUUCACCAUAGCAAAGUCUAGUUGAAAUGCCUCUUAUUCAGAUUUGGUGGUUCGUCUAGCGAACCCCAACAUGGAUUUUUUCAUGCAUGAGAGAAAUCAUCUAGAGACAUGGUGAAGACAUUUCCUAGAGGUUAAAGGAGACUCUGAAUUCUCGAGGAUAAAAUUUAAACCCCGUAGUGAAAGUUUCAGUAAGAUGAUAAUGUUGUGUGCACUUAUCUGUGAUGAAGGGUCCGAGCUCAUUAUUAUGAAUGUAUUCCUCAAACUCUUCCUUAAUGCUUGCACCCAACAUGAACUCUUCACUUGGCCAAAGGCACGAUUUGGUGUGGGCUUAUCGCAUCGAGCUUUCACUUGGCUCAGCAUAAGACCAUCCUAUCGAAGUAUCACUCGAUGAUGCCUCCGAGGAUUUCCUCCUCAAAGACCUCCUCCUGAACUAGCUCAUUAUCUUACGUACAAAUUUCUGAAAACUUUGGGUCACAAAAUAAAGUUAACAAAACUUCACAAGAAUGAUAACAACUACUCAUAAGGAUGCCUAGAGCCUAAAACAAGCAUUCAAACUACUUGGAAAUUCAAGAAUUCAACAUGCAAGCUCAUCCAUAGCAGCACCUAGAGUAGCUUAUUACUUCUAAGAUAAACCACUAAAUCAAAAACUAAUUGGAGGAGUGGGGGAGUUACAUACUGUAACGACUAAGAUGCGGUCCUUUCCGAUCUGGGGGUCGAGGCCCCGAAUAGGAAAGAAGCGCAUCUAAGUGUUUUGCAAGCAAGUAAACAUAGCACAUAAUAAUAAAUAUAGUAGACAAUCUGGGAUUCAACUGUCUUCUUAUUAAAGAUACAGAGUACAACACAGAUACAAACAAGGUAGUUCCGGUACGGACUACAAAACAAGGGAAAUGCUAUGCUACCCGCUGCAGGCCCACGAUCACGACCACGGCUCAGUCUUCUGGAUAGUUCACGUAAAGGCGAUCUGUCUCCUCGUCGUACUGCCACGCCAGCUGGGUGCCGUCGUGAUCGUCUGACUCUGGGGUACCUGUACCUGCUGGAAGUUUCGGAGGAAUCCGUGAGUCACGGGGACUCAGCAAUCUAAGACCUUGGUGCCAGACCUAGUCAUGUUAAUGGGUAAGGAAGGGAUGAAGUGUUUCCGGCUGCUGCAUCCUAAGAUUGAAUAAGUGGCUAACUUACGCAAAGGGAAAAGUGACAGUGAUCUAUACUAACGGACGUGAAUACUUGAUCCGAAAGUGAUCCUGAACACCUACCUACGGCAUUCAUAACCCCGCCGUGUUCCCGAUCGAAGAGAGACCUUCGAGGGGACAGUCACGGAUACGCACACUGUUGACAUGUUUUAUUAGUUUAUGUUUAAGUUUUCUAAUACCGGAUGUUAACAAAAUAUUCCAAGUUGCCACAUAACCGCGGGCACGGCUUUCCGAAAAGAUUAAACCCUGCAGGGGUGCUCCAACUAGUCCAUCACAAACGAACACAGGCCGCAAAGUCACCCUCUAUCACGAAUCUCGUGAUCUCGUCGGAUUCCUUAGAGGAAAACCUCAACUCUGGGGUAAACCAAAGCCUCACCGGGAUUCCUAUACGCAAGAUAUACCGCUAAGGUAAGACAAGGCUAGCAGGACCUCCUGGUGUGUCGACGACCCGAUAAGAGCCGCGUAUCUCCGUCUCAGGACAACACCGUCUAUGCAAAGUGGACAAGGACCAAACCUCAAGUUACCCCGGGGUGGUCUUGCCGACUGCUAGGUGGUUGGACCAACACUCAUGAGGAGCACUGGCCCGGGUUGUUGAUUAGGAUCCUCGGGGUAGCUAUUCCCUAUGCAGAUUAUUGUUAGGUGAUUAGCAGAUAGUACCAAAGUUGGGUCCUGCGGGACAAGCCUUAACACUACGCGAUUUAUCAAGGGGGUCCCCAUAACAACCCCGAACGUGUUAGGAGCGAUCAUUAUGGAAUCAAACACCGGUAACCGGUAACUAAGGCGGCAAUAACGGAACAAGACACCCGGCAAAAGGCUAGGCCUCCCGUCAUUUACCAAAUAUAUAGAUACAUUAAUAAAAUAACAGAAAUUAACAUAAUGAUAUCAAGCCCAUGGCAACUCAUGAGUUAUAAACACCUGCAACUAGCAAUGCUAACAUUAGUAGCUGAGCAAGCCUACCUAGCCUUGCAAGUUUGCUAGGAAAGGGUAAGGUGUUUAGGCUCAUGGCAUAUGAAGAGGUAAUAUAUUUUCAGUGGUAGGCAGCGAGCAAUAUGACGUAGAAUCGAAACUAACAUAACAAGUCUAGAUAUGGGAUCAAGGUCAUGUCAUCUUGCCUGUGAUAUCCUCAGCUUGGAAUGGUUCUGGAUCGUCCUGCAAGUACUCUCCUGACUCCACGUAAUCGGUCUCCGCUCCCGGUGCUACCCAACACAGGAAUAACAGCCAAUGAACAGCAGCACCACAAAAUGCAACAAUCACAUGAUGCAUGAGAUGAAAGUUGAGCAUGCACCACUAUUUCUAACACUAGCACAAGCAAGAUAAACUACAACGAGUUCCUGGACAGAACUUUGCACUAAACUAUUUGUACAUGCAUGGAAAUGAUAUGGACAGAUGCAUCUCGUAAAAACGGUGCAAAACCAUAUAAAGAACUUUGCAAACGGAGCUACGGAUCAACGGGAAUCAACGAAACACGAUAUGAAGCCCUACGUGAAAGAUUCAUCACCACACACACAAUUGGCACAAAUCUGGUGUUCCCAGGUUUCCAAGACAUAUAUUAACCCAACAUGAAUGAAAUGGAGCAAGGUAGAACACCCCAACAACAAUUAAACACAAACUUUGAACAAAAUGUCAAAACUACGCAAUCUGCCAGUUUCUGCAUCUUAGCUGUUUGUGAGCCACAUGCAACAUAGCUACAGGUCUUCAAACAUGACAAAUAAUAUAUGUGGAUGUUGACAACCAAGAACACUACCAUCUCCAGCAAGAAUCACAGCAAAAGGAAUUAAAAUCUAGAAGAUACAAGGCCACAAACUUUCCCAAAACCAUCAGUUCUCAGGGACUUAGUGAAAAUUUCUGCACCUGAGUUUCUGUUUCUGUUCUGAAGCCUUUUGACAGCAAUUAAAACACAAGCUACUGGACUCCAAAUGACUUGAAAAUUUACAGGAAGCUGCACAAACAUACCAGGUUCAAAACACUAGCACUGAACUAAGUCCAGUUCUCAACAUACUGACCUGCACAACCUUAUCUACAGGGGAAGAAAAUGUUUUCAGCAUUCCAGACUUAGUGAAAUUUUCAGAGUUCAAAAUUCUGGAAUUUUUCCAGCCACAUGCCCACUUUGUCUAGGCAUAGUUUGCACACACAAGUUCCCAAGAGGUGUUUGACACCACUAUGGUAUUGAGCACAAACCCCUACAACUAGCACUCCAAGAUCCAUGCCUUUGGGCUCCAUCUAUACCAUGGAAACAAAGCCCAAACUUUCAACAAAAUGAAAAAGGCAAAUCCAAAAGGUAUACUUUUAAGAUGACAACUACAUCGGAGGGUUUCAUGUGCACAAUGACAACAUGACAUGGGGGUUUGAACCCCAUGUUUGUGUCAUGCACAUCAACAAUUCCCACACCACAAUUCCUCUCAAGCACUAGCAUCAAGCUCACACAUAAGAAAUCUUUAUCCAACAAGAGAGUAUGCACACCCCCCCACAUAUGGGCAUGUGAUGGUGCAACUCUCAUAAGCAUCAAUAGGAUUUUCCUAGUAUUCAUGUCACCAUCAUUAUGCAAACUACCGCAACAAACCACACCCUCACAUGCUAACACAAUAGCUAUCUAGUGCUACUCCUCACCUCAAGACAUGUGAUGAGGGGGAGGCACCCACACCCCACUACAUCAAAGCAAGCAAAUAAAACUACAAGAUCCCUUAGCCCACACCAAAGUUCAAGAAUUUGGGGCUAUACAAGAGUAGCUAGUGCCUCUUAUCACCUCAAGGCACACACACUCAAAUGUCAAGGCAUCUCACAUCUCCCAUUUAACAAGGUUAGCUCCACUUCACUAAGGUGCACCCUCCAUAGACAUCCAAGCAUUGCAAGUUCAUACACAAACACAAACUCUUAUGCACAAAACAACCCUUGUGGGUGUGCCACCAUGCACACACCCCAACACCAACCUACACCAAGCCUAAUACAAGCACACACUAUGCAGGAAAGGAGAAAACUAAAGGCCAAGGAAGGGGGAAAAAAUACCACAUGCAAAUAGGGAAGUUUAGCUACCAUCUAGCAAGGAAGGGAAAAAAAUUGACAAGAAAACAAUGUUCAGAGAAAAAGGGGGAGGUGCUGGGGUCGAACCCCAGACCUGCUGGAGUGCAAGCCGCAAUCCUACCACUCUGCUAGGCUCUAGGUACUCAACAAAAAGGGAACCAAACAGAGGAACUACUAUCUGCUCUGCCCUGCUGAUAAAACAAGAAAAAGAAAGCAAAAAGGGGGAUGAUUCUACUGGGAUUCGAACCCUACACCUGAUGAAAGAUCAACGCACCUUCUACCACUGUGCUACGACGCAUUGUCUGACAGAGGAGGGAAAUAAUGCAUCCUGACAUGGCCUCGCUUCAGGUCGCUGGACUGCACCUGCGAUCCGGUGACAGGGAGGUCACCGGAGCUGCAUCUCUGUCCCGUCUCUACUACGCCUGCGGGAGAGGGAAAGGGCUCCUGCGCGUCUACCCUGUACCGUCCCUCAUCAACCAACUACCCUGCUAUACACCACGCACACACACACUUCCUGACGACCUCUCCUGGGAACAGAGAACCCUCUACUAUGCCUGCUAACUCAUGGGGAAGGGAGGAGGCGGUCGUCACCUAGAACCGGAAGAGGGGGCGCCGAUCUGCAACGGGAGAGUGCCGGAGAGGAAGAAGGGCGUCGGAGUAGCUGAUCCUGAACCGAAGAAACGCUGCAGGGGAAAGAGCACCGGGAGCUUGCCGUAGACGUGGACGGAUCCGGCGGAGCAGCCGGUCCCCUGGGCUCCUAGUGCCGGGAAUGGAUCGCGGGGAUCCACCCCGAGCUCCUGGACAUGGUGACGGCGGCGAUCUGCAACGGGAGCGAGGCGUCCGCCGGCGAGGAGCUGCACCACUUGGUCUACCCCUACAGGAACCCUCCUGUAGACGGGAGGAGAGAUGGGAAAGAGGAGAAGAGGUGGCGGCGGCGGACUGGGGAGAAGAGGAACCCUAGGAGGAGAGGGGAGGCACGGGCGCCCGGCUUAUAAGGGUCCCCCUCGACGUUGGCGCCCUCACGGCGUCAACAGGAGCACCCUCAAACUGACGGGAAAACUGCAGGGAAAGCCACGGCGUCAACAGGAGGAAGGAGCUGCGGUACUGGGCCUCUACUCGCGAGGGAGGGAGUAGAUGGGCCACAUCUUGCGCGGGAAGCAGCCCAACUCGGCGAGAUAUAAGGAAUAAACUCCUCCCUAAGCAGUUUCCUUUUAACAGGAAAACAAGAGAAGAAAGAAAUGCCCAAGGUUAUAAACACAAGACAAAAAAAAACAAAAGAAGCUCCCUGGACUUGGAAAAUCUAACCUUAUUUUAUAAAACUCAAAACAAGAAUUUAGGAGCAAUUAGAUAUUUUACAAAACAGCAAUAUUUGAUAUGUUUUGUGAUUAUAUAUGCCCCUAUGAACACCCAUGCAAAUCCAGCAACUUACAUACUCAUCCACCACAAUUCUAGCUAAAACAUUGGCAUUAUUUUUAAAAGGAAAGAAAGAGGUGAAUUUUUGUAUAGGAAAAAAAAUAUCGAGGGGGGAAGAAGGUGGUUGGUUUUGAAAGGAAAUAAAAAUAUAGAUGAGCACUUGCUACACAUGCUACACUCCACACAAGGCACACAACACAAGAUCACAUGAAAUAUAACACCCACUACUCACCCUAGUAAGAGCAUAUGCAAGCAUGAUCCUGACAUACAAACAUAAGGCAUGGCAAGGGAUGAUAUGUGGUGCAUGCAUGCAAGUGAAGUAAGCACUAGGGCCACACAUGAAAUCAUGGCACAAAAUAAUAACAUCACAAUCUCUGACAAGGUGGCCCCACAAGGAAGGUUACAAAAAGGGAAAAACCUGCACUUGGGGCAUUACACAUACCAAGGAGCAAUCCCCCAUAAUAAUUCCAGAAACGGAGCUUCGAGCAAAGAGAUCGAAAUCCGCGGGUUUGAGAGCAAGAACACGGGAAAGAAAGCAAUGGUGAUUUUUUUUCGGAGGUAGGUGAUGGCAUGGGCUAAGGAGAUAAGUGAGGGGGUCCCCAAGGGCCCCACUACCCACCACAACGCGCUUGGUGGGGGUGGCACGCCCUGGUGCCUAGUGGCCACCUCGGACACCCCCUGCAGUGUUUUUAGUGUCGGAUAUUCUCAAAUAUUCGGAAAAACCAUGUGAAAAUUUCAGGUCAUUUGGAGAACUUUUAUUUUUGGGCACUUUUUUAUUGCACAGAGAAUUCAGAAAAUAGGAUAAACAUGACAUUUAUUGUAUUUAACUAAAAAUAACAGGAAAGAUAAAGUGGGUACAGAAAGUUGUGCCUACUAAAUUCAUUGACCUCGUGCCUCUAGAAAAUGAUUCAUUAACAAGGUUGAUCAAGUCUUAUUAACAAGCACUUCCAAUUAGCAUGAAUCCGAAGAAUUUUCGUAAAACACUAAGUUACCUCGACGGGGAACUGCAUAUCCCCAAUGAUAAGUAUUUCAUAUUUAUUUUUGGCAGUAGGUAGAGGUAGUUGAAAACUUCCAUUUGUGAUAGUCGGAGAUUUUUCAAUAACAUUAACACCAUUCACUUGAAAUUGUUUCCUCGAAAAAUGCACCGUGUGUUCUUUACCAUUGAUAUGAAAAGUGACUUUGCUUUUGUUUCAAUCAAUAACAGCCCCUGCAGUAUUUACGAAAGGUCUACCAAGGAUAAUCGACAUGUUGUCGUCCUCGGGCAUAUCAAGUAUAACAAAGUCUGUCAAGAUAGCAACAUUAGCAACAACAACAGGUACAUCCUCACAGAUACCAAUAGGUAUGGCAGUUGAUUUGUCAUCCAUUUGCAAUGAAAUGUCAGUAGGUGUAAUUUUAUUCAAGUCAAGUAUUUGUAUAAAGAGAAAGACAUAACACUAACACCAGCUCCUAGAUCACAUAAAGCAGUUUUCACAUAGUUAUUUUUUACGGAACAUGGUAUAGUUGGUAUUCCUCGAUCUCCUGAUUUUUUUAGGUACUCCAUCUUAAAAGAAUAAUUAGCAAGCAUGGUGGAGAUUUCAGCUUCAGGUAUCUUUCUUUUAUUAGUGAUGAUGUCUUUCAUGUACUUAGCAUAAGGGGCCAUCUUUAAAAGAUCAGUUAAAUGAGUACGCAAAAAGACUGGCCUAAGCAUUUCAGUAAAGUGUUCAAAUUCUUCAUCAUCUUUUUUCUUAGUUGGUUUGGGUGGAUAAGGCAUGGGUUUUUGAACCCAUGGCUCUCUUUAGUUGCCAUGCUUUCUAGCAACAAAAUCUCUUUUAUCAUAACGUUUAUUCUUAGGUUGUGGGUUAUUAAGAUCAACAACAGGUUCUAUCUCAAACAUCAUUAUCUGGUUCCUUAUCAUUAUCAGGUUGAGCAUCUACAUGAGCAUCAUCAUUAUCAUUUUCAUUAUCACUAGGUGAAUGCUCACUACCAUAUUGAGUUUUCGUAUCAGAGAUAGAGGUAUCAUUAGCAUUAGCAGAAGGUUUUUCUACUCCAGGUUCACUAGAAGUAUGCAAGAUCCUUUCAUUUUUCUUUUUCUUUUUCUUCUAGAAGGACUAGGUGCAUCAACAUUAAUUCUUUGUGAAUUUUGUUCAAUUCUUUUAGGAUGACCUUCUGGAUAUAGUGGAUCUUGAGUCAUUGUUCCUCCUCUAGUCAUUACUCUAACACAAUGAUCAUUCAUAUUAUUACUCAUUCAUGAAGUAACUCACUUUGAGAUUUAGCAAUUUGUUCUAGUUGAGUUUGAACCAUAGAAACAUGUUUUCCUACACCUCUUACAUCAUUCGUGAUUCGAAAUAACAAGUCACUUAAGAAAGCAAUCAUAUCAGAUUUUUGUUUCAAUUGUCUCAUAACAUAGGAGUUAAAAUGAUCUUCUUUCUAAAAUAAUUAUCAAACUCAUAUGAUCAUUGACUAGGUUGUUUAUUGUAAGGGAUGCCACCUUCAUCAAUCUUUAAAAGAGAAUUUACCUCCACCACCUAUGUUGAUGUGUUGAGACCAUUCUUAACAUCUUCAGUUUUAAUGCCUUUUCCUUCAUACAUUUUUGCCUCUUGCAUAGUUUCAUGACUAAGGAAUAAGAUACCCGUCUUCUUUGAAGUGGGUUUAGGCGGCGGUUCAGGAAGUGUCCACUCAUCAUGAUUCUUCAAUAUAUUAGUCAAUAAUUCCUUAGCUUGUUCGACCAACUUGUUCCCUAAAAACACAACCAAUACAACUAUCUAGGUAGUCCCUAGAAGCAUCGAUUAGUCCAUUAUAAAAUAUAACAAGUAUUUCAUUUUUCUUAAGAGGAUGAUCAGACAAAGCAUUAAGUAAUUGGAUAAGCCCGCCAAGGUUGUGGGAGAUUUUAUUCUUCAAUUUGCACAAAGUUAAAUAUUUCUUGUAUGGCAACUUGUUUCUUAUGAGCAUGAAAAUAUUUUUCACAGAAGUAAUAAAUCAUAUCCUGGGGACUAUGCACACAACUAGGAGCAAGAGUGGCCGAGUUUUAGCAUCACCCUUUAAUGAGAACGGAAAUAAUUUGAGAACAUAGCAGUAGCGAAUUUUCUCAUCAUGAGUAAAUAUGGUGGCUAUAUCGUUUAACUUAGUGAGAUGUGCCACAACAGUUUCAUUUUCAUAGCCAUGAAAAGGACCAGAUUCAACCAGAGUAAUUAUCACUGGAUCGACAGAGAACUCAUAAUCCUUAUCGGUAACAAAGAUAGGUGAAGUAACAAACUUAGGGUCAUAUUUCAUUCUAGCAUUCAAGGAUUUUUCUUUCAACUUGCAUAGUAGUUUCUUAAGAUCUUCUCUAUCCUCAGAAGCAAGAAAGUCUAUAGCCAUUUCUUCAUCCAUAACAUAACCUUCAGGUAUUUCAGAUUUCAGUUCUAGGAUAGUCAUGUCUAAAAGGUAUUCCAAUAUUUUCAGUUGCAAAGACUUCACCAGUUUCAAUAGUAUCAUCAGUUUCAGCAUGCUCAAUUUCUUUAGCUCUAGCAAGUUGUUCAUCAAGAAAUUCACCCAGUGGGACAAUAUUAUCAAGCAAGGUACUAGCAUCAUCAUAAUCAUCAUUCUUAGAAGAGGUAGCAUCAUCAAUAACUUGCAUCAUAUCAGGAUUAAUAGCAUGUGGUGGUGGUGCUGCAAGUCUAUUCAAAACGGAAGGUGAAUCAAAUGCAGAGCUAGAUGGCAGUUCCUUACCUUCCCUUGUCUUAGAGGGAACAAUCUUGAUUCUUGGAUCUCUCAGAUUAUUCAUAGUGAUCAGUAAAUAGAUAUCCCAAGUGACUCAGCAAAUAUAGCUAUGCUCCCCAGCAACGGCGCCAGAAAAUGUUAAUGAUAACCCACAAGUAUAUGAGAUUGCAAUAGUUUUCGAGGGUAGAGUAUUCAACCCAAUUUUAUAGAUUCGAUACAAUGGGAGCCAAAGAAUAUUUGCAGGUCUUAACGACUGAGUUGUCAAGUCAACCACACUUGGAGCUUUAGUAUUUGUAGCACAGUGAUCAGUAGCACAGUAAUAUGAUAGUUUUGAUAGCAUUGGUAACGGUAGCAACAGUAAUGGUAAUAAUGAUAGCAGUUUUGUAGCGGUUGUAACAGCAGCGGCAACAGUAGUAACUUAGCAAGAACAAUAUGUGGAAAACUCGUAGGCACUAGAUCGAUGAUAUUGUGGGAUGAUAUUCAUCAUGUAUCAGUCAUAACAUAGGGCGACACAGAACUAGCUACCGUUCAUCGAUAUACUAUGGUCAUGUAUUCCGCAAAUAGUCAUAUGUGCUUAUGGAAAAGAACUCGCAUGACAUCUUUUGUCCUACCCUCUCGUAGCAGCGGGGUCCAUAACCAGAACAAAGCAUUAACACAAAAUGAAUACAUGAACUCCUCAUACUACAGUAAUCACCGGAAAGAAUCCCAAUUAUUGUCACCUUGGGGUAUGCGGAUCCUAACACAUAGUAGGUACAUAUAACUUGCAAGAUCGGAUCAAGAACAUAGAUAUAAUGGUGAAACAUAAAUGAUUCAGAUCUAGAAUCAAUGCACUCGGGCCCUAGUGACAAGCAUUAAGCAUAGCAAAGUCAUAGCAACAUCAAUCUCCGAACAUAGUGGAUACUAGGGAUCAUGACCUAACAAAGCUAACUCGAUUACAUGAUGAAUCACAUCCAGCUCUUCACCGACCAGCAAGCCUACUAAGGGAUUACUCACUCCCGGUGUAGACCAUCAUGGAAUUGACGAUGAAGAAGGGUUGGUGAUGACGAAGAUCGAAGAUUCACCUCUCCGGAGCCCCAAAUGGACUCCCGAUUUGGCCUCCCGAUGAAGAAUAGGAGGUGGCGGCGGCUCCGUAUCGUGAAACGCGAUGAAACUUCCACCCUGAUUUUUUUUCUUCCGAAAAUAGGAUUUUAUAGCGCUGAAAUUAGGGUUUGGAGAGCCCCAUGGGCCCCACUAGCUACCAGGGAGCGCUAGGGGGGCCUGGCGCGCCCUGGUGCCUAGUGGGCGCUUGGGGCCUCCCCUCCAGUGGGUCUUGGUUCUAGUAUUUUUCUUUUAUUUCAUAAAAAUUCUCCAAAAAGUUUCGUUCCAUUCCGAGAACUUCUAUUUCCGCACAAAAACAACACCAUGGUAGUUCUGCUGAAAACAGCGUCAGUCCGGGUUAGCUUCAUUCAAAUCAUGCAAAUUAGAGUCCAAAACAAAAGCAAAAGCUUUAGGAAAAGUAGAUACGAUGAAGACGUAUCAAAAAUCGAUUUUUACAGGACGAUGCAUAUUGUUAGAAUUGCUCUUACGUGCAAUAAGAAAGGAAGACCGUCCAGCACUGCAAUAAGAAAGGAAGACCGUCCAGCACGGCUGUACUCAGCCCUAGGGUUUGCAUCCCGCCGCCGCCCUUCCUCCCUCUCCCUAUGAAGAUCACUAGUGGCAAGGGCGGUCCCUUGGCGCGCCUCCUCUAUGGUCAUGUGCGUACUAGUUUUGCAGGUGUGGUUGUGAACGUGCAUAUGCAGUCCAGAGUUGCACAGUUGUUAAAAUAUGAAUACUGGUAAAACACGCGCAACAGAGAAGUGAUCAAUCAUCAUGCAUAUCAGAUAGCUGCCAAUCUUACAAGGUGGAAGAUAUGAAACCUACAAAAAUUCUCUUUUAAGGUGACCAUGACAACCAUGAUACUAUUUUGACAUUGACCAUGGGUAAAAUGGCAGCAGUAGUUCUUGAUUUAAUGAAUAUCAAGUUGUUGCCGGCACACUACAUCUUGAAACAAUGGACAAGAGAAGCACGUUCAGGAUCCAUCAAAGAUUGUUAUGGACAGACUGUGGUUGAAAAUCCAAAGUUGGAUGCCAUCACCCGAUACAAUUUUCUUAUACACAUGUGUUGUGAGUUGGCAACUCUAGCAUCCAACUCCAAGGAGUGUUGUAUUUCCAUUGAGAAUGCACUUAUUAGUGCUACUAAGCAAGUGAAAAACUAUUGGGUGCAUGCACAACUAAUGCUGAAGAAAGAUGCCAUGUCGAGGUGACUCAAACAUCAAAUGAAAUGUCGAGUGCUGCAUAGGUGACUGAAAUAUCAAAUGAAUUGUCAAGUGCUACACGCCUGAAGAAAAAAGAGGUUGAGAAGAAAGGCUUUAAAAGAAAAAAAAGGUUUCCUUGAGAGGCAACACAAGAGAACAAGGAAAACACCAUCUACCACCUCAGCAAGAAAAGAAAAAGAAGAUAUUUCCAUCAGCCAACAAGAAGAAAAGGAGAAGGUAAUAUCACAGACUAGUUCGAUAAAGAAAGUUGUCUCAGAAAAAUAAGCAAAACGGGCCAAACCAAUACCGAAUGAAGCAAGCUUUGAAAAAUACGAGUUCAUGGAAAGUUUCACUGAUCUGUUGACAGCUUCUAUUGUUAAAGACAUAGAUGCUGACCCAUUUUGAUGCUUCCAUUUUGGUUGUGGUCGAAAUUAUUUUGAAUGCUACAGUUUGUACUCUGAAAAUGUUCAGAAUGGUAGAGUACAGGUAGCUAGUAAGGUAGGAGUUCCUUUUGUUUGGCACUGUAAGGAUUUCUAUUUUCUUAAGCUGCGACUUGGUGAGACUUUGCGAUUGGCAAUGUGUGGCAAUGUGUAUUACUCCCUCCGAUCUCCGUCCCAAAAUAAGUGUCUCAACUUUGUACUAGCUCUAGUACAAAAUUGUACUAAGCUUGAGACAGUUAUUUUGGGAUGGAAGGAGUACUAUGUAAGAAUCAGUUUUUACACUGAUUUCUAAAAAAUCAGAAACUUGCUCUUACCUGCUGGAGGUGAUGGAGCAAUGAAGCUUCAGUCGAGGGGAUGGAGACGCAGGCUGCGAUGAUGAUGGCGACGAGCCGCCGGAGGCGCGGACGGAGCUGCGGGUGAGGUCCACGAAUCGACGCCGGCGCGGGCAGGUACGCAGGUGGCCAACGGAUCGGCGGCAGCGAAGAGGCGGUGACUGAGCGCGAGGUCCGUGGCCGCGAACCUGCGACGACUGAGCGCGAGGUAGAAGGUCGUCCAAUCGCGGCGGCGCGGGCGAGGCGGCUGAUCAGGGCGGCGCGAGCGAGGCGGCGGUGGCAGAGUCCGGCUGGGAACAGCGACUUUUCUUUACCAAUUAGGAGGGGCGAUUUUUUAGCAGAGUCCGGCUGGAUCCGUGUGCCUUAAUCAAUCCCCGGUCUAUAAAUCCUUCGUAAAACUCCCAUAUGUGUAGGGUCAAGCCGGGACAUCGCUUCGUAACGUCAGAGGAUCCGGCUCCCCCUACGGAGGCCAUGCCGCCGCUGCGUAUACGUGAGUUGCCAUGCCGGAGCGGGCCCGUCAACCACGCUGCCGGCGCUCCGACAGCACCCACUCGUGGAUGGGAUUUCCUCUUCAACCGUCUCUUCGGUGGCCGCCGGCGCCCUGCUCUCCCGCUCUCUGUCCACAGUUCCGUCGAGCUUUCUGCCUGGUGAGAAAACCCUUCUCGAAUUGGCGCGCCGCCCACGCUGUGCCAGCUUUUGCUGGAGUAGUACUGCCGUGCUUGUGCUUUCGUCGAUUUUGGGCUGAACUCAUAUUUUUCUUGUGCUGAUUUUCGCUUACUUGUGAUGGGGUGAGGUGUGAGGAAACUGUAUUAAUGUGUGGGGGAGUUAGUCACUAUAUGCCAACACAUCACUUUCCUUGAAACAAUAUUCCAUAGGCUUGGAAAAUUUGAGAUUCUUGUACUGUAUAUGAUACUUGCAGGGAUAUUUAUAAGAUGCCCAUUGGCUGUGUCAUCUUGGAAGAAAUUAUGCAACGCACACUGUCCUAUUUGCGUACUAUUCAGGAAAGUUUAUACUAUUGGAAGUCCAGGGCUCGGGUAACAUGUUCUCACGUACAUCUUUCAGUUCCUUUUGCACUAUAUAUCAGUAAUGGUAUAUACACAUAAGUUGGUCAUGUUUGUUUUUGUGUUUGUGGAUUCUUUUUCAGGGUUCAAAUUCACAGCAGAUAUAUUUCAUGAUAUUUGAAAGAGGUCCAAGUGCUUUUGUUGAAACAACAUGCCAACGUCUGACUAGACUUGGGAACAACGGAGGUCAGCAGAGCCUUUUAAACUCUGCAAAAGCUAUGAUCUCAACAAACAUUGAUGUCCUAAUGAGUAUUGAGCGCUGCUUGGCUACUUUUCUUGCUGAGGUUUGUUAGCCUAAUUUGUUUUUAAUGGCGAAGUAGCAACAGAGCUGUGGUACUCUACUGAUAUGAAAUAAAAUGACUGAUGUAGUAAUAUAGUUAAAUUUUGAACCCAUCUUUAUUCAUACAUUAGACAUUCCUCUGUACUAAAUGGCCACUUUAUCUUAUACAGUUAUUUAAAUUCUACCUCUCAUGUUUGACAGGUUUAUUGGAAAGCAGAUAUAUGCAAAGUAGGAUUAAAGGGAAGUCAUCGCGAAUCACUAUAUGCACUAUGUAUCGUCUUGAACCAUGUCUUCCCCAAGUUGGAGGAAUUACAUAGAAAGGAGAGAGAGGUAUGGAUUGUUUUUUAUUAAUGUAUAAAGUAUGUAAUAUGUCCUUCGAUGCAAUAAUUAAUUAGUCAACUAUAUAUUUUCAGGGGCAAACUCUUAUAUUCAGACAUGUUGGAAAUCCAUCUGAACUUCAAUUCAAAAGAUUGCCAGAAGUUGACAUUAAUAGUUCACUUUGGACCGAGAGAUUCUCAGAAAGUGCUAUAGGCUUGAUCUAUCAAAACCUUGAGAAGCUAGAUAGUUAUGUUUCCUCUUUGGUAUGCAAUUCUUUCUUCAUAGGUUGUAUAUACUUAUCAAAUCAGGAUGCAACCGUCUAUUUAUAGGGAUUCCUUUCUUAGGGCUCCUUUGAUUCAUAGGAAUUUGGAGGAUUAGAAUGCUUAGUACUUUUCCCUAUGUUGGUUGUUUGAUUCAUAGGACUGAGGCCCCCUUUGUUUGGGCUUUGGAUUCUGAGAUUCUGCUGUCAAUCCUGAUUUCUGAGAAUCAGCUGUGAUUCUUGAUUUCUGGAAUCAGAAGCAGACUGUUUGUUUACCCUGCUGUGGGAUCUGAGAAUCAGAAUCUGUCUGUUUGUUUACUUUGUUGUUUGGGCAGCUUUACGGAUCGUAAUUAAUGUAAAAUAUUUUAAAAAUUGAAACCAUCAUCCAAAAUGUACGUUCAAUUACCAACAAUCAUCCUAAACGUACAUCAACCAUCACUCAAAAGUAGUGCGUAAAACUAAACUUCAUCUGUAGCUGCCAAUAAUCCAUCAGCUAUUCUCUCCCUGGUUACUUUCAUCAGAGCAUCAUCACCAUGCACAAUGUUAGAUACCCGACCAGUAGGUGGAGGUAGUAGAUCUCCUGGCAUGUAGUACUCAUCACGAUCACAUCUAUCAAACUCUUUAUCUCUCAAGUGGUUGUCCCUGAUAAAAUUAUGAAGUGCCAUACAAGCAACAAUGAUCAAAGCUUGCUUGUCACAGGGGUAAGAUGGCAUAUGCAAUAAAAUACGCCACUUCAUCUUUAACACACCAAAUGCACGCUCAAUGACAUUGCAUAGCGACGAAUGGGCAUGGUUAAAGAUUUCUUUUUUACCAUUGGGGGGAUCACCAUGGAUAAAUUCUGGCACAUGGUAUUUUGUUGACUUGUAUGGAGCUAGAUAUCCCUCACAAUUUGGAUAACCCGAAUCAACAAGAUAGUACCUACCUGAAAAACAACACAUGUAUUGUUAUGUACUAUGGUAUUGUAUUAUGGUAAUGUAAUAAUACAAUAAACAAUUGUAAUGUUACCUUUCGGCGGGUGUGGAAACAUGGUUGCAUACUUGACCAAAGUAUCCUUAAAUAUUCUUGUGUCAUGUGCCGACCCUGGCCAUCCCGCAACUACAGAGGUGAAUCUCAUAUCAAAGUCGCAUACUGCCAUGAUAUUCUGUGUUGGGUACCCAUGCCGACCAACAUGGUUCACUAUCUCUUCAGCGGGAACAACCACAGGGAUAUGAGACCCAUCAAUUGCACCAAUGCAAUCAUCAAAGUGAGGUGAAAAUCUAGAAUCUCGAAGCCUUUCAUGCACGUCUCUGAAGUCCGGAUCUUUUGGCUUAAUAGUAUCUACAGCCAUCUUGUUCAAGCACUCUAGCACAUGGUUGAAUUUCCUGUGUAUUACCUCGGUUGACCGCUUGAAUCGAUUCUCCACUUGGCUAACGGAUUGAGGACCACCAACUAUCCACAAGAACAUACCCAAGCACUCCUCUGAGCUCAUGUUCCUUGUUGAUGUCAAACCAUAAUUUUGCACAAGAGUCUCAUGCAAUCUAUCAAAACAAGGUCUGUACAUCCUAAACAUGGCAUAGCAAUCUUUGUUUGUACUCAAAUUUUCAGUUACCCAUUGUUGACCGGUCAUGAUAGGAAUUCUCCUAUUCCUUUUGGUUAAGAACUUCUCACCGUACAUGACGGCAACACCGUACCAGAUAUUGUACCAGGCAUGAAUGAGCUCUCUCCAGUAACAAGGACAUUCUCAAACAUCCUGCUCAUCUCAUCCAAAUGUUCAGGUCCACGUUUACGAAAUGCCAGAAACUCCUUGUUUUCCUGAAAACAUAAUAGUAGGUAUAGUGUUUUGUUGUAGUCACACAUUCUCAAAAUUACUGUACUAGAGUAAAACUUACUUCUCCCAUUUUCUUCCACCAAUCAUCAUCAGCUACCACAGUAUUUGCUUCAUCAUUCCAACCUAAACCUGUUGUCUUGUUCUUGAAGGUCAUCCAAUUGGUGUACUCCUUCUUCAUACUAUCCCAUUUAUUUUUGAAUUGUUGUUUGUUAUAAUCUCUUCUUGUUUCUCUAAAAAAACCCUCAGCAAGGUUUUUGUAACCAACGGGACUCAGAAACUUGAGAGGCCUAUUCCCCUUUUCUUUCUCAAUCACACAAAGUUUGCAAAAAAUUGCAGUGGCUUCCGCAUCCCAAAUUGCUUUCUCUUUUGCCAUCUAUAGGUGUAUACGAUUAAAUUAAAUUUACACAAACGAGAACUAGCAGUGAACAAUAUAGCAGUAGUAUUCACAGUUUCUAACAUCACUCAUAUUACUUGACGGUAUAGUAGUAAACAAUAUAGCAGUGAACAGUAUAGCUGUAGUUUACACAGUGAACUCGUAUUACUUCACGAUAUAGCAGUAAGAAAUAUAGCAGUAGUUUACACGAAUGAGAACUAUAACAGUAUGCAGUUCAUAAGUAACAGCAAAUAAAGAAACGAAGCAAUACCUUCACAGGGAACGACGCCGGGAGGAACGGGCGGCGAGCGGGCGAGGGGCAGGUCGGCGGCCGGGAGGAACGGGCGAGGAGCGGGUCGGCGGCCAGGAGGAGAGGGCGGCGAGCGGGCGCGGGCGGCGGCUGGGUCGUGCGGAUCGACGCCGGGCGGGCGGCGAGCGGGCGCGGGCGGGCGGCGAGCGGGCGAGGAACGGGCGGCCGGAGGAGCAGGAGGGAGGAGCGGUUCGGUGGCCGGGAUAAGCUGGCUGCGUGCCGGCGAGGGGCGGCGGCCGGCCCUGCGGGAAGCGGACGCGAGGCGGCGCCCUAUCGACCAGAGGACGAUGGGAAAUCGAGAGGGUGGGGUUACGCGCGGGGCGGAUGUGAAGAAAACGUUUCGGCCCAAAAAAAAGCUCGGGAAUCACCUAUUUGCUCAAUUCUCAGAUUGUGAUACUCCGUGUGUAUUUUUUAGAAUCAAUUCUGGACAAUCUGGAUAUUAUGAAGGGCUGUUUGUUUCAGAUUCUAAUUUCACAGUAGCUAGAAUCCAAGAAUCAAGAAUUUAAGCCCAAACAAAGGGGUACUGAAUCCGAUAGGAUUUUCUCCUGAAGAUUCCUUUGUACUACAUUCCAUAGGAAGUUUAGCAUCCACUCAAACCUCUUUGAAAGAAUCCUUUAUUUUUCCUGUGAACAAAUAAAAAAUCUUGUAGGAUUGAGAUGAGCAUGACAUUGAGAUGGAAAUAAGUUAAUAUGCAACUUUUUCCUAGCAAUUCUUUAGUGAGGUUUGUCGCUACUGGUACACAUGAUACUUGAGUUAUAAGAGUGUUUAGAUCACUAAAAUAGUGAUCUAAAUGCUCUUAUAUUAGUUUAUAGAGGGAAUAGAUUAGUAUUUCAUAUGUCUGUUUUAUUCUUAUGAAGGUUCUACAAUUAUAAGAUAUUUAUGUCUACAUGUGACUCGACAAAUAUAGCUAAACACGUUGGGCAGAUGAUUAUCAAAACUGUGAGGUAUCAGAAUUAAGCUCUUGAAUAACCUAGGGAUAAUGUGUUGAAACCCAAAUAUCUCUAUGUAAUACUCCCUUUGUCCGAAAUUACUUGUCGCACAAAUGAAUAAAAUCUGAUGUAUCUAGAACUAAAAUAAUCUAAAUACAUUCAUUUUUAUGACAAGUAUUUCCGGACGGAUGGAGUAAGUAGAUAUGUUUACACAAAGCAAUUUUGCUCUUUUUUUAAAGCUAUUUUUUUGUUGCAAUGGCAGCUUUCAAGGCAUAAAAAACCAACACAUAUGGCCUUAUACUGGUUACCCUACACAUGUGGAGCAAUUGGCUUCUCUUUAUGUUCUGUAUGGCUAUUACGCCAUAGUAGCUUGAUGGCAAGUUCUGACAUCGAUAACUUGGUUCGACAUGCUAAGGAGUCCAUCACUAGAUUCUGGAGUGAUCCUGUUGAACCGGUAAGAUACUUUGUGUAUAUAUUUUUCUAUUAUCUUAUGUGUUAUAUUAGUGCAAGUAAACUGAAUGUAAAUCAAGCUAUUUCAAGGAGCAAAACAUUUUACUGGUCAUCUAUACCUGUACAAAUUAUAUGUUUCUGUGAUCUACUUUUUGUAGCCUGUGUUUAUUAGUCUACUUAUGCUACUAAUCAGUUAACUGAAAAUAGAUGUAUGCUGGUUUUUGCACGGCUUCCAGCUUCCACGUGCUUUUUGGUUACAGCAUUAGCAUCUCAUAUGGAACCGACGACAUGCAUUUUUUUCUGUAGCAAACUUUAGUAGAUGAGUAUAUGAGCCAUUAGACUUGUUAAUUUGCAUCUGCAUAUAGUCUAAAUAUUGUUCAUUAAAUUUUAUGUGAAACCAUUUUAUUUUGUGUUACUGCUACUAGCUGGUUUAUAUAGUCCUUACCUUUGGAAAUCAGUUGUAUUAUUCUGCUCCAACCAUGACAGUUCUGUUCUCUCUUAACAAUAAUCAGAUUGUUUCUGUUGGAGAGGAGCCUUUUGAGGCGAUGACGCUAGCAGAUAGACCUGCAAUGGAAAAACAAUAUGCUGGACAAGCUGAAAAGUCACUGCGCAGGUUUUUAUUCUCUCGUGCUGUUUUGCAAACGUGUAUCUUUGCACUUGGGAUUCUUUCUUCAAUACAACACAUGCAUUUUUCCUUACUUUUGCUGAAUGAAUAUCGAUUUAUAGUAGGUUAAGUUUCACAGCAUUACCCACAUCCUAACCUAUUUCUCUCCACAUACAACCAUGCCAUCUCAACAUGCAGCAAUGCAUGGGAAAAGGCCCACCUCAACAUGCAUGGGAAAAGAUUUUGCCAUUUCCUUCCUAUUAUGCUACUUAUAUAAAAGAAGGACAGACCCAGUGCAUAGAAGCUCUCACACAAGAUGGGGUCUGGGAAGGGAUUAUAGGAACCUAGUCUUACCCCUGCUACAGUGCAAUGAAGAAAGGCUGGUUCGAACCCGGGACCUCUUGGCACAAGUGGGAAGUACUUCACCACUGCGCCAGGCCUGCCCUCUUAUUCUGCUACUUAUAUGCAAUACAUACUUUAAAAUUGUACAAUAAUGAAAUACAAUACAUUAUAUGUAAUUUUAGUUGAAGUUCUCAUAUUAUUUUAAUCCAAAUAUCAGUGUUUUACGCAACAAAUCUCUUUUUCUGCAAGACAUUCCUGCAGCAACAUGCAGGGUAUCAUCUCUAGUAAAAGUAGCAUAGAUCACACGUGUACCUGUCAUUUCAAUGCUUUGCAGAUGAGUAGUUUCUCCAUUUCACGUUGUUUGCUCUUUUAGGGUCUCUUUGAUUUGCAAGAUUCUGAAAAUGCAGGAAUUGAAAAAGAACACAUGAUUAGAGUGACACAUCCUCUUCAAUCCUACAAGAUUGGAAAACCACAUGAAUUUGAAACACAGAGUAUUUGACACCACGAGAAAAUAAAGGAACUAUACCGAGAGCUUUGAGUGUAUGGAAUUUUUUCUCCAAAUAGAGUGCGAAGGAAUUCUCUGAAUGAUUCUAAUUGUGUGAAUCCUAAGUAUUCAAAUCCUCUAAAAUGCUAUGAAAUUUCUUUUAAUCAAUGAAGCCUUAGCUUUGUACUAAGUCAGAGUAUGAAAAUAAAUCAGCAUAUUGAACACCAGAUAAAUACAGUAUGAAAAUUUGUUUGAUAAUGGGUCUACAAUUUUAGUUUUGUACUAUAUAUGUGUUCGUAAUUUUUUCUAUAGGGGGUUAAAGUUGAGAAAGUUAGACUCAGAACAGGGCCAGAGAACCAACACUGGAGGGAGUAUAUUAAUAUUUAUUAUCGCUUGAAUCAUUUACAAUUUCCAAUCUGGAUUAUUUGACUUCCACCCUAAGACUAUCUUUACCUAUCUAGUUUAACUUGAGCGACUGUAGCUCAAAAACUACAGUACCAAUCUAAUGAUCUUAUGCUCUUAGCAUAGCGACGUGUAAGUGGCUUGCAAAAGAACACUAAGUUACUAGUUUACUAAUAGUGACGUGUAUUUACAUUUGUCAAACUAGUUUACUGAAAGUUAAAACUUAUAAAGGAGCCAAUAUUUAGUUGAGGGUUCAAAUCCACUGUUAGUGAUUAUAGUUGUUAGUAAUUAAUAUAAUAGAAAAGUGUUCUGAUUGUUGUUCAUUAUCUUUUUCUGUUUUUUAAUUUUUUCUUGCAUUCAGAGUGGUGUAAUUUAUUCAGUGUAAGAUUUGAUAGUUCUGAUUGUUGUAAGAGUUUUUCAGUAAUGUUCUCAAGUUCAUGAAAAUAUCAUGAAUAGUAUUUUGCACUAUUUAAUUCCAAUAUCUGCUUGCUGGACUUGUAGGAUACUACUUUCCUUCUCUGAGACACCUCCAAAGGAAAUAGUGCCACAACAUGCAUCAGGGGAAGUGAUGAUGGAGAUCACGAGGUCAGGCUGUUUGAACUAGAAUUAUACAUAUUGUUGGGGCAUGCCACCUGUGAUAUUGUUUUUCCAUUUUCAUAUCGUGUCUUGUGCUAAAGAGUGGAAAGCUGCAUUUUCAACCUGUUCGUCUCUUUAAAAGAAAUAAAUAGUUCGGACCUUCUACUUCUAUUCUAUGUAGGAAGUAGGAACUUACGUACCUUUUUUUGUGGAAAGAAAGGCAUUGCAUGUGUCAUAUACUACAUUUGAGUUUCAGUUGAUUUUGAAACUGAAGUGAUUGUGUCGGCUCCAGGGACGGACCUAGGAAAUUGUUCCGUGGGUUGCACAAGUAGCCAUCGGGCUAAUUGAAGUUUGUUGAAAUAUAGAGAUCUAUAUUGGGCCCUUGCCAACUUCACGGCUUCUGGAAUGGAACCAAUUUACCAUCCAACUUAAGUUUUGUUAGGUUUCUCUUUUGUGUCCCAGUAGAAGUUUCUGGUUUUGUAAAAUAAAUGGUUCCGUUUAGUAAUCCAAAUUUCAAGUAGGAAAUGGACUGAAUGUUCAUAAUGUAGUAGUUCCAAAUAAAGCGACAUUGGUAUUGGUUUUUCAAAUGACCCGAUAUUCUGGAAUAAGUUGUGAUAUCGUUACCUAAUAAGAGUGGUCAAAUUACUCACUUAUAUUUUGCAUUUUUAUUAUUAUUUCCCAGCACAGAUAAUUGGAUUGUUUUAUGCAGGUCAAUUCUGGAACUGGAUCAGGUUGUUAAGGAAAAUAAACUGGAUCUUCAGGAGUAAGUUAUACCAUUUUUGUCUCUCAAUCUUGAUUAUGUAGAGUAAAUUGCAUAAACGCCAACCCUUGGGGUUGCUGUUGUGCAGAAACCACAUUUUUGAAUAUCGAAAUAACAUUACCACAACUUUUGGGGUAAGCAUUUGCAACUUAUACAAACAACUCAAUUAUCCUGUUUGAUUCUAGAACUGAUGCUUGGAUCCCAUUGUCAGUGUUCAUAUAGCAAGCCCACUGGCCACAAUCCCAUGCAACCCUCCUCUUCUCCAACGCCACCCCACCGAUGCUGCUGGAUAUGUCCAAUGUUAUGUUCCUCCAUAGCCGCUUCUUAAGGGCUGGAGAAGCCGCUGCCACUGAGCUGGCCUCGUGGAUUGCACUGGGUCGUCAGGUAGGCAGGAGGAACCAAGCCAACCUAAGUGGCGCUUAGAUUUGCUGAAGAGCAGAGUACAUUGGUGCGGUGCAAGCUCCAGUUGCUGGGCACACAGUGCAUGGCUCCAUUCCUUCUGCUUGCUUGGCUGCACAGAUGCAGAGGCCAGCGCAGCAGCGGGUGCUUCUGCAGCCUUUAAGGAGCGCCAACAGCUAGGUGGCAUUGGAGAAGAGGAGGGUGGCAUAGCAUGUUGCCAACGUGGCUGAGUGGCAUGUCCGGUUGGCUUGCCACAUGAGCACUGACAAUUGGUCCCAAGCGUAAGCUUUAGCAUAGAUAACUGUGAUUUGGGUAAGUUGCAAAUUCUUCAACAACUCUAGCAGAUUCCCUAUAUCCGCCCCCGAACGAAAUGAAAACUGCCAAUAUGGAGGCUAAGGGGUAAAUUUGACACUAGCAGAUUUGGGGAAUGAUGCAUGUCUUAUCUAAUACUACUCGUCUGUGGUAAUUGGAUUGUUCUUACACAGGGCAAUAUGGGAUCUGGAUCCAAUUCUUAAGGCAUCAAAGACCAGUGUUGCUCUUCUUGCAUUUGGGCUUCCUCUUCUGCUAGUCUUUCUAGUGCGAACAAGGGUAACGCAUGUAUGUACAUAUGUUGAUAUUGAACCUAUUUGUGCCGCACAUUUUGCAAAUUCGCCGUGCACAAGUCUUAUGUUUAAUAUGACACUACUACUGUAACUGUGAUAGGCCCAGAGUGUAGGGGGAAGAGGUAGCAUUGCGCGGCUCCUUGUUGUUGCAGAGCGAAGGUUUCUGGAAUAUAAGAAAUCCAGUGUAAACGGGGAGGUAUUUUUCUAAGAUCUCUUAUACAUCACAGCAUGCCAUUUUCAUGCAUUAUUUUUCAAGUUUUAUAGGUUCCACUCGUCCUCUCAAUGAGUAUAAUAUGAUAACCGCACUUGUUAUAUGAUCUGCACAAAUCUUUUCCUUCACCAAAUAUGAGAUUGGCAGAGCCCUUUUAGGAUUGUACCCCAACCUUCACCCUGGAUAUUUGAGUGGCCGGAAUUUUUUAAUUAGAAGUAUUGAGGAUAUUAGGAUUCCGAUAUGCCCUAACAGUAGCUUAUCUAUUUCCUUGUUUACAGGCGGAUGAGGUGAUGUGGAAGUUAGGGUUGACACUUUACUCUCUUGAUAGAUUGUAUGAAGCUGUUGAGUUGCAUGGAAAUGGAACAGACGAGUGGACAUGGUCAGUUAAUAUGGAAUUUAUUUAUUUUCCUUGAUUAUUCAUUGAUGGCCCGCUGACCAAAUCAAUUUGGGUUGCAGGUUGAAGGAAUACAUCUUUUGUCUUGCGAAACCUGGUGUGAGCAUGUCAGACAAGCUUGCUGCUCUUUCCCAUGUAAAGGACAUGUAUGACUGCUUAUUUCCGUCGCCAUCGCUGUAACACCACAAUUUUUUAUCAUGUUUUAUUAAUUAAAAUUUUGUCAGGGAUAUUAAUUUUUAUUUUCUGGAUCCUCUUUUGGUUUCAGAACCAUCAUUUUUCUUUGAAAUUCUCAAAAAUUUCCCUCCAAAUAGAAACUUUUGAAAAAUAUUGUGGGACUUGAAUGUUUGACUUAAAAGUAUUUCAUUUCAUUUUUAAAAAUCCAGUGAGAAAUAUUUUUAUAAUGAAGCUUUCCAAAUUUAACUCUUUUAAUGGCCUUUUUUCAAUACUUUAAAGGGCUUCUACUGUACUACAACCAUUUUAAAUAUUCAUUGAAAAACCCCAUAAAAAUUUGGAGAUGUCUUGUGAUGCCUAUGGAACACUUUUAUGCAAAAACCCAUCUUGGCCUUUUGAAAGUUUUGAGCAAACCAACCUCAUCUCAAUGAUGUUCCAGUUUAGUGGUUUGACUGCAACCCUAUUUAAUUUUGCCCUAAUCAUCAUGAGAUUUUUCUACUUAUAGUCCACCCUGCCAAACCCUUAAGUCGAGGAGUUUAGCUCCACUGGAGUAUUUUAAACCCAUGUAAUUAACCCGUGGAAUUUCUGUCCAGAAAUGAAGUUUUGUAAAACUUGUACUAACUAGUUUCUGUUUUCCCAAACUAACCGUGCCAUCCUCAUUAGCACCUACUAGCACAAAUGCCCGUGCGUUGCAACGGGAGAAAAAUGAACAAUGAAAAAAGUGUAGUCCAUUGAUAAAAACACACGUGGAUACCGAAAAAAAAGGCACGUGCGUAAGGUCGAUUAUAAAAUAUGUACAAAAAAAGAACCUAUUGCAAGUACAUCAUGUCCAAAUAUUAUAACAUUUAUCAAAUAUUGAUGCUUAACAUGUCCAAAGAUUAUAACAUUUAUCAAAUAUUGAUGCUUAAGUUAACAUGUUACAAUACAAAUAGUCGAUACAAAAUAAAGACAAAUAUUGAUUAGCAUUAUAUCCUAUAUAGUAUUUUUAAAAAUAUUUAACAUGUAAAAUAACAACAUAUUCAAACUCUACACAUUUUUCUAAUCAAAUUUCAUAUAUAACAUGUCUAAAUUGGAUUUACGGUUUAAAAGAUAUUGUUAUUUGAAAAUUUAUAUUUAUUCUGAAUGGACUUCGAGGUUAUUAACGCAUAUGUGAGGGGUUUACGUACAAAAUUUAAAAAAAGAUUCACUCUAGCUACAGUUUGGACCGUGGGUUAUUUAGCAUGAAAGUAAGGGGGUCUUUUGUAAAAUGUGAAAAAAAAGUUCGCCUCACUUGUAAACGGACUGCGGGUUAAUUAGGGGAAACUACAGGGGCCUUUCUGCAAAACCGUCACGACGGACGACAGAAACCAUCGCUGCCUUAUUAUUAGGGAAGAAAGAGACUCCAUCUUGGAAAUUUUGGUCUUUAGCAAACCUCCUUAGAUGGCCUUAGCAUUCUGUCGAGCACCCUCGAUGUAUGGCCAGAUUUGGCAUGCUUCUAACCUUGCAUUAGAAACAUGUUUCCUGGCCUAACCACCAUGUCCCUUAGCCUUCCCUUGUGCAUAAACCUAGUCCAGUCAAGCGUCAAUUGCAUAUGAGCCCCCUGGUAUGUCCUUGCUUUUCGUCGAACACCUGAUGCGCGUGCCCGGAGCGUGAGGAGAGCGCGCGUAUUGCACGCAGCCACACUGAGUUGCCGCGUUCACCUACCCGUGCCUCUGGCAUUUCCUCGCCCGCAGAGCCACGCCCGUGUUCGUCGAACACCCGAUGCGCGUGCCCGGAGCGUGAGGAGAGCGCGCGUAUUGCACGCAGCCACACCGAGUUGCCGCGUCCAUCUACCCCGCGCCUCUGCCAUUUCCUCGCCCGCAGAGCCACGCCCGUGUCUCCUUCGGAUCGCUAGCGUCGCCCUGACCGCCCCUUCGUGCCCUGCAGCGUCGACGCUAUAGCCCUUGGCGGCUAGCCACCUGCCACGUCUGUCCCCUACCAUGGACGGCGUCGUCCAAGUCGUCUCCGCUCGCCAGCUGCCCCCUCGAGCAGUGUGGAUCUCGUCGGCUAGCCCCUGGCGAUGUUGGCCUUGCCACGUCGCCCCUCCGACGACAGAAGCGGCGAGUCACCGUGCUUAUCCAUAGCCGUCGCGGAAUCAACCUUCGCUCGCCUAUAAGAGGACCCCCUCGAGCCCUAUGCCACCAGAACCGCCACCCCGCACUUCCCUUUGAACCCCGAAGCAAUUAGACCACCCUGGGAGCUCGUCUCCUUUGCCUCCAGCUGAGGCACGAGCACCCCCUUCCCAUUAUAGCCACCAUUAGCUUCUUACCGACCCAAAAACCCAUCACUCGUUCCAAUUUUGCUCGAGAACCAGUGAGUGUGACUCCCCCUAUAACCCACAAUGUUCGUCCGCCAUGGUUGAUACCUUGCUCAUCUUCGAGCUCUCCGACGGGCGUGAGUGGCAUCCCCUGAAGCGUCGUGCCUCCGUGCACAUUUUGGUGGCCGUGGCACCUCAAAUGGUGGUGUGUGCCGCCUGGUAUCGCCGCCGAAGCCAUUCUCUAUUCUAGUCCACACACGCGUGAGGUAGGAGACAAACCCGACACGUGGGUCCCACCUGUUGGUGACCAACCUUCUUCACCGUCGGCACAUACCAUUGGGUACGUUUUCCCUUCAAGGAGUCGUACAACACGGAGUGCUCUUNNNNNNNNNNNNNNNNNNNNNNNNNNNNNNNNNNNNNNNNCUUUCCCUAUUGAAAAAACGCAUUCCCGUUGGUACGAGUUCUCUCUUCCGAAAACAUAUUCUCAACAAAGCGUUUUUCUUUUUCUAUGUAUUUCAAAACUAGAGAUUCGACUGAAGUUUGACUGCCUCUAGUUUCUAAACUAUAACUCCAAAUGAGUUGAUUCUUUUUCCCACAUUUCACAAAUUUCACCUAGUUUAUUUUAGUAUUUAUUUGAAAAAUUUCCAAGCAACUUUUCAGCAUUGUUUAGAAUGGUGUGUUAAUUUGCAUAUUUUAAAAAAUAGGGAAUGAAGGGAAGAUUAAACUUUCAAAAGUUUUGGAGUGCACCCUACCUUUGUGCAUACUCAAGGCAAGCAUCUUGAACACUAAUAGGACUUGAUUGUGUGGUUGAUUGUGGUGGUGCAUGAUAUUCAUGGCUAUAGUGUUGAAUUAAACAUUUUCAUAUGGAGAUCUUUCAUGCAUAAUUGCAAAUGGUGAAAAUUUAAUUUUUGUUAAACAUGAAGUGCAUGUGAUAGUAGUCACCUUUACAUGCCACCCAUGCGUGUGCUAGCCGGAUGAAAUCAGGAGAAAUGUUAUGUCUCGGGUAGACACGACCAUGGGAUGGGUACUCCGUUAUGACGGGGAUGAUCACUCGAGGCAUGAUAGAGCAUGAUAGGAGUGACUCUGUCCGUAAUUGUGAAGAAACUAUGUUGUGCUAAUCAUGGAGGGAACACAUAAACCACUUGAGUCGACCUUAGAUCGAGUCUUGUUCCAAUAACCCCCAUGCUUGUUUCGUACUGCCACUUGAACUUGCCACAGGUAGGGUACGGUUUAGGAAGUCGUCAACCCCUUUCUUGGCACACACCGUACAGAGAGGCCAUAGUGAAAGAUACCAGUGCCCCCUGGUAGGCAUGUCACUUGGUCCGGGUAUUUCGAUCCCAUGCUAAUUGAGAUUGUGGUCUCCUCACUUAGAGUUUUACUUAACGAGUGUUGUGGGUGAUUCGAGGCAUCGGGAAGUUAAAUUGGUGUGUGCGGAUCAGGUGUAUUUUUUAUUCAAAGACCGUAAUCGGAAUUAGUUGACAUCCAUGGUUGACUAAAGAAAUCCAUUACUCGUGGGUAAAGAGUACACCCUUUGCAGAGUUUAAUAUCUAUUCGAAUAGUCGUGUGUGCGGUUAAGGACUACACUGUGGGAUAGGUUAAGUGUCGGUCUUGGAGUCAGUCUUUGGAGGAAUUAACCGAACCAUGAGGACAAUCAUGAAUCAUGAUGGAUGAUCAUUAUCAUUAUAGAAUUUGCUUUGGACUAACCUCUUCUUGUAUAUGAAUUUUUGAGUGUCCCUCGAAAGGUUCUACCUCCUCGAUACUCAUUGUUAUUAUUAUUAUCUUAUAAACCCUUUUCAUGGUGUCGCUCAUACGCCCGAUUCUCGGACACAUGUUAUUAUUUUCUUUAUAAGCCCUUUAUGUGGCAUCGGCAUGUUAUUAUUUUCUCUAUGAUCCCUUUACAUGACGUCGCUCAAACGUCCGAAUGUGGCACGCAUGUUAUUAUUUUCUCUAUGGGCCCUUUGCGUGACGUUGCUCCAGACGCACGACUGUGGCAACUCUUAUUAUUUUCAUAUAAGCCCUUUUUGUGGCAUCGUUCAGACUCCCGAUUGAAGCAUGUUUUUAUAUUUUUACCCUUUCAAGGCAUCGCUUCACACACCUGAUCGAAUCGUUCUAUUUUCUUGGAAUCUUUGGGAGCACUACAACCCGAUGUUCCAUUUUAUUUUAUUCUCAUUCUUUGAUUGCUUACUUAUUUUCAGUAUGGAUAAAUUACCUGCUUACUUGUAUCUUAUGACUGAUUUACUAUCUGUAAAUAAUUAUAGUGCAUGCAAUUCACGUGUUGUAUUGUGUCUGUUUUCAUGAUGUUUGCGAGUACAUUCAAACGUACUCACUCGCUUGUCCCUGGCUAUUGUCUUGGACAGAUUGCAUAUUUGGAGAGGAGCACUAUGACGACAACCUCCGGAACCUAGGCAUCGAAGAUAGCGGACACGCGAGAUAGGAGUUAUCCAGGUCAGUCUAUGAAUCGCUUCCGCCAUCAGCCACUAGAAACCUUUGUUGUACUCCAUAGACCAUCAUGGUCUUGUACUCCAAAUUUUGUAAAUGCUUGGAUAUUUUGUAUCAAGGAUGUGUCCAUCAGCUAACCUUGGAUAUUUUGUAUCAAGGAUGUGUCCAUCAGCUAACCUUGGUAUCAGUAAUCUCGGGGAUGGUGAGCACAAAGGUCAUUUUUUGGGAAAUUUAUAUCUCGGAAAUCCGGCCCUGAUAACCUUAGUAUCAGAGCCAGUCUAACCAUUGGCUAAUCCUAUCUUAGCCGGGUCAAUAAACCCUAGGUUACCACCCAUCCAAGCCUUAUCCUACCCAUAGCCAAGCCUAUCCUAACUGAUAGCAUGUAUAGUGAUAAUCAUCACCUUUCAGCAGCCGAUGCCCAACCGAUGAGACUAGCCGAGCGGUCACAUGCCUGUGACCAACACCUGAGUUGUCCCAUCCGCAAGUGUGCAAGAGAAGAUUAUGUUUUCUUUCUAUAAAGGAAACGUUUUCUCCAACCCACUACACCACAACCACCUUCCAAAUCCCAAACCGCCAAGAUGUCGGUCCCCGUUGUAUACAAUGAGACCACCGCAUCUGAGCUUGGAGAUUUUGUAGAUGUUCUUGCCAACCUCAGCUGUCGUGGCUUUACCAUAGAAGAGCCCCUGGAAUAUGUUGUGUACCAGCAGCACACGAGUAAUGGCAUCCAUCACUUCCGGGCAAUGGUGCACAUCUACGACAGGGGUAUCUCGCCAGAAUGCCCUUACCAGUUCACCAGAAGGACAACUUCCUAUGAGCCACAAGCCAUCCAGCUAGCAGCUCAACAGGCUAUAGUUCAAAACCGGCACGUGUCAUCGAGGGUUAACUGCCGCUCGUUUUACUACUACCCCUAGCCAUGAAAGUAAUACUAGGCCGCUCCAAAUCGCCAACGGAGACCAUGAGACGGACCCCACCCCGUUGCAUCUUGUGCGCUACAUGAGAGCACAAGAGGCACUGUUCAAGUAGGUCACCGUCGACCUGAUUGCAACUCACGGAAAGCUAGCUCGCCUCACCCCGAGAAGAAGAGAAGCUGCACCCGAUGCCACCAAACCAAUGAUGUUGUUCGGGAGAUCGAUCGAGCCCUCGAGGUCUAUGCCUGCUGCCGACCCAAAUCAUGCGUCCGUCUCCGUGGAAGAGCUCCGUCACAUUUUGGGGAUUUUCUCCAACGGGACGGUAACCACCGCACCCCGUGAUGGACAUCAUCGCUACCCCAGCCAUGUAACUCCACAUUCUACCCGAGUCGACCGCGACAUCGAAGUCCCAGAAGCCUCGACGUCCGCAAGUCCCGCCCGACUAGAUGUCAAGGAAGUAGACUAAGCCACUAGAGUAGUAACCCAAAUUUAGUAUUCCUACGCCCUGCAAUAUUGUGAGCUUGUAUUUUCAUGAGUAAAUUGCAGGACAUUUGUGUACCAUUAUUUUUAAAUAGGACCACCUGUACCUGUGUAAGUAUCUUUUGACUUCUAUCUAUAAAGAAAAAAUUGGGUGAAACAACCAGGAACCAACCUGGUCGACAACCAUAGUAAUAUGUCACAUUUAGUGAAUUAUAUGUGUGGCUUUGACCCGACCACGUUAGAGCAUAACGACAACCGAGAUCGACCACCCUGAAAUGUGUGCGCUAGCCAAACCCUAUAUAAGGAGUCACCCAAUAACCAUCCCCAGCGCCCUCACCUUGUGCAUUGCCUUCACAACCAUUUUUCCCCAUGUCGCGCCUUGGGAUUCAUUUGAGAACCCCGGGGAGUUUUGCUAAGAUAUUGUGGGAUUUUACCCACAGUGCCAUGGGUUGUCCCCACCGACCCUAGUACGAACUGUUCAAAUUAAGGAUCACUUCCACCACCACAAAAAAUUGGGCCGUUGCGCAGAUCCCACCAGUAGAUCCAAACCAAGACCCUACGAAAGUUUCCUUCAUCGGGAAAUGUAUGCCCACUCCAGAAAUGGUCAUAGAGGUUGCUGCCUGCGAAGCAAUUACCCGCCUUCAAUUUGCAGUACCCUAUGCCAGUGAAUUGGGGUAUUAUUACUUUUCGAGCCCUGUAGCACCCAGAGAAGCAGCGUCUUUUCCCAGCACCCGAGCAAAGAGAGAUUCGGUGUUAUCAAGCUUGUGCAGUAUGUCAUCGCUCAAGAGCGUUUGACCCAGCAAGUGAUGGAUUUCCUUCAUACCAUUGUUGUUAUGAAUCCUCAUAUCGCCAUUGGCAGGCCUCUAAGGCCAAACCAAGAAGGACACGUUGUGCGAGUCCUCCAUCCGCUCUCCCCGAAGGACGAAGGAUAUACCCCACUCCCGGGAAUAUUUCCUCAUGACCUAUAUUUUUUUCCUGUACCGUAGACGCCAUGGUUGUAAUCAUUAGCAUAGCUUUUGAUUGUAUGAUGUGAUAUCUGUGUUGUGUUUUAUAAUUUACUAUAUGGGUAUCUUAUGUCAAUUGCAGUUGUUUUGUUGCUAUGAUUUGAAAAUCGAUUGUUUCUUAUUGUAGCAAAUCUCAGGGUGAGAUUUUAUUAAAAGACCAGUGCGACAAAAACUUUUCCAGCAUAAAUUUAAAUUGCAUGCCCUCACGUGGUCCGGCUCACAUCCACACUAGAGUUGCACCAAUUAUUAACUUUUUCACUGUAACCACGUCACAUAGUGUGAGUAGAAUAUUUAUUCUCAUGUUAUUACUGGAUUGCAGUGGGAGUAAAGCUUUUGCUACCACCUUAGAAAAUCUCAAGGACAAGAUUUUUCUUAAGGGGGUAGAGUUUGUAACACCCCAAAAAAUUUAUCAUGUUUUUAUUAAUUAAAAUUUUGUUAGGGAUAUUAAUUUUUAUUUUCUAGAUCCUCUAUUGGUUUUAGAACCAUCCUUUUUCUUUGAAAUUAUAAAAUUUUCCCCUCCAAAUAGAAACCUUUGAAAAAUAUUGUGCGGCUUGAAUGUUUGAAUUAAAAGUAUUUCAUUUCAUUUUUAAAAAUUCAGGGAGAAAUAUUUUUAUAAUGAAGCUUGCCAAAUUUAAUUAUUUUAAUGGCCUUUUUGAAUUCUUUAAAGGGCCUCCAUUGCACUACAACCAUUUUAAUUAUUCAUUUAAAGACCCCAUAAAAAUUUGGAGAUGUCUUGUGAUGCCUAUAGAUCACUCUUAUGCAAAAACCCAUCUUGGCCUUUUGAAAAUUUUGAGCAAACCAUGCUCAUCUGAAUUAUGUUCCAGUUUAGUGGUUUGAACUGCAACCCUAUUUUAUUUUCCCAUAAUCAUCAUGAGAUAUUUCCUUCUUACAUUCCACCCUACCAACCCCUUAAGUACAUGAGUUUAGCUCCAUUGGACUAUUUUAAGCCCAUGUAAUUAACCUAUGGAGUUCCUGUCUAGAAAUGAAGUUUUGUAAAACUUGCACUAACUAGUUUCUGUUUUUCUCAAACUAACCAUGCCAUCCUCAUUAGCACCUAAAGAGGCUCCAUCAUUCUGUCGAGCACCCUGGGUGCAUGGCGGGAUUUGGCAUGCUCCUAACCUUGCCUUAGAAACUUGUUUCCCUGGCCUAACUAACAUGUCCCCUAGCCUUCCCUUGCCCAUAAACCUAGAACAGUCAAGCCUCAAUUGCAUCUGAGCCCCCUGGCGUAUCCUGGCUUUUUGUUGAACACCGGAUGCACAUGCUCGAAACACGAGAAGAGCACGCGCAUUGUGUUGGGGAACAUUGCACGGGAAACAAAAAAAUUCCUACGCUCACCAAGAUCAAUCUAGGAGAUGCACAUCUACGAGGGGAGAGAUUGUAUCUACAUAUCCUUGUAGAUCGCUAAGAGAAACCUUUAAAGAACGCGGUUGAUGUAGUUGAACGUCUUCGCGAUCCAAAUCGCAAUUCGUCCCGUGAUCCCAUCACGAUCCAUCCUGAUCUAGUGCCGAACGGACGACAUCUCCGCGUUCAGCACACGUACAACUCGAUGGCGUUCUCCGCCUCCUUGAUCCAACAAGCGAGGAAGGAGAGGUUGAUGAGUUCUCUAGCAGCGCGACGGCGUGACAGUGGUGGUGGUGUUGUUGUCCCGGCAGGGCUACACCUAGAUCUAUCGAAGCUGCGAAAACGAUCUAGGGAGAGAGAGGGGCGCCAAGGGCUUCGUGUGUCCUCUCGGGGUGCCCCUCCCCUCUAUAUAUAUAGGUGGAGGGGCGUGGGUGUGACAGCCCGAGACCGACGCCCCAGAAGAUUUCCCUUUUUAUUCCGUUGCCGUCCUGUGAUUAGGUUGUCUGUUGCAUUCAUCUUCGCAUCAUGCACAUCAUCUGCAUUGCAUCGGCACUCCGUUGCCGCCAGUUUUCAAAACUUGCAUCCGUUAUUAGUUGCGGUUCUCUUCGUUCUCGUCGUUGACCGUGUUGAGCCCGACCACACACGCACGUACCCGCGGCAUCGUUAAAAUAUUUGGUUUUAAAAGUGUGUAUAAAAUAUUUCCGGAUUGAGUCGAAACUUGGCGUGCGGUCUUAUUUUAAUAUAGGUAGGCCGCCUGCCAAUUUUCGUCGUAAUCGGAGUUCGUCUGGUACCCGAACGGUCGACCAUAGCGGCACCGUCUUCGGUUAUCGUCGGACGUUUUUCGGUUUUAAAAUAUUGUUGCCGGGUCGCACCAUUCCCAUCUCGUAUCAGCCUACACCCCUCUACACGGCCUAACCUAACCCUAGGACGUUUCCGGAGCGUCCGAUCGAGAUUGGAGAGUCCGAAAACGCCCUGAUUAGCUAACCCUAGCCCAUGUGUCUAUAAAAGACACCAAACUCUUCUUCCACCUCGGUUCCCAUGCCACCCUAACCCUAGCCGUCGCAGCCUCCUCCCACCUUCUCUCUCCUCCCAGCCGCCAGGGCCCGCCAGGCCCGCAGCAGGCCCUCCGGGGCCCGAACCACCGCUGCUAGCCCGCGCACCCAAGCGCCUUCACCCCGAGCGCUGCUCCCGCUCGGCCAUCACCGAGGCAACGCCAGCGCGUUCAGCUCCCGUCACCUCCCCACGCAGGUGCAUCACCGGACCGCCGUGCCGCCCUUGCAGCUCGUCGGAGCUCCACGAGGCCGCCUCGCCUCGCUCCUCUCCCUUCUUCUUCCUUCCUCUUCUUCUCCCUCACGACCUCUCUCUCUUCCGUGAGCCCCGACCAAAGUCCCUACGCCGCGUGGUGCCCUGCCGCCGGUGAUCCAGCCGCUGUCGGAGCCCGUCCGCCGUCGGUUCCUACUGCCGAGUUCCCCCGCACUGCCCCGCGCCAGCGCCACAGCGCCCCGCCUCCUCGAUCCAAUCGGAUAGGGACGGGUAGGAGCGCCUGGCCGUUGACCGCGCCAUGCCAGACUGCGUCCCCGUGGGCCGCCUCCCUGCCUCGCGCGCUCGACCGCGCCAGUCGCCCCCUGGGCCGGCCAGCUUGCCCCUCCGCUGGCCCAGCCGGCCUCCCCUGGUCUUGGCCCAGUCGAACCAAGCCGGCCUGCUCACCUCCUCUCCAGGCCGGCCCAGGAGCCACGGUGAGCUGAUUCCCCCCCAGCCGUCUAUUUAGCGCCCGUGCGCCGUUUAGCUAUCCCGCGCCCAUGUCCUGUUUUGGGCCUGUAGCCAGAUUCUGCCCAGUAGUAUUAUUUUAGGUUUUUUCGGAUUUAUUAUUUUCAGGAAAAGAAGUAUUUUAAAAUGGUCGCAACUUUUAAACGUGCAUCGGGUCGGAAAGAAUUAUAUAUGUAACUUGUGUAGAAUUUCACGUAGAACAUUAUUUUGCAACUUGCAUGCAUGUUUGGAGUGGUUUGACCGUCGUUUUCCUAGAAUAUAUGUGAUGUCCUAUUAGGGUUAUAUUUCCGUAGCUAUUUUUGUGCGCGUCCGGAUUGCUCAAAUUACAUCGAUAAAAUGUUCAUGUUGUUCGGGACCCUUUGCCAUGUAUUUUAGAGUAGUUGCUUGCAUUUUUUGCAUGUAGGAGCUAUCAAUAGUUUGCUAUAUCGUGUUUAGGACAUAUUCUCGCAUAUAUGUGUGACGUUAGUUUUAUUUUGCAACCCCACAUAUUAUAUAUGUUUUCAGGGUAAAAAUCCGUAUAAUUUAACUGUGCAAUUAGUUUUUCCUUUCGAGUAAGUUAGUGCGCGUGAUAUUUCUGCCAUGUUGCCCUCUUGUCUAUUUUGUGGAAUUUAUUCCGUGCAUGAUUGAUACGUCUCCAACUUAUCUACAAUUUUUGAUGGUUCCAUGCUAUUAUCUUAUCAAACUUUGGAUGUUUUGUAUGCCUUUUAUAUUUUUUUGGACUAACUUAUUAACUCAGUGCCAAGUGCCAGUUCAUGUUUUUUUCGUGUUUUUGAUCCCUUUCAGAGGAGGAUUUCAAACAGUGUCCAAACGGAAUAAAACUUCUAAAAAGAUUUUUUCGAAACAGAAGAUACGCACGGGACGUGAGAACCAAGGCAGAGGCCACCAAGGGACGCCACAAGCCCCCUAGGCGCGGCCAGGGGGCCCGCGCCUAGCAGGCUUGUGGGUCCCGUGUGGCUCGUUUGCCCUACCUCUUCCGCCUAUAAAUUCCUGAAAAAUCCAAAACUGCGCGAGAGAUCCACGAAAAUACUUUUCCGCCGCCGCAAGCUUCUGUCUCCGCAAGAUCCCAUCUAAGGCACGUUCUGGUGCCUUGCCGGAGGGGGGAUUCGGAUACAGAGGGCUUCUUCAUCAACACCAUGACCUCUCCGAUGAUGCGUGAUUAGUUCACCACAGACCUUCAGGUCCAUAGCUAGUAGCUAGAUGACUUCUUCUCUCUCUUGUAUCUUCAAUACAAAGUUCUCCAUGAUCUUCAUGGAGAUCUAUCCGAUGUAAUCUUCUUUUGUGGUGUGUUUGUCGAGAUCCGAUGAAUUGUGGAUUUAUGAUCAGAUUAUCUAUGAAUCUUAUUUGAGUUUCUUCUGAUCUCUUAUAUGCAUGAUUUCAUAUCCUUGUAAUUCUCUUCGAGUUGUGGGUUUUGUUUGGCCAACUUGAUCUAUGAUUCUUGCAAUGGGAGAAGUGCUUGGUUUUGGGUUCAUACCGUGUGGUGAUCUCACCCAGUGACAGAAGGGGUAGCGAGGCACGCAUGUGUUGUUGCCAUCAAGGGUAAAAAGAUGGCGUUUACAUCAUUGGUUUGAGUUUAUCCCUCUACAUCAUGUCAUCUUGCUUAAGGAGUUACUCUGUUCGUCAUGAACUCAACACACUAGAUGCAUGCUGGAUAGCGGUCGAUGUGUGGAGUAAUAGUAGUAGAUGCAUAAAGUAUAGGUCUACUUGUCUUGGACGUGAUGCCUACAUGUAUGAUCAUUGCCUUAGAUAUCGUCAUGAUUUUGCGCGGUUCUAUCAAUUGCUCGACAGUAAUUUUUUCACCCACCGUAAUAUUUUCUAUUUUGAGAGAAGCCUCUAGUGAACACUAUGGCCCCCGGGUCUAUUUCACACCAUAUUUUCAGCCUUUCACUUUUACUUCGUUGCACUUUCCGCCUUUAGAUCUCACUUUGCAAUCAAUCUUGAAGGGAUUGACAACCCCUUUAUAAAGUUGGGUGCAAGCUCGUUUGUGUUUGCGCAGGUACUCCGGACACUUGGCUUGAUUAUCCUACUGGAUUGAUACCUUGGUUCUCAAACUGAGCGAAAUACUUACUGCUCCUGUGCUGCAUCACCCUUUCCUCUUCAAGGGAAAAACCAACGCAAGCUCAAGAGGCAGCAGAAGGAUUUCUGGCGCCGUUGCCGGGGAUUUCUGGUGCCGUAGCAGAAGGAUUUCUGGCGCCGUUGUCUGGGAGGAUCAAGUUCUAGGUGAAGCUCAUCCAAGUAAGUGUCACAAACUCAUCUCUUGCAUUUACUUUUUUGCCUCUCGUUUUCCUCUCCCCCACUUCUGAAAAACAAAAAUUUACAAAAAUAUUUGCCUUUUUCAUUUGCCUUUCCUUUGCUCGUGUGCUAUGUGCCUUCAAUAUGCUUGCAUCUUCGCUUGCUGAAAAUCUAUUGAUAUGGAUCCUCAUUCACUUGCUAAUCUCUUUAAGAGAUCCAACUAUGUUGAACCAAUUGCUAGUGAGUUGAGUGCACUUGGCUUUCUCUAUGGAGUUUUGCUUGUGAUGCGUGAAUCUGAAAAUCGUGAUGAAGAAAUUUAUGAAGUGAUUCACGAAGGCUCCUUGAAUGAAAAGCAUCAUUGCAAUGGUUUUACUAUAAAUCCUAUUAGUGUCAAUCAUGCUAAAAAUAUGCAAAACCCUAAGCUUGGGGAUGCUAGUUUUGCUAUGUCCACUACUUGUUGCAAUGAUCAUGAUUGGGGUAAUGAUUUUUCUUAUGAUCUUGAAAAUUUGUUUAAGCCUCAUGAUGAUUAUGAUAUUUGCAAUAAUAUUGAAAGUGGGUUUGGAGAAGUCAUGACUUUAGUUGAUGAUAAUCCCACUAUUUUUGAAGAGCAUCAACUUUGCAUGCAUGUGGAUCAUAAAAAGAAUAUACUAUGUGAUAGCUAUAUUGUUGAAUUUGAACAUGAUCCCACAUGUAAUUGUUAUGAGAGAGGAAAAUAUUGUGGUAGAAACUUUCAUAUCACUAAAUCACCUCUCGUUAUGUCGAGAUUGCUAUUGUUUCUUUCUUCUUCCUUGCAUAUGGUAGUUAUUGUUUGUCUUGAUAAUUUGUUUCCCUAUAAAAUGCCUAUGCAUAGGAAGUAUGUUAGAAUUAGAUGUGAUUUUCACAUGCUUUAUGAUGCUCUCGUUGUGCUUCAAUUCUUGUCUUUUGUGUGAGCAUCAUUGAAUUAUCAAUGCCUAGCUAAGGGCGUUAAACAAUAGCGCUUGUUGGGAGUUAACCCAAUGAAUUUAUCUUUGCUUUUUGCUUUCUGUUUUGUUGUGUCCACACCAUCAUAAUUCUGUUAUGAUUAUGUCUUUUGUGUUGCUUUUUGUGUUUGAGCCAAGCAAAACCUUUACGACUAGUUUGGUGAUGGUUGUUUGAUCCUGCUGGAAAAAGACAGAAACUUUUCGCUCACGAAAUUAUUUUUAAUUUUUAUCCAGAAAGAGCUUUUGAGUUGAUUUUUUUGCUGCUGGUUGAUAUGCCUUUUUCCCAGGCGGUCGUAAUUUUUCAGAAUUUUUGAGAUACCAUAAGUAUACGAAGUAUACAGAUUGAUACAGACUGGUCUGUUUUUUACAGAUUCUGUUUUUUGUUGUGUUGGUUGCUUGUUUUGAUGAAACUAUGGAUAGUAUCGGGGGGUACUAGCCAUGGAAAAGUGAGAAUACAGUAAUAUAACACCAAUAUAAAUAGAAAUCAAGUUUUCUACAGUACCUAAAGAGGUGGUAGUUUGUUUUCUUGUGCUAAUGAUAUCACGAAUUUCUGUUUAAGUUUUGUGUUGUGAAGUUUUCAAGUUUUGGGUGAUGUUCUCAUGGACAAAGGGAUAAAGAGUGGAAAGAUCUCAAGCUUGGGGAUGCCCAAGGCAUCCCAAGCCAAAUUCAAGGACACCAAAAAGCCUAAGCUUGGGGAUGCCCCGGGAAGGCAUCCCCUCUUUCGUCUUCAAUCCAUCGGUAACACUACUUGGAGCUAUAUUUUUAUUCACCUCAUGAUAUGUGUUUUGCUUGGAGCGUCUUGUAUCGUAGGAGUAUUUUCUUUUUGUUGUGUCACAAUCAUCCUUGCUGCACACCUUUUGAGAGAGACAUGCAGUCGUCGUGAAUUUGCUACAAUACUCUUUGUGCUUCACUUAUAUCUUUUGAGCUAGACAAUUUUGCUCUAUGUGCUUCACUUAGAUCUUUUAGAGCACGGCGGUGCGUAACUUGGUAGUUGGCUGUGCUAUGAAAGUAGUCCCAAAGGUGAUAGGUACCCAAAGAGGAUACAACAAAACUUCCAUCUUCAUGUGCAUUGAGUAGAAACAGAAGUUUGAUUCCUCUCAAUUAGUUUUGAGAUGUGGAUUUGGUAAUAUUAAGAUUUAUGUUAGUAGGGUGUUGUGAAUAUAGAAAUACUUGUGUUGAAGUUAGUGAUUCCCGUAACAUGCACGUAUGGUGAACCGCUAUGUUAGGAAGUCAGAGCAUAAUUGAUCUAUUGAUUGUCAUCCUUUGUGUUGCGGCUGGGGUCGCGCGAUGGUUUACACCUACCAACCCUUCCCCUAGGAGUAUGCGUUUAGCACUUUGUUUCGAUUACUAAUAAAAACUUUCGCAAUAAGUAUGUGAGUUCUUCAUGACUAAUGUGAGUCCAUGGUAUAGAUGCACUUUCACCUUCCACCAUUGCUAGCCUCUCUAGUACCGCGCAAUUUUUGCCGGUGCACAAACCCACCAUAUGCCUUCCUCAAAACAGCCACCAUACCUACCUACUAUGGCAUUUUUAUAGCCAUUCCGAGAUAUAUUGCCAUGCAACUCCCAUCGUUCCGUCUCAUGACUUGUGCCGUCACUCUCAUAUUGCCAUUGCAUGAUCGUAAGAUAGCUAGCGAGAUGUUUCAACGUCAUACGCCAAGCUAGAUCGUUGCACAUCCCGGUACACCACCGGAGGCAUUUCCUAUAGAGUCAUCAUCGUUCUAAGCUUUGAGCUGUGAGUCAAUAAAAGUGUGAUGACCAUCAUUAUUAGAGCAUUGUCUCAUGUGAGGAAAUAAAAAAAGGAGGCCAAAGUUGCCCACAGAAAAAAAGAUAUGGAAAGAGGCCAAAGAGCCCCAAAAAAAGAGAGAAAAAGAGAGAAGGGACAAUGCUACUAUCUCUUUCCACACUUGUGCUUCAUAAUAGGACCAUGUUCUUCAUGAUUGAGAGUCUCUUGUUUUGUCACCACCAUAUGCUAGUGGGAAUUUUCAUUAUAUAACUUGGCUUGUAUAUUCCAAUGAUGGGCUUCCUCAAAAUUGCCCUAGGUCUUCAUGAGCAAGCAAGUUGGAUGCACACCCACUAAUUCUCUUUUUGAGCUUUCACAUACUUAUAGCUAUAGUGCAUCCAUUGUAUGGCAAUCCCUACUCAUUCACAUUGAUAUCUAUUAAUGGGCAUCUCCAUAGCCCUUUGAUACGCCGAGUCAAUGUGACCAUCUCCUUCUUUUUGUCUCACAACCUCCACCACACUCUAUUCCACCAUAGUGCUAUAUCCAUGGCUCGCGCUCAUGUAUUGCGUGAGAGUUGAAAAAGGUUUGAGAAAGUAAGAGUGCGAAAACAAUUACUUGGCCAAUACCGGGGUUGUGCAUGAUUUAAAUUAGUUGUGUGGGGAUGAUGGAGCAUAGCCAGACUAUAUGAUUUUGUAGGGAUAACUUUCUUUGGCCUUGUUAUUUCGAAAGUUCAUGAUUACCUUGCUAGUUUGCUUGAGGUAUUAUUGAUUUCAUGUCAAUAGCAAACUAUUGUUUUGAAUCUUAUGGAUCUGAACAUUCAUGUCACAUGAAAGAUGUUACAAAGGACAACUAUGCUAGGUAGCAUUCCACAUCAAAAAUUCAGUCUUUAUCACUUCCCUACUCGAGGACGAGCAAGAGUUAAGCUUGGGGAUGCUUGAUACGUCUCCAAUGUAUCUAUAAUUUUUGAUGGUUCCAUGCUAUUAUCUUGUCAAACUUUGGAUGUUUUGUAUGCCUUUUAUAUCUUUUUGGGACUAACUUAUUAACUCAGUGCCAAGUGCGAGUUCAUGUUUUUUCCGUAUUUUGACCCCUUUCACAGGAGGAUUUUAAAUGGUGUCCAAACGGAAUUAAACGUCCGAAAAGAUUUUUUCCGAAACAGAAGAUACGCACGGGACGUGAAAACCAAGGCAGAGGCCACCAUUGGACGCCACAAGCCCCCUAGGCGCGGCCAGGGGGGCCGCGCCUAGCAGGCUUGUGGGCCCUGUGUGGCUCGUCUGCCCUACCUCUUCCUCCUAUAAAUUCGUGAAAAAUCCAAAACUGUGCGAGAGAUCCACGAAAAUACUUUUCUGCCACUGCAAGCUUCUGUCUCCGCAAGAUCCCAGCUGGGGCACGUUCUGGUGCCCUGCCGGAGGGGGGGUUCGGAUACGGAGGGCUUCUUCAUUAACACCAUGACCUCUCCGAUGAUGCUUGAGUAGUUCACCAUAGAUCUUCGGGUCCAUAUCUAGUAGCUAGAUGGCUUCUUCUCUCUCUUGGAUCUUCAAUACAAAGUUCUUCAUGAUCUUCAUGCAGAUCUAUCCGAUGUAAUCUUCUUUUGCGGUGUGUUUGUUGAGAUCCGAUGAAUUGUGGAUUUACGAUCAGAUUAUCUAUGAAUCUUAUUUGAGUUUCUUCUGAUCUCUUAUAUGCAUGAUUUCAUAUCCUUGUAAUUCUCUUCGAGUUGUGGGUUUUGUUUGGCCAACUUGAUCUAUGAUUCUUGCAAUGGGAGAAGUGCUUGGUUUUGGGUUCAUACCGUACGGUGACCUCACCCAGUGAGAGAAGGGGUAGCGAGGCACGCAUCGUGUUAUUUCUGUUGGAAUUAUGCCCUAGAGGCAAUAAUAAAUGUAUAGUUAUUAUUAUNNNNNNNNNNNNNNNNNNNNNNNNNNNNNNNNNNNNNNNNNNNNNNNNNNNNNNNNNNNNNNNNNNNNNNNNNNNNNNNNNNNNNNNNNNNNNNNNNNNNCUAAGUCCACUUUGAAUAUAUUUGUGUUGUAGAUCAUGGCUCACGCAAGUGUCAUCCUGAAUUUUAAUACGUUCCUAGAGAAAGCUAAGUUGAAAGAUGAUGGAAGCAACUUUGUAGACUGGGCUCGUAAUCUUAAGCUAAUAUUACAAGCUGGGAAGAAGGAUUAUGUCCUUAAUGCUGUGCUAGGAGAUGAACCACCCGCUACGGCUGAUCAGGAUGUUAAGAACGCUUGGUUAGCGCGUAAGGAGGACUACUCAAUAGUUCAAUGUGCAGUCUUGUAUGGCUUAGAACCGGGACUUCAACGUCGCUUUGAGCGUGAUGGAGCAUUUGAGAUGUUCCAGGAGUUGAAGUUUAUCUUUCAGAAGAACGCCCGGAUCGAGAGGUAUGAGACCUCCGAUAAAUUCUAUGCUUGCAAGAUGGAGGAAAACUCUUCUGUCAGUGAACAUGUGCUCAAAAUGUCUGGGUACUCAAACCGUCUAGCUGAACUGGGGAUUGAACUCCCGCAAGAGGCUAUCACUGACAGAAUCCUUCAAUCACUGCCGGCAAGCUAUAAAGGCUUUGUGUUGAACUACAACAUGCAAGGGAUGAACAAGUCUCCCGGCGAGUUGUUUGCGAUGCUGAAAGUCGCAGAGUCUGAACUCCGUAAAGAGCAUCAAGUGUUGAUGGUGAGCAAGACCACUAGUUUCAAGAGAAACGGCAAAGGCAAGAAGGGCAAUUCGAAGAAGAGCGGCAAGCCUGUUGCCAAUCCGCCGAAGAAACCCAAGGCUGGACCUAAGCCUGAAACAAAGUGCUUCUAUUGCAAGGGUAUGGGUCACUGGAAGCGCAAUUGCCCCAAGUAUCUGGCAGAUAAGAAGGCGGGCAAAGAAAAAUCAGGUAUAUUUGAUAUACAUGUUAUUGAUGUGUACUUAACCGGCUCUCAUAGUAGUGCCUGGGUAUUCGAUACCGGUUCUGUUGCUCACAUUUGCAACUCGAAACAGGAACUGCGGAAUAGACGAAGGCUGGCGAAAGACGAAGUGACGAUGCGCGUAGGAAAUGGUUCCAAGGUUGAUGCAAUCGCCGUCGGCACAGUGUCACUUCAGCUACCAUCAGGAUUAGUGAUGAACUUAAAUCAUUGUUAUUUAGUGCCUGCGUUGAGCAUGAAGAUUAUAUCUGGAUCUUGUUUAUUGCGAGACGGUUACUCUUUUAAGUCUGAGAAUAAUGGUUGUUCUAUUUCUAUGAGUAACAUCUUUUAUGGUCAUGUACCGAAUGUGAGAGGAUUGUUCAUAUUGAAUCUUGAUAGCGAUACGCAUAUACAUAACAUUGAGACCAAAAGAGUUAGAGUAAACAAUGAUAGCGCCAUAUUUUUGUGGCACUGCCGUUUAGGUCAUAUUGGUGUAAAGCGCAUGAAGAAACUCCAUGCUGAUGGNNNNNNNNNNNNNNNNNNNNNNNNNNNNNNNNNNNNNNNNNNNNNNNNNNNNNNNNNNNNNNNNNNNNNNNNNNNNNNNNNNNNNNNNNNNNNNNNNNNNGUAGCUUUAGUAGUAAUAGCAUGAGUAGCACGACAACCCCGAUGGCGACACGUUGAUGGAGAUCAUUAUGAUGGAGAUCAUGGUGUGACGCCGGUGACAAGAAAAUCGUGCCGGUGCUUUGGUGAUGGAGAUCAAGAAGCACGUGAUGAUGGCCAUAUCAUGUCACUUAUAAAUUGCAUGUGAUGUUAAUCCUUUCAUGCACCUUAUCUUGCUUAGAAUGACGGUAGCAUUAUGAGGUGAUCUCUCACUAAAAUUUCAAGAUGAAAUUGUGUUCUCCCCGACUGUGCACCGUUGCUACAGUUCGUCGUUUCGAGACACCACGUGAUGAUCGGGUGUGAUAGACUAAACGUUCACAUACAACGGGUGCAAAACAGUUGCGCUCGCGGAACACUCGGGUUAAGCUUGACGAGCCUAGCAUGUGCAGACAUGGCCUCGGAACACAUGAGACCGAAAGGUCGAGCAUGAAUCGUAUAGUUGAUAUGAUUAGCAUAGAGAUGCUUACCACUGAAACUAUUCUCGACUCACGUGAUGAUCGGACUUGAGAUAGUGGAUUUGGAUCAUGUACCACUCAAAUGACUAGAGAGAUGUACUUUUUGAGUGGGAGUUCUUAAGUAAUAUGAUUAAUUGAACUAAUUGUCAUGAACAUAGUCUAAUGGUCUUUGCGAAUUACGAUGUAGCUUGCGCUAUAGCUCUACUGUUUUAUAUGUUCCUAGAGAAAAUUUAGUUGAAAGUUGAUAGUAGCAAACUUUGCAGACUGAGUUUGUAAAACCGAGGAUUGUCCUCGUUGCUGCACAGAAGGCUUAUGUCCUUAAUGCAGCACUCGGUGUGCUGCACCUCGAGCGUCGUCUGUGGAUGCUGUGAACAUCCGACAUACACGUUUCUGAUGACUACACGAUAGUUCAGUACAAAAAUACUUAAUGGCUUAGAAGCAAGGCACCGAAAACGUUGUAAAACGUCACGGAACAUAAGUGAUGUUCUAAAUAGAUGAAAUUGUGAUUUCAUGCUUGUGCCCUUGUUAAGAGGUGCGAGACCUCCGACAAGAUUCUUUUUCCACAAAGCACAGGAGAAAAGGCUCAAUCGUUGAGCAUGUGCUCAGAUUGUCUGAGUACGACAAUCGCUUGAAUCAAGUGGGAGUUAAUCUUCCAGAUGAGAUAGUGAUAGUUCUCCAAAGUCACUGCCACCAAGCUGUGAGAGCUUCGUGAUGAACUAUAACAUAUCAAGGAUACAUACAAUGAUCCUUGAGCGAUUCACGAUGUUUGACACUGCGAAAGUAGAAAUCAAGAAGGAGCAUCAAUAGUUGAUGGUUUGUAAAACCACUAAGUUUCAAGAAAGGCAAGGGCUAGAAGGGAUACUUCGUGAAACGGCAAAACAGUUGCUGCACUAAUGAAGAGACCCAAGAUUAAACCCAAACCCGAGACUAGGUGCUUCUAUAAUGAGGGGAACAAUCACUGAGGCGGAGCAACUCAAGAUACUUGGUAGAUAAGAAGGCUGGCAAAAGUCGAAAGAAGUGUAUUUGAUAUACAUGAUGUUGAUGUGUACUUUACUAGUACUCCUAGUAGCACGAGGGUAUUGGAUACCGGUUCGGUUGCUAAGUGAUUAGUGACGCGAAAUGAAAGCUACGGCAUAAACGGAGACUAGCUAAAGACGAGGUGACGAUACGUGUUGGAAGUGUUUCCAAGAUUGAUAUGAUCAAACGUCGCACGCUCCCUCUACCAUCGGGAUUGGUGUUAAACCUAAAUAAUUGUUAUUUGGUGUUUGCGUUAAGCAUGAACAUGAUUGGAUCGUGUUUAUUGCAAUACGAUUAUUCAUUUAAAGAGAAUAAUGGUUACUCUAUUUUCUUGAAUAAUCACCUUCAAUGGUUUAUUGAAUCUCGAUCGUAGUGUUACACAUGUUCAUGAUAUUGGUGCCAAAAGAUACGAGUUGAUGAUGAUAGUACCACUUACUUGUGGCACUGCCGCUUGAGUCAUGUUAGUAUAAAUUGCAUGAAGAGGCUCCAUGCUGAUGGAUCUUUGUACUCACCUGAUUUCGAAUCACUAGUGACAUGCGAAUCAUACCACAUGAGCAAGGCCUUGUUUUCAUUGAGAUGAAAUAAGAUAGUAACUUGUUGGAAGUGAUACAUUUUGAUGUAUGCAGUCCAAUGGGUGCUGAGGCACACAGUGGAUAUCAUUAUGUUCUUACUUCACUCACGAUUUGAGUAGAUACAGGAGUAUUUACUUAAUGAAUCACAAGUCUAAAAUGUUGAAAAGUUCAAUUCCGUUUCAGAGUGAAGUUCGUCGUAACAAGAGGAUAAACUGUCUACGAUAUGAUCAUGGAAAUGAAUAUCUGAGUUACGAGUUUUGGUACACAGUUAAGACAAUGUGGAAAUUGUUUCGCAGUUCAUGCAACCUGGAACAUCAUAGUGUGAUGAUGUGUCUGAACGUCAUAGCCACGCACUAUUUGGUAUGGUGCAUACUAUGAUGUCUCUUAUCGAAUUACCACUAUCGUUUAUGGGUUAUGCAUUAGAGACAAUCGCACUCACUUUAAAUAGGGCACCGCGUAUUUCCGUUGAGAUGACACAGUAUAGACUGAGGUUUAGAGAAAUCUAAACUGUCAUUUCUUGAAAGUUUGGGGUUUCGACACUUAUGUGAAAAAGUUUCAGUCUGAUAAGCUCGAACCCAAAGCGGAUAAAUGCAUCUUCAUAGGAUAUCCAAAACAGUUGGGUACAUCUCCUAUCUCAGAUCCGAAAGCAAAGUGUUUGUUUCUAGAAACGGAUCCUUUCUCGAGGAAAAGUUUCUCUCGAAAGAAUUGAGUGGGAGGGUAGUAGAACUUGAUGAGGUUAUUGAACCAUCACUUCAACCAGUGUGUAGCAGGGCGCAGGAAGUUGUUCAUGUGGCGCCUACACCAAUUGAAGUGGAAGCUGAUGAUGAUGAUCAUUGAGCUUCGAAUCAAGUUACUACAAACCUCGUAGGUCGACAAGGUCGCGUACUGCUGCAGAGUAGUACGGUAACCCUGUCUUGGAGGUCAUGUUGUUGAGCAACAGUGAACCUACGAGUUAUGGAGAAAGCGAUGGUGGGCCCAGAUUCCGACAAAUGGCUGGAAGCCAUGAAAUCCGAGAGAGGAUCCAUGUGUGAAAACAAAGUGUAGACUUUGGUAGAACUACUUGAUGGUCAUAGGACUAUUGAGUAAAAAAUGGAUCUUUAAAAGAAGACAGACGAUGAUGGUGAUAAGUCACUAUUAAGAAACGCUCGACUUGUCGCAAAGAUGUUUUCGAUAAGAUCAAACAGUUGACUAUGAUGAGACUUUCUCACUCGUAGCGAUGCUAAAAGUCUGUUAGAAUUAUGUUAGUUGUUGAUGCAUUAUUUAUGAAAUAUUGCACGUAGGAUGUCAAAACAUUGUUUUCUCGACGGUUUCCUUGAGCAAACAUUGUAUGUGUUACAACCAGAAGGUUUUGUCGAUCCUAAAGAUACUAGCAAGUAUGCAAGCUCCAGUGAUCCUUCAAUGGACUGGUGCAAGCAUCUCGGAGUUGUAAUAUACACUUUGAUGAGAUGAUCAAAGAUUUUGGGUUUGUACAAUGUUUAUGAGAAACUUGUAUUUCCAAAGAAGUGAGUGGGAGCACUAUAGAAUUUCUGAUAGGUAUAUGUGGUUGACAUAUUGUGGAUCAGAAGUAAUGUAGAAUUUCUGUAAAGCAUACAAGGUUGUUUGAAAGAAGUUUUCAAAGGAGUACCUGGAUUACCCUACUUGAACGUUGAGCAUCAAAGAUCUAUGGAGAUAGAUCGAAAGCGCUUAAUAGAAGUUUCAACAAGAUGCAUGCCUUGACAAGUUUUUGAAAGAGUUCAAAAUAGACCAGCAAAGAAGGAGUUCUUGGUUGCGUUGUGAGGUGUGAAUUUGAGUAAGACUCAAAACCCGACCACGGCAGAAUAAAGAGAAUAGACGAAGGUCGUCUUCUAUGCCUUAGCCGUAGAAUCUAAAGUAUGCCAUGCUGUGUACCGCACCUGAAGUGUGCCUUGACUCAAAGUAUGUUGAGAGGUACAGAGAGUGAUCCAUGAUUGAAUCACGAAGUGUGCCUUGACUCAAAGUAUGUUGAGAGGUACAGAGAGUGAUCCAUGAUUGAAUCACUAGCAGCGGUCGAAAUUUAUCCUUAGUAACUAAUGGACUAAGGAAUUUUUCUCGAUUAUGGAGGUGGUUAAAGAGUUUGUCGUAAAGGGUUACGUCAAUGCAAGCUUUGACACUAAUCCGGAUAACUAUGAGUAGUGAAACGGAUUCGUAUAGUAGAGUAGAUAUUUGGAGCAUUUCCGAAUAGCACGUAGUAGCAGCAUCUAUAAGAUGACAUAAAGAUUUGUAAAGAACGCACGAAUCUAAAAGUUUCAGAACCGUUGACUAAAACCUCUCUCACGAGCAAGACGUGAUCAGACCCCAUAACUAUAUGGGUGUUGGAUUCGUUGGAAUCACAUGGUGAUGUGAACUAGAUUAUUGACUCUAGUGCAAGUGGGAGACUGUUGGAAAUAUGCCCUAGAGGCAAUAAUAAAUUAGUUAUUAUUAUANNNNNNNNNNNNNNNNNNNNNNNNNNNNNNNNNNNNNNNNNNNNNNNNNNNNNNNNNNNNNNNNNNNNNNNNNNNNNNNNNNNNNNNNNNNNNNNNNNNNGGAUCUGUCCUCCAGAUGAAGAACGGGAUGUGGCGGCGCCUCCGUAUCGCAAACGCGACAAAUCUUCUCUUCUGAUCUUUUUCUGGGCGAAAGUGAAUUUACAGAGGUGAUAUUGGGGGCGGCAGAGCCACAUGGGCCCCACAAGCUUGGUUGCCGCGGCCAGGGGGAGGCCGCGGCAACAUGGCUUGUGGCCCACUGGCCCACCCCCUCUGGUGGAUCUUUGCGCAGUUAUUUUUCAUAUUUUCCAGAAAAUUCUACGUAAAUUUUAGGACGUUCCGAGAACUUUCAUUUCUGCACAAAAACAACACCAUGGCAAUUCUGCUGAAAACAACGUCAGUCCGGGUUAGUUCCAUUCAAAUCAUGCAAAUUAGAGUCCAAAACAAGGGAAAAAGAGUUUGGAAAAGUAGAUACGAUGGAGACGUAUCAAUAGGUCACUUGGGGGCUUCCACUCACUGAGUUCAGCCUGAAUACCCUCUUGGCUAGCGAAAAAUUACCGCAUUACAAAUGGUUAUACUGGACUAUGUGUUGGACAAGUCGCCACAUGGACCUAUGUACUCUGGCGAGUCAAUCCGUCAUUUGGACCCUGAACUCGCCUUGGUUAAAACAUAAAAGGUACCGACAGGAGCCACACAUGGAGAAUAGAGAAACCAUUGGUUCAUUGAACCUGCUUCACUGAAGCUUGACUCGUGUCUGAUCAGCCGGUCUAAAACCAUUGGUUCAUUGAAGGUUGUUGCAAAAGCCUUCUAAGGGUAACACUAGAGUUUUGCAAACUCGUCUUGUCGUGUCACAGCUCAUUGAGCCGAUGAAUUUUAUUUAUUGAUGGCACGACCACAAGGUUUCAUAAUAUCUUUGAGUCGGCCUUUGUUUAUAACUCGCCACGACUCAUUGGGCCAGUUUUUAACUAUUAUUUGCCAUAGCCCAGGGGGAUCGUUUAUUUUUUGCCAUAACCCAGGGGGCUGGUCUAUUCUUUGCCAUAGCUCACUGAGUAGGCUUACGUUUUCCUGACACACAGGAUGAAGGCUUUUAUGUCAAACUGUGACACUUCCUUGUUUAUCAAAUUUAAAGGUGAUUCACGAAUAAAAUAAAGGAGUAAGUGGUUCAGGAAGGUCAAUCAAAAGGCACUAGUGACCAAUUGUUUCCCCAUCAAAUCUAACAAGCUAUUACAUGGCUCGCAUGGCCAAGUCGGGCAUCAUCCCCCAAUGAAGAAAGGAUCAGAUUGUCUUUUUAAGGCAAAAAUUACAUCUUGAGAAGAAUCAAGUCGCCUCCGGGUCACCUUGCCUUGAGCUCUCUCCAACUUCAAUUUGUAAGUCGCCCAGUUUCCAGUUACAUUUGGAUAAGGCGACGAACUCAUCUUCAUCAUCAAGGAAGAGGGAUAGAUCCAUGUCAAGGUCAAAAGGAUUCUUGGGUCGACGAGGAGCCAAGCUAGUAAUUUCAUACGAGGAAGGAGUCACCUUCUUGUUCUUCUCAUCAUAUGCAGCUUGGUAUUUAUUCAAAUCCAAGCCGGCUGCCAGCUGAGUCGCCGAGAAGCAGGAUUCCUUGAUCACUCGGUGGUAGUCCACCUCGGUGAACUCCGACCCGUCGUCCUUCAGUUCAGGGUAGCCAGUAGCUACUUCUUCUGGUUUCAGCUCCGGAGCAUAGGCUAAACACCGGCUUAGGGUGUUCAGGACUCCCUUCCGGGCGGCUGAUCUUUUUAGUUCCUCUAUUUGAGGAGGCAAUCUGGACAGAUAGCUGAGCAUGUUCUUGAUGGAUUUAACUGGCUCUUUGCUGCCCAUCACCGCUUUAAUCAUCAACACGCCCCUGUGUAUAAUUGCUCGGUGAAGGUAUACAUAGCCUUUAGCUUCAGCAUGCAGUCAUCUGGGAGAUUGGCGGCUCGUGAACCUACAAAGGACACAUCAGUGUUUGAUAGCUUUGGGAGAUUAGACUUAUUUCUUUAAUAAGCAAGGGUUUAAUGCUUACCAAACAUGGCUACAGUCAUGUUGGAGAUGUGCUUUUUCAAGCCAGAAAGCUCUUGCUAGGGGACUUCCAGUUUUCCUUCGGCUUGCUCAGCACGCUUCAGGAUGGGGGCUUGGUCAGCUUUGGAUUUCUUCUCCAGUUUUUGAUGAUCAGCUUUCAUUCUCUCCAGUUCAGCCAGAACCAAGUGAUAUUUCCUCUCUGACUCAGAUCGUGCAUUUUGUUGUUCAGCAAGAUUCUUAUUUAAGUCGGCUAAAGCUGACUCAGUCUAGGUCACAGAUUCCUACAAAACAAAAUAUGGGGAGACAAGUUUCAAAAUUAUUGCAAGCAAUAUUCCUCACACUUGGGGGCUAAUGUAUGAUUCUAUUCAAAGUCAUACANNNNNNNNNNNNNNNNNNNNNNNNNNNNNNNNNNNNNNNNNNNNNNNNNNNNNNNNNNNNNNNNNNNNNNNNNNNNNNNNNNNNNNNNNNNNNNNNNNNNUAAUCGUUUAUUAUCCAUGCUAUAAUUGUAUUGAAUGAAGACUCAUUUACAUGUGUGGAUACAUAGACAAAACACUGUCCCUAGCAAGCCUCUAGUUGGCUAGCCAGUUGAUCAAAGAUAGUCAGUGUCUUCUGAUUAUGAACAAGGUGUUGUUGCUUGAUAACUGGAUCACGUCAUUAGUAGAAUCACGUGAUGGACUAGACCCAAACUAAUAGACGUAGCAUGUUGAUCGUGUCAUUUUGUUGCUACUGUUUUCUGCGUGUCAAGUAUUUGUUCCUAUGACCAUGAGAUCAUAUAACUUACUAACACCGGAGGAAUAAUUUGUGUGUAUCAAACGUCGCAACGUAACUGGGUGACUAUAAAGAUGCUCUACAGGUAUCUCCGAAGGUGUUCGUUGAGUUAAUAUGGAUCAAGACUGGGAUUUGUCACUCCGUGUGACGGAGAGGUAUCUCGGGGCCCACUCGGUAAUACAACAUCACACACAAGCCUUGCAAGCAAUGUAACUUAGUGUAAGUUGCGGGAUCUUGUAUUACGGAACGAGUAAAGAGACUUGCCGGUAAACGAGAUUGAAAUAGGUAUGCGGAUACUGACGAUCGAAUCUCGGGCAAGUAACAUACCGAAGGACAAAGGGAAUGACAUACGGGAUUAUAUGAAUCCUUGGCACUGAGGUUCAAACGAUAAGAUCUUCGUAGAAUAUGUAGGAUCCAAUAUGGGCAUCCAGGUCCCGCUAUUGGAUAUUGACCGAGGAGUCUCUCGGGUCAUGUCUACAUAGUUCUCGAACCCGCAGGGUCUGCACACUUAAGGUUCGACGUUGUUUUAUGCGUAUUUGAGUUAUAUGGUUGGUUACCGAAUGUUGUUCGGAGUCCCGGAUGAGAUCACGGACAUCACGAGGGUUUCCGUCCGGAAAUGAAGAUUGAUAUAUAGGAUGACCUCAUUUGAUUACCGGAAGGUUUUCGGAGUUACCGGGAAUGUACCGGGAAUGACGAAUGGGUUCCGGGAGUUCACCGGGGGGGCAACCCACCCCGGGGAAGCCCAUAGGCCUUGAGGGUGGCGCAUCAGCCCUUAGUGGGCUGGUGGGAUAGCCCAAAAGGGCCCUAUGCGCAUUGGAAGAAAAAUCAAAGAGAAAAGAAAAAAGAAGAAGGAGGUGGGAAAGGAAAGAAGGACUCCACCCACCAAACCAAGUAGGACUCGGUUUGGGGGGGAGUCCUUCCCCCCUUUGGCUCGGCCGACCCCCUUGGGGCUCCUUGAGCCCCAAGGCAAGGUCCCCCCUCUCCCACCUAUAUAUACGGAGGUUUUAGGGCUGAUUUGAGACGACUUUUCCACGGCAGCCCGACCACAUACCUCCACGGUUUUUCCUCUAGAUCGCGUUUCUGCGAAGCUCGGGCGGAGCCCUGCUGAGACGAGAUCAUCACCAACCUCCGGAGUGCCGUCACGCUGCCGGAGAACUCUUCUACCUCUCCAUCUCUCUUGCUGGAUCAACAAGGCCGAGAUCAUCGUCGAGCUGUACGUGUGCUGAACGCGGAGGUGCCGUCCGUUCGGCACUAGAUCGUGGGACUGAUCGCGGGAUAGUUCGCGGGGCGGAUCGAGGGACGUGAGGACGUUCCACUACAUCAACCGCGUUCACUAACGCUUCUGCUGUACGGUCUACAAGGGUACGUAGAUCACUCAUCCCCUCUCGUAGAUGGACAUCACCAUGAUAGGUCUUCGUGCGCGUAGGAAAAAUUUUGUUUCCCAUGCGUCGUUACCCAACAGUGGCAUCAUGAGCUAGGUUCAUGCGUAGAUGUCUUCUCGAGUAGAACACAAAAGUUUUUGUGGGCGGUGAUGUGCGUUUUGCUGCCCUCCUUAGUCUUUUCUUGAUUCCGCGGUAUUGUUGGAUUGAAGCGGCUUGGACCGACAUUACUCGCUAGCUUACGAGAGACUGGUUUCAGUUUUUGCAGGGUAUGAUUGUGAUGUGAUAUGGCCAAUGAUGUGAUGUGAUAUAUUGGAUGUAUGAGAUGAUCAUGUUGUAAUAGAAAUAUCGACUUGCACGUCGAUGGUACGGCAACCGGCAGGAGCCAUAGGGUUGUCUUUAUACUAAUGUUUGUGCUUGCAGAUGCGUUUACUAUUUUGCUAGGAUGUAGCUUUAGUACUAAUAGCAUGAGUAGCACGACAACCCCGAUGGAGACACGUUGAUGGAGAUCAUGGUGUGGCGCCGGUGACAAGAAGACCGUGCCGGUGCUUUGUUGAUGGAGAUCAAGAAGCACGUGAUGAUGGCCAUAUCAUGUCACUUAUGAAUUGCAUGUGAUGUUAAUCCUUUUAUGCACCUUGUUUUGCUUAGAACGACGGUAGCAUUAUGAGGUGAUCUCUCACUAAAAUUUCAAGACGAAAUUGUGUUCUCCCCGACUGUGCACCGUUGCUACAGUUUGUCGUUUCGAGACACCACGUGAUGAUCGGGUGUGAUAGACUCAACGUUCACAUACAACGGGUGCAAAACAGUUGCGCUCGCGGAACACUCGGGUUAAGCUUGACGAGCCUAGCAUGUGCAGACAUGGCCUCGGAGCACAUGAGACCGAAAGGUCGAUCAUGAAUCAUAUAGAUGAUAUGAUUAGCAUAGGGAUGCUUACCACUGAAACUAUACUCAACUCACGUGAUGAUCGGACUUGAGCUAGUGUAAGUGGAUCAUGAACCACUCAAAUGACUAGGGAGAUGUACUUUUUGAGUGGGAGUUUAGCGAAUAAUUUGAUUAAGUUAAACUCUAAUUAUCUUGAACAUAGUCUAAGUCCACUUUGAAUAUAUUUGUGUUGUAGAUCAUGGCUCACGCGAUAGUCACCCUGAAUUUUAGUACGUUCCUAGAGAAAGCUAAGUUGAAAGAUGAUCGAAGCAACUUUGUAGACUGGGCUCGUAAUCUUAAGCUAAUCUUACAAGCUGGGAAGAAGGAUUAUGUCCUUAGUUCUGCGCUAGGAGAUGAACGACCCACUACGGCUGAUCAGGAUGUUAAGAACGCUUGGUUAGCACGUAAGGAGGACUACUCAGUAGUUCAAUGUGUAGUCUUGUAUGGCUUAGAACCGGGAUUUCAACGCCGCUUUGAGCAUCAUGGAGCAUUUGAGAUGUUCCAGGAGUUGAAGUUUAUCUUUCAGAAGAACGCCCGGAUCGAGAGGUAUGAGACCUCCGAUAAAUUCUAUGCUUGCAAGAUGGAGGAAAACUCUUCUGUCAGUGAACAUGUGCUCAAAAUGUCUGGGUACUCAAACCGUCUAGCUGAACUGGGGAUUGAACUCCCGCAAGAGGCUAUCACUGACAGAAUCCUUCAAUCACUGCCGCCAAGCUAUAAAGGCUUUGUGUUGAACUACAACAUGCAAGGGAUGAACAGAACUCGUCUGUCAGUGAACAUGUGCUCAAAAUGUCUGGGUCUUCAAACCAUCUAGCUGAGCUGGGGAUUGAACUCCCGCAAGAGGCUAUCACUGACAGAAUCCUUCAAUCACUGCCGCCAAGCUAUAAAGGCUUUGUGUUGAACUACAACAUGCAAGGGAUGAACAAGUCACCCGGCGAGUUGUUUGCGAUGCUGAAAGUCGUAGAGUCUGAACUCCGUAAAGAGCAUCAAGUGUUGAUGGUGAAUAAGACCACUAGUUUCAAGAGAAACGGCAAAGGCAAGAAGGGUAAUUCAAAGAAGAGCGGCAAGCCUGUUGCCAAUCCGACGAAGAAACCCAAAGCUGGACCUAAGCCUGAAACAGAGUGUUACUAUUGCAAGGGUAUGGGUCAUUGGAAGCGCAAUUGCCCCAAGUAUCUGGCAGAUAAGAAGGCGGCCAAAGAAAAAUCAGGUAUAUUUGAUAUACAUGUUAUUGAUGUGUACUUAACCGGCUCUCGUAGUAGUGCCUGGGUAUUCGAUACCGGUUCUGUUGCUCAUAUCUGCAACUCGAAUAAGGAACUGCGGAAUAGACGAAGGCUGGCGAAAGAUGAAGUGACGAUGCGCGUAGGAAAUGGUUCCAAGGUUGAUGCAAUCGCCGUCGGCACAGUUUCACUUCAGUUACCAUCAGGAUAAGUUAUGAACUUGAAUCAUUGUUAUUUAGUGCCUGCGUUGAGCAUGAACAUUAUAUCUGGAUCUUGUUUAUUGCGAGACGGUUACUCUUUUAAGUCAGAGAAUAAUGGUUGUUCUAUUUCUAUGAGUAACAUCUUUUAUGGUCAUGCACCCAAUGUGAGAGGAUUGUUCAUAUUGAAUCUUGAUAGCGAUACACACAUACAUAACACUGAGACCAAAAGAGUUAGAGUUAACAAUGAUAGCGCCAUAUUUUUGUGGCACUGCCGCUUAGGUCAUAUUGGUGUAAAGCGCAUGAAGAAACUCCAUGCCGAUGGNNNNNNNNNNNNNNNNNNNNNNNNNNNNNNNNNNNNNNNNNNNNNNNNNNNNNNNNNNNNNNNNNNNNNNNNNNNNNNNNNNNNNNNNNNNNNNNNNNNNGGAGAGGAUCCUUUUCAUGGUUAUGAGUCUGAGACGGUCAUAGCCCAUCUUGCCAAACUAUCCGAAAUAGCCAACCUUUUCACUAAUGAGGAGAAGAUCCGCCACUACUAUAUCCUUAAGUUGUUUCCUUUUCUCUAAAGGAUGAUGCUAAAGCCUGGUUCACCUCUCUUGCUCCUGGAUGUGUGCGUAGUCCCUAGGAGAUGGUCUAUUACUUCUGUGAGAAAUAUUUCCCUGCCCAUAAGAAGCAAGUUGCCUUGCAGGAAAUAUACAACUUUGCUCACCUCCAAGAAGAGAGUCUUCCACAAGCUUGGGGGAGGCUCGUGCAGCUACAGAAUGCUUUUCAUGAUCACCCUCUUAAGAAGAACGAGAUACUUGAUAUCCUCUACAACGGACUUACCGAUGCCUCUAGAGACUAUCUAGAUAGUUGUGCCGGUUGUGUUUUUAGGGAACAAACUGUAGAACAAGCUGAGACCCUACUGAAUAACCUCUUGAUCAACGAUAAUGCUUGGACUAUUCCCGAACCACCUCCUAAGCCAACUCCUAAGAAAAGAGGUAUUCUAUUCCUCAGUCCCGAAGAUAUGCAAGAAGCCAAGAAAUCUAUGUAAGAGAAAGGCAUUAGAUCUAAAGAUGUCAAAAAUCUACCACCUAUCGAAGAGAUCCAUGGUCUCGAUAACCCGAUACAGGUAGUAGAAGUGAAUUCUCUGCGUAGGUUUGAUGAGAGUGAUAUUCCUUUUGAUAAACCUGCUAGCCUAUGCUUUGAUGAAUUUGACAACUUUGUUGCCAAACAACAGAGUUUCAAUGAUUAUGUUAGCAGACAUUUGGAACAAAGUGCUCGUAUGCUUAGCCAUUUAAGUUCUUGCGUAGACAGAAAUGUCAAUGAUCUGAAACUUCUGAGUAAACAUGCCUCUAUGAUUGCUACUCAGGUAGAACUUAAAGCUCAGAAUGACCUGCUCAAUGAAUUAAAUGACAACUCUGUCAGAGACAUUACUAGAGGAGGCAAAAUGACUCAGGAACCUUUGUAUCCUGAAGGUCAUCCUAAGAGAAUUGAUCAAGAUUCUCAAGGAAUCAAUGUUGCUAAACCCAGUCAUCCUAAGGAGAAAAAGAAGGAUGAUAGAAACCUACACGCCAGUUCACCAAAUAUUAUCACAGCGGAAGAACCUAAUGAUAUUUGUGCGUCUGAUGCAGAAACACAAUCUAGUGAUGAACAUGAACUUGGUGACAAUAUGGGUAGUGAUGUUCAUAAUAAUGCUCAACCUAGCAAUGAUGAGGAUGUGGAGAUUGAACCUACGGUUAAUCCUGAUAACCCACUACCUAAGAAAUACGAUAAGAAUGACUUCACUGCUAGGAAGCAUGGUAAAGAAAGGGAGCCAUGGGUUCAGAGACCUAUGCCCUUUCCUCCUAAGCCAUCCAAGAAAAAGGAUGAUGAGGAUUUUGAGCGCUUCGUUGAGAUGAUAAGAACCGUCUUUCUGCAGAUGCGGUUAACUGAUAUGCUCAAGAUGUCUCUGUAUGCCAAGUACAUGAAAGAUAUCGUGACUAAUAAACGGAAGAUACCAGAUCUUGAGAUCUCCACCAUGCUUGCCAACUACACUUUCAAAGGUGGAACUCCUAAGAAACUUGGUGAUCCCGGAGUGCCCACGAUACCUUUCUCCAUUAAAGGAAACUAGGUAAGAACUGCCUUAUGUGACCUUGGAGCCGGUGUUAGUGUUAUGCCCCUUUCUCUUUAUUGUAGACAUGAAUUGGAUAAGUUGACACCCACUGAAAUUUCUCUGCAAAUGGCCGACAAAUCAACUGCUUUCCCUAUCGGCAUUUGCGAGGAUGUGCCUGUUGUGGUUGCUAACACCACUAUCUUAAUAGACUUUGUUAGCUUGGAUAUUCCCGAGGACGAUGCCAUGGCUAUCAUCCUCGGAAGACCCUUUUUAAAUACUACAUGGGCUGUUAUAGAUUGCAACAAAGGCAAUGUCACUUUCCAUGUCAACGGUAAUGAGCACACAGUGCACUUUCCGAAGAAACGAUAUCGAGUACAUAGCAUCAAUGCUAUCGAAAAGACUUCAUCGAUUCUCAUUGGGAGCUUUGAAUGCCCUGUUCCUCGUGUCAAGAUGAAGUAUGAUUUGCUUGUUAGGGAGAUACACAUCCCCAUUGAGGUGACUUAGUGGCUAUUCGAAAAUUCUCCGUUCUCUCUUGCGAUUCGAGAAGGUUUUGUCAUAAGGACUUGAUCAAUCCCAUUGACGGAUUUCUUUCGAUGACCAUGAAACGGAUGAAUCAAAGAGUCACAUACCUCUGUUUUGAAGCUUUCUUUUCUUUUGCUUAGAAGAAAAAUGAUAGAAUUAGUUUAGUUUUUCCUGUUUUCUGUUUUAGCGUCCUGGAGAAAAAUACCUCGAAAAUAAAAGUUUUCCAAUGGUCGUGAAAAUCUAGUAUGAUUAUUUUGUAAUUUUUGAAAAUUUCUGGGCUUGAGAGCUGGCCUGGGGGCCAGACCAGUGGGCCACAAGCCCUGCCACCGCCACCUACCCCCUGGUGGCGGGGUGCAAGCUUGUGGGGCCCACAGGCACCCCCUCCACUCAUUCCAGCUCCCAGCCUCUUCUUCCACCUCCAAAAAAAAUUGUUUCGCAGCUCAAAACCCGUGUUCUUGCUCAUUUGGCUGUGAUUUUUGAUCUCCUCCUCAAUGCACCAUUGUAACAUCCCAAUUUUCUUAAAUUAGGAUGUUAAUAGAUCAUUCAUAUGCAUCUCAUAUUUUUUUCUAUGCAUUAUUUGUUCUUCUGAAAAUUCUAUUCAUUAUGCAACUGAGGACAAUUUAUAUUGGAGUGGAGAUAAUGUGACUUCUCCCCUCUCGAAUAAAAGUUCAUAGUGUUUAGAAUAUUAUUUGGAGUUGUCCGAUUUGGUUUUGCAAAUUUUAUAAAACUCCGAUUUAUAUUUUGGUUGAGUUUUUGAAAGCUCGUUGUUCGUCCUAUUUCAUAAAAGCUAUUUUCAAAAUUAUUGCAUUAGGUGGAACUAGGGUUCCUUUAUUAUUUUAUUAGUGGAUAUUAUAUAUAACCAAGCCGAGCCAGCCAGCCCGGCCGACCGAGCCACACCAGCUCCCGUGACGUGGCCCCAUCGAGCCAGCUUCCCACCAGCGCUAGUGGCCACAGCCCUAGCGAACUAGCACCAUCGCUAGCAGCCUCCCGAGCUGGGAUUGAAUCCAGCCAACCUCGAGCUGCCAGGAGGGCCGUGCCUCCCGAGGAAACCAAGCGUCAGCGGUCCAAGGGUUGACCAGGAGGGCCCCCUUCCGCCAACUCCCUCCCAAGCCGAAGUGCGUGAGCGCUCGCACCAGGAGUCCUUUUUUCUCCCGCGAGCAGAGAACCUCAGGAAACCGAGGCCCCUGUCCCGAUUCCCCAUGCCCUCGAUCCGUUCCGCCGUCGCCGGAGCACCCUACAGCAACACGGCCAUUCGCCAGAGCCGCGCCCGCCCGUGCUCCUCGUCUUCACAGGAGCCACACGCGCCUCGUCGGUUUCAAGCAGGACCCUGUCCUCGCGAGCGCAUCGUCAGGAGACGACUCCCGCAUCCCUAGCGCGAGACGAUCCCGAUUUCCCCAGCCGCCGCCUCGGGUUCUUCGACGCCAGGAGGAGAUCGCCGCGAAUCCAGGAGCUCAAGAGGAGUUCGUCAAGCUGAUCCCAAUCAUCUGAAGCCGCACGUCGACCCGAUUUCUUCGCAGGAGCUUGCCAUCUGCCCGUUCGUUUCGUAGUUCGUCGGAGACUCACCGGAGGAGCACCACCGUUCCGUUUUUCCCUACUGUUCGUGGUGAGCACGCACGCAUGAUCCGAUUCAUCCAACCCUGAUGAACAGCUUCACGGCAAAUUAAACCUGUUUUUGGCCUAUUUAUUUUCGAGACAGAUUCUCGGUAAAAUUUUCAAACGCAUUUAUCUUUUUACUCGUAACUCCGAUUCAGUAAAUUCUUUUUGUGUGAUCUCGUAUUGAUGAGUAGAACAUGAUAGAGCCAGUAAUUUUCAGUUUUACGAAAAUUAUUAUUUUUAAAUCAGAUUUAUUUUAGACCUACCGGAGGCCAUAUUUUGCAAACCGUUCAUCAGGUUUAGUUGAUUCUUUUUGCGUUGUCAUCGUAUCAGCAUGUAGAUGAUUUUAUACCUACUAUCAUGCUAUUUAUGCUUUGGUUUUAAACAAGUUGUUUUAUUGACGAUGGUUUUAUUUGGUGUUAUGUGAUUGUGGUGAUUGAUUGGUGAUUGUUUGCAACGUGUAGAUUGUGCGGAGUGCGACGCAAACUAUUGUUAGGAGUGUGACUUUCUGAACCAGAAUCAAGGCAAGUUACAUGUUGAUCAUCCUUUACCUAUUAUUUUCUAUGCAUAUAGUAUUAUAUCACCCUAUGAAAAUUAUGCAUGUAUAGGAAUAUUAUUAUUGCUGUGCUAUUGAGCUAUAUCCCCUCGUCAUUGAAGAUCGUGUUAGAUAUAUUUUGCUAUGCUAUGUAGACGGGAAUUGGUUCCUGUAUUCAUUGAGAUUAUGUGAGGAUUACUACAAAAUAAAUUGAGUAGUAAUUCAGGAUAUAAUACACCUCUGGGCGGGUAUGGUAUUGCUGGGUGGUUUCAAGAACAUCAUGGUUUCUACCCUCUGAAUGUAAGUGGAUGCCGCCCAGGUUCAAAAAGAUCAAACAGACUUAGUGACUAGUAGCUUCCUUGUGCGACCACUGGCUAUUAUGGGCUCUGGCUUAGUUGAUCAGUCGUGGAAACCUUACCCGGAUGUGACAGCUGAUGUAGCUAUGAUAGGUGGGAUGGGCCUCCUGUGGGACUAGGUGACUACCUCUGAAUCGUCUCAAUCUUCGGGUUGGGUCCAGUGGGUACAACGUACUAACCUCUAGAGAGUGUAUAAACUAAUCAUGAUUAGCCGUGUCCCCGGUUAUGGACAAUUUUGAGCAGCUAGGUCAUUACAGUUGUUGGAUGAUCUUGAUAGAUGACACACUUAAUAAAAUUUGUUGGGAAACUUAAUAAUGGUAAUAGGUUGGAGUUGGAGAUGCCAAUUCAACCAUAUGUGAGUUAUUGUAGCAAACUAACUAAAACUUGACUAUUAGGUAGCUAUGAGGAUAAAAUCAGCUUUCUGCAAAACAACCAUCAGCCUUUCUCUUGUUAUACUAUGCAUAUACAUGUAGGUCUGUUAUAUUACUUUUCCUGUGUAACUUGCCAAUACAUUCAAAGUAUUGACCUAUAUGGCUGCAACGUAUCAUGUUGCAGGUUAUUCAGACGAGGAGUAAGGUACCGUUAGGAUCGCGAGUCUUCACUCAACAUCGCCAGUGGGCUAUGAUGGGACUCAUCGUUAUUAUUCUGCUACUGUUCCGUUGUUUGAUAGAAUAAAGCUAGCUAAGUGCUAUGUAGAUUGUUUUAUUUUGUAAAUUCUGGAUCAUACGUUAUAAUAAAUAAUGCACUUGCUAUUAUGGUUUUCAUCUAUAUUGUGUGUGCUAGCGAGUCGAUCCAGGGACUAGCACAGUAAAGCACAGAGACUCAAAUCCUUCGAGAUUUGGUCGUUAUAGAUGGUAUUAGAGCCAGGUUGACUGUAGGUCGUGGCCCUAGAAAAUGGAUUAGAAAAUCCAUAGGAGUGAAAAUUUAUUCUAUACACUUUGUCUACAUCUUACUCUUUCAUUAGACAACCACUCUAGUAUCUUGACCAGCUUAAGUAAGAACUGGUGCUGAGACCACCACUUAUCUUGUUUUAUUUGCGAUAUUAACGUGUUAGCGUAUCUGAUUAUGCCCGCUUUGUGGCAUGACGAUACUAGGUUGCUUGCUUGAUUGUUAUUUUGCUUGUUUGUUAAACUAGGAUCUUGUCGGAAUUAUUCGACUAUAUAUAUAGAUAUGUUUGAUUAUUGUUAUACUUGUUUGUGUUAUUGCUAGGGUGUUUUGUUGCCUCAUAUAUAUUACCUUGAUCAUACUAUGCAUAUGGGUAGAAUAUCUAUAUUUCUUUAGACCUGUUCUAUCUAUUACUCAUCUAUUCUUUCCAACCAAAACCCUUAGUAUGCCUAUUAGAGUGAGUUCCCCAGGAGCUGAGAUGAUAGCAGGUGUUGGUUGUCAUCAGUUAAACUUGUCUGUUGGGAAGCAUGAGUUCCCUACAGAUUUGAUCAUAUUGAAGUCACAAGGUCUGGACAUUAUUUUGGGCAUGGACUGGUUACAAUUAUAUGAAGGUGUUAUCGAUUGUGCUAGCCGAUCUAUUUCUCUCAGUGCACCAGGAGGGAAGAGAAUCAAAUAUGUAUGUAAGUACCAGCAUAAGAGGAUGCAGGUGAACUCUCUUAAGGGGGGUAGCCUGGAAGAGGUGCCAGUUGUGAAGGAUUAUCCUGAUGUGUUUCCGGAGGAGUUGCCAGGUAUGCCACCAGAUAGAGAUAUUGAGUUUCUUAUUGAUUUAAUACCUGGUACUGGACCUAUUGCAAAGAGACCAUACAGAAUGCCUCCUCAAGAGUUAGAGGAAUUGAAGAAGCAGUUGAGGGAGUUACAGGCACUAGGAUUUAUUCGCCCAAGUUCUCCUUGGUAAGUGACUCCUCCAUUGGUCCAAUUAGUUUUUGCUCUAGUGCUUUAUCCUUCGCGUAUUCUUGCUACCUUGGUGCCCCUGUUCUUGAUCUAGAAAUGUUGAUUUUAGUUGGUCCCAAGUAGUUUUAGUGCGUGAUACGAUCUCUAGGCACUAGUAGGAGUAGUUGCUACAAGGUGUGGUGGGUCUUUAUUCACUUUUCUCUUGAACUUCAAAAAUUUCAGCAAAAGGAAAUUAUGUUCAGGAGGAAGUUUCAUGGUGGUUCCUCAAGUAAGAAGGGUCCUCGUCUCUCCUUUCGGGAGCCCAAACCUUUUCAACUAAGGGACGCACCGGUACAACCAUGUGAAUGGCCUUCCAAUGAGUUCAUGAUCGAAGCAGGUUUCAAGGAUGAGUUUGAUACACUUGUCCGCAAUGCCGGGUUAGAAGAAUUCCUCUCAGAUAAAUGUGAACAGUAUGCUAUGCUCACUGCCUCUUUCUUGCGUAGAUUUAAAUUUUUAGCUGGCCGUGACUCAUCCAUACUGUUUGAUCUGUACGAUAAAUCAUAUACCGUGGAUCUGGAGGAUUUCAAUAGGAUUUGCAAGAUACCCGAUUGGGGUAGUGUUAAUGAUCCUCCUAAGUCUUUGGACAGAGACUUUGUCUCUAGUAUAACUGUUGGAGAAACCAGAGAUAUCACGCAAGCCACCAUAGGAAGCAUCCAUUACCCUGCCUUGCAUUACCUUGCCCUCUUCAUAGGUAGGUGCAUUAACGACAAGGGUGCACAUUGUCACCUAUGCGCUUCUGACCUUAGUAUCCUUAAGAGCGCAGUAACAGGUGACAGGAGCUUCAAUAUGGGAGCUAUUAUAGAAAGGAGGCUGAAUAAAAAUGCCAGUGAGGGGGAUUUCUUUGGUGGAGUUUAUGCUACACGCUUAGCAAAUUUUCUUGGAGUAUCCAUCCGUCCAGAAGACCCUCCUCUCCGUACAACCUACCUUGAUCGUGUCGCUCUAACACGCUACCAGUUCCUUGAGAGAGAUCAUGGAUCCCUCCUAUACCGCUAGAUAUUUAACCGGCAUCGUGUUUUCCAUAUUACCCUUCCUGCUACUGCUUUCUUUGACUUUCAGGUAAAACGAAGAUACUACAUAACCAUAGGAGAGGCAGAGGAGUAUGAGAGGGAGGCGACAGCUGCUCGACUUCGUAAGGCAGCUAUUCAGGCAAUGGCUGCACCACUCCCGUAUAACACCCAUCAUGACUUCGGGUUUCGCGAGGAUCAUCCAUGGCAGUAGAACAAGCUAGGCCAAAAGCCUAAGCUUGGGGGAGUACAUGUUCUCACCGACUUUACAUUCAUGCUUAUGCUUUCACUUUGUUAGCCGGUGUUUACACUUUACCACUGUAUUAUCCAUGCUAGUUUAUUUCCGUUUUCUUGUUUUCUUGUUUUGUAUCCUUUUGAGAAAACCCAAAAAGAUUUUUCUUUCUUCUUUUGCUAGUUGGGAGCUUUCCUGUGUAAAUAGUUUUCUUUCUCUUUGUGUCAAGGUAGAAGAUAUUGGUUACAAUGUUUAGUGGUUCUUACAUGCUUACCUGUUUAGCUUUCAAAAGAGCCAUAUUACUUUGUCUUCUCCUUUGUGUUUGCUUGCAGAUUCAACUUAGUCCAAUGCGCUUAUUAUCGUUUUCAUCGUUCGGUCGUGCAAAUGAAAGGCAACAAUGAUGAUAUAUGAUGAAGUGACUGAGACUGAAAAGCUGGUAUGAACUCUAUCUAUUUUGUUUUUGUAAAUAUGACUAGCUUGUCGACCCAGAUUUAGCUUUGUUGUGAGAGAACCAUGUUUGCAAUGACAACUUAGAGAUCAUAGUUUCUGAUGCCAUGCUUAUUUAGCUGAGAGCUUAUAAUGGUUUGUCUUGAAUGCCAACAUAGAUUUUGAGAUGACUAUGAUGUAGUAUGGUAUUCUCCUUUGAAUGUUUCAAGUGGCUUGACUUUGCGCAUGUUCAUUCAUGUAGUUUAAACAAAAUCAACAUAGCCUCUAUGAUGUUCGUGUUCAUGGUGAUUUAUAUCCUGUUCAUGCUUGCAUUUAAUGUUAGUCAAACUCAUUGCAUUUUGAUGACUAUUGUCGCUCUCUAGUUGGUCGCUUUCCAGUCUUUUGCUAGCCUUCACUUGUACUAAGCGGAGUACUGCUUGUGCAUCCACUUCCAUAAACCCAAAAGUUUUUCCAUGAGAGUCCACCAUACCUACCUAUUUGCGGUAUCUACCUGCCGUUCCAAGUAAAUUUGCAUGUGCCGUUCUCUAAACCUUCAAAAAAUAAUCUGUUUUGCAUGCCCGAACCUCUCAUGUGGUGACAGAGGGCUAUUGAUAUCUUCCAUGCUGGGAGUGUUAUCCUCGACAUGUGUUUAUUCACAGUCAUUCACGAGAAAGGGGCCGGUAAUUGGAAUUCCCAGUUCCACGCUUAAAUCGAAAACAUAACUGUAAAACAAGACUCCCCCCAGAUUGAUGUUAGUAUGGACGGUACCCGAGGAUUUGGCUAGCCGUGGAGUGUGAUUGAUUGGUGGUGGGGGAGUUAAAACUUUACUUUUCUGUUUGGGAACCGCCUAUAGCAUGAGUAGCAUGGAAGAUAUUGAGAAAUCUUGGUCAUUGCGUUGACAAUGAAAGCAUGCCACCCAAAAUUAUUAUCUCUAUUUUCAAAGCUUGAGCUCUGGCACCUCUGCAAAUCAAUGCUUCCCUCUGCGAAGGGCUUGUCUAUUUAUUUUCCUGUUGAGUCAUCUUCCUCUUAUAUAAGCACCAAUUAGAGAGCACCUCUGUCAUUUUUAUGUUUUGCUUUUGAUUGAUAUUGAGUAUGACUAUGACUGGAUCUUCGUUGCUAUGAAUUACAAUGUUUAGUCAGCCCUUGAUCUUUGAAAGUGCUCUGCAUUUAUAUUUUGCGGUCUCAGAAAGAGCUAGCGAGAUACCACCUAUUCAUGUUGCUUCAUGCUUGUUUUGAUUGAAGUGUUGGUAUUUGAAACUCAUUAUUAUUUGCUCGUUAGGUGAUUAUGCCAUUGAUAUUAGUUUACCGUGAGACCUUUGUGUCAUUUGCUUAUGUGGUUAACUUGUGAUCUUGCUGAAAUUCUGGUUAUGAGUUAGACAUAGUUGCAACAACAAGAUCAAACAGAGUUCGUCAAAGUUUUUCUUUCUCUCUCAUUUUGUCAACUGAGUUGCUUGAGGACAAGCAAGGUUUUAAGCUUGGGGGAGUUCAUACGUCUCCAUCGUAUCUACUUUUCCAAACUCUUUUGCCCUUGUUUUGGACUCUAAUUUGCAUGAUUUGAAUGGAACUAACCUGGACUGACGCUGUUUUCAGCAGAAUUGCCUUGGUGUUAUUUUUGUGCAGAAAUCAAAGUUCUCCAAACGUCCUGAAAAUUUACGGGGAGCAGUUUUGGGAAAUAUCAAAAAUAUCUGCGCCAAGUUCCACCUCAGGGGGUGGGCCAGUGGGCGACAAGCCCUUGCUCCGCCACCACACCCCUGGUGGCGGUGGGCAGGCUUGUGGGGCCCACACGGCUCUGCCGCCCCCAAUUCCAGCUCUAUAAGAUCCCUUUCGUCCUAGAAAAAAUAAAAAAGAGAAGUUUUUGUCGCGUUUUCGAUACGGAUGCGCUGCCACCACCUGUUCUUCAUCUGGAGGGCAGAUCUCGAGUCCGUCUUGGGCUCCAGAGAGGGGAAAUCGUCGCCAUCGUCAUCAUCAACCUUCUUCCCUCUCCAAUUCCAUGAAGCUCUUCGUCGUUCGUGAGUAAUCUAUUCGUAGGCUCGAUGGGCGGUGAUGAGUAGGAUGAGAUCUAUCAUGUAAUCGAGUUAGUUUUGAUGGGGAUUGAUCCCUAUUAUCCACUAUGUUCUGAGAUUGAUGUUGCUACUACUUUGCCAUGCUUAAUGCUUGUCACUAGGGCCAAAAGCUGGUAUGAACUCUAUCUAUUUUGUUUUUGUAAAUAUGACUAGCUUGUCGACCCAGAUUUAGCUUUGUUGUGAGAGAACCAUGUUUGCAAUGACAACUUAGAGAUCAUAGUUUCUGAUGCCUGCCAUGAUUUCAGAUCUAAAAUUAUUAUGUUGUCACCAAUAUAUGUGUGUUUUAGAUCCGAUCUUGCAAGUUGUAGUUACCUACUAUGUGUUAUGAUCCGGCAACUCCGGAGUGACAAUAACCGGAACCACUCCCGGUGAUGACCAUAGUUUGAGGAGUUCAUGUGUUCACCAAGUGCUAAUGCGUUGGUCCGGUUCUUUAUUAAAAGGAGAACCUUAAUAUCCCAUAGUUUCCUUUUGGAACCCGCUGCCACGGGAGGGAUGGACAAUAGAUGUCAUGCAAGUUCUUUUCCCUAAGCACAUAUGACGACACACGGAAUGCAUGCCUACAUCACAUUGACGAACGGGAGCUAGCCACAUAUCUCUCUGUGUUAUAACUGUUGCAUGAUGAAUAUCAUCCAAACAAAUCACCGGCCCAUUGCCUACGAGUUUGUCCUACCACUGUUACUUGUCUUACUCUCCUGCUGCUACUACUGUUGCUAUUGCUGUUACUUGUCUUGCUCUGCUGCUGCUACUACUGUUGCUACUCCUGUUACUUGUUUUGCUCUGCUGCUGCUGCUACUACUGUUGCUACUACUGUCGCUUGCUACUGUUGCUACUUGCAACCGCUGUCACUACUACUGUUCCUUGCCACUGCGAUUGCUCGUUACACUGCUGCUACCUGCUACAUUGUUACCUGGUUCACCGGACGUUGACGGGAACUGACAACUUCCGUCAACGCGGCAACGGAGGCGCCAUUGAUACAAUUGUUAGGAAUAGUCUGCCGUCAACAGAUCGUUUCUGACACCGUUGUUAUCAUAUUACUUUGUUGCUACUACUGUGCUUGCAGAUACUAAUCUUUCAGGUGUGGUUGAAUCGGAGAAAUUCAGUUGCUAAUACUCAAGAGUAUUCUCUCACCUACUAUAGGCGAUCAACAAAUUUGGGUCGAAUACUCUACCCUCGAAAACUGCUGCGAACCCAUGCGCUGGUGGGCCAUCAACAACAUUCUUCUAGUUUCAUUGCUGGGGAGUGCUAGUAGCAUUCUUCUGGUGCCGUUGCAGGGGAAGGUUUGUUGUCAUCAGCAUUCGUCUAGCCAUCGGCAGAGAUUGCAAUCACUUCCCAAUGUCAUUGGCAUCGAUCUUGUGCUUGUUGGUGAACUCCGUGAUCAUCAUGUGGUUAGCGUUGAGUCCACGCGCCACCAUCCCUUGGCACUUGAAGACUUGUUGCUCCAUUGCUUCUAGCCUCACCUCCAUGCUUCCGGUCUUCUUGGGCCCCUCAAUAUCACGGAUGUGCAACAUCCCCUCACGCAUCUCAAUAGAUUGAGGGUGUUGCAGCACUCCCGUGAGGUAGGGAUUGAUGACCUUCUCGAAGAUCUUGUCCUUCGGAGCUUUUGGUGACGCCAUAGCGAUCUAGAUCUGCAGCAGAAACAGGCUCGAAACGAAAACAGAGGAAAUUUGCGUGAUACGAGGGUCAGGCCAUACAGGAAAAUAUAUAAUGAUUUUUUCCAGACCAGAAGGAGUAGUCGGCACGAAAACGGAGUCCGGGAGGCAAACGAGGUGGCCACAAGCCCCCCAGGCGCGGCUAGGGGCUGGGCCCGCACCUGGAGGUCUUUGAUUGCCCAAUAAGCUUUAUGCUCUAGCUCAAGAGGUAAAUGAUAUGCUUUACCGUACACCAUUUUGUAGGGAGACAUCCCCAUAGGAUUCUUAUAGGCAGUUCUAUAUGCCCACAGUGCAUCAUCGAGCUUCUUUGACCAAUUCUUUCUAGACCUGUUGACAGUCUUUUGCAGAAUUAGUUUAAUAUCUAUGUUGCUUAGCUCUACUUGACCACUGGACUGAGGAUGGUAGGGAGACGCAAUUCUAUGGUUGACAUCGUACUUAGCAAGAGUUUUAUGGAAAGCACCAUGAAUGAAAUGUGAACCACCAUCGGUCAUUAUAUAUCGAGGGACUCCAAAUCUAGGGAAAAUAACUUCUUUAAGCAUCCUGAUAGAAGUGUUGUGAUCAGCACUACUAGUGGGGAUAGCUUCUACCCACUUAGUGACGUAAUCAACAGCAACUAGGAUAUGAGUAUACCCGUUGGAUUUUGGAAAAGGUCCCAUAUAAUCAAAGCUCCAAACAUCAAAUGGUUCAAUAACAAGUGAAUAGUUCAUAGGCAUUUCCUGACGUUUACCGAUUUUACCUAUUCUUUGGCAUUCGUCACAAGACAAGAAAAACUUACGGGCAUCCUUGAAGAGAGUGGGCCAACAGAAACCUGAUUGCAAUACCUUGUGUGCAAUUCUAUCUCUCGCAUGGUGUCCUCCGUAGGCCAGGGAGUGACACUUCUGUAGGAUCUGUCCCUGUUCAUGUUCCGGUAGACAACAUGUAAUAACACCAUCUACUCCUUCCUUAUAAAGGUGAGGAUCAUCCUGCUACCGCAACAAAAGUCCUUCCCUGGCAAUGGUGCCAGAGAUCCUUCUAUCAUCUCUUGAGCUUGUGUUGGUUUUUCCCUUGAAGAGGAAAGGGUGAUGCAGCAUAGGAGCAGUAAGUAUUUCCCUCAGUUUGAGAACCAAGGUAUCAAUCCAGUAGGAGAAUCUCGUCAAGUCUAGAGUACCUGCGCAAACACAAAAGAGUUUGCACCCAAUGCUUUAAAGGGGUUGUCAAUCCCUUCAAGAUUGAUUGCAAAGUGAGAUCUGAAGGAGGAAUGUGCAACGAAGUAAAAAGUGUAAGGCUGAAAAUAUGGCGUGGAGUAGACCCGGGGGCCAUAGUGUUCACUAGAGGCUUCUCUCAAAAUAGCAAAUAUCACGGUGGGUGAACAAAUUACUGUCGAGCAAUUGAUAGAACCGCGCAAAGUCAUGACGAUAUCUAAGGCAAUGAUCAUACAUAUAGGCAUCACGUCCGAGACAAGUAGACCGAUACUUUCUACAUCUACUACUAUUACUCCACACAUCGACCGCUAUCUAGCAUGCAUCUAGUGUAUUGAGUUCAUGACGAACAGAGUAACGCCUUAAGCAAGAUGACAUGAUGUAGAGGGAUAAUCUCCAACCAAUGAUGAAAACCCCAUCUUUUUACCCUUGAUGUCGACAACACGAUGCGUGCCUUGCUACCGCUUCUGCCACUUGGUGAGGUCACCGCACGGUAUGAACCCAAAACCAAGCACUUCUCCCAUUGCAAGAAUCAUAGAUCUAGUUGGCCGGACAAAACCCACAACUCGAAGAGAAUUACAAGGAUAUGAAAUCAUGCAUAAGAGAGAUCAGAAGAAACUCAAAUAAAUUCAUAGAUAAUCUGAUCAUAA
Molecule: long non-coding RNA, 100930 nt
Filed under: Hordeum vulgare
Lineage: Eukaryota; Viridiplantae; Streptophyta; Magnoliopsida; Poales; Poaceae
Description: long non-coding RNA (HVUL_LNC021093)
Rfam family: MIR1120/MIR1122 microRNA precursor family (bases 51790-51913)
Source: RNAcentral